GGAGGUGGAGAUGGAGAGGAGGAAGUCCUUGAUGAGGAGCUGGUGGGAGGCGGCCCAGCGGCCGUACCAGAUGAGGUAGAUGUUGAUCGGGGAGGAGAGGACGGGGCCCAUGUGGUAGCGAAGGUCGACCAAGUCGGAGGAGCCCUCAAAUUUCUUGGAGGCGGAGAGGGACUUGGGGGAAGCUUUGGGUUGAAGUAGGAGUCCGAUUGUGUUUGGAGAGUCUGCUGCUUAGCCGAGGAAUUGGAGGCGGCAGCAGCAUUGUUGAAGGGGACGAUGAGGAGGAGGAGGAGAAGAAGCAGCGGCAAUAGUGUCUGUGCUCCUCCUCCUCCUCUUACUGCUGUUUUAAUCAACAUUUUUGCGUGUAAAUUUUUUUUAUAAAAUAAAGUCACUUUCCUCCUCCGGGAGGGGAAUAAAAGUAUAGCGCCAGAAAUGGAAAUGGUUGAGGCGGGGAAGGGGACUGGGAAGAGGAGGGAACAGCGGUAGGGAAGCAAGGGGGAAGUUUGCGUUUGCCGCGAGUGAGGAGAGGGUUUCUCUGAUCUGUGAAUUUAUAGGAAAGGGAGAAGGAAGUCCCUACUCCGAUUUCUGAAACUCUCCAAGAAGUUCUUUUUUUUUUUAAAAAAAAAAAAGUGUGUAUUAGGACAGUAGUGUCGCACACACAAAAGUGUGGGUGUGUGUGUGGGAUCUCUCUGCGCUGUGGUUUGGGAGGGAAAUGGGCUGGUGACAGCUAUUAUCAGGGAUUUGGAUUUCAAUUCAUUUUAUGUGGGCACGGGCACAGCAGUCGAGUACCGACCAGUGUCAAUUGCGCUUUUUGAGUUAUUUUAACAAAUUUAAACUCGACUCACAAAUUCAUAUAUUAUAUGAAUGAUUGGAUAUUGAGCUUUUGGACUUUAAGCUCACAUUAAAAGGAUUAAACUUAAUUCACAUUGCUAUAUUAUAAGAGUUUGGAGCUCAAAUUGACAUUGAUCCAAAGUCAUGAUUAAAUACAUAAUUAUAUAUAGAAUUAAAUGCAAAAAAGCCUCACGAAUUUAUUGCACUAGUUGCAUUUUGCAUCCUAAAUUAUUUAAUAGGCACUUUACAUCCUUAGUCAAUUAGAAAACAGUAAGAAAAUUAACUCUAUCCAAAUAAUUGAUGAAAUGACCCAUUUAUCAUCCACUAAAAGCUUGUAAAAUGACAAAAAUAAUUUUUUGGUAGGGAAAAUUGUCACCUUAAAUGGAUUAAUUUUCACUUCAUAAUAAAAUUCUGACUGAAAACAUAUAACAAUAAAAUAUAUGAUCACUUUGAACUCCAACUCAAACAAAAGAAGCAGGAAAAAAAAUAAGAAAGGGAAUAAAUUCAAUUCAAGAAUCUUAGUAACCCCUUUUUAUUUUUACAUAUUUGAAGUUAGCCUAGGGAAAAAAAAAUUUGUUAUCGAGCAAAUUUAAAUAAUUUUGGAGUUUAAUUUGGAGUCCAAUACUAAUAUGUGAUUUUUAAUUUUGGUUCGGUAUUGCAACUUUAUUGUAGUUAUUGUGCUAAAUUCAUAUGAAAAAUUUUGGAUGCUACUCUAAUUUUAUUCUUGUAAAGAUUUCAAGUGAAAAUUUGCUCAUUAUAUGAAGUUAUGGCAUUAUGAUGCACUAAAGAAAAUUAUGAGAUUCUAAAAUUGCAACAAUAGUCGUUUAAUAUUUCCAUGCCUUGCCCUCAUUUUGACUUCACUAGUCUUAAUUCUCAUUCAAAACAAAGCAGUAUUUUUUUAUGUGUUAAUAAAUAGACUUUUUGAUAUAAAGUGAAAAUUAGUCUAUUUAAGUAGUAAUCUUUCCCGCCAAAAUAACAAUUUUGUUACUUAAGUUUUUAAUGGAGAAUAAAUGGUCAUUUCAUCAAUUGCUUUGAUGAAAUUAAUUUUUGAAUUAUUUUUUAGUCGACCAAAUGUGUAAAGUGCCUAUUAGUAUGCUAUAGGGUGUAAAGUGUAACUAGUGUAAUAGUUCGUUAGAGUUUUAUACAUUUAAACCUUAUAUAUAAGAUAUAUUUUAUAAUUAUGAAUUAAUACAAAUUUAAUUAAAUUAUUAAUAUUUAUAUCCUAAUAUGUAUAAUUAUAAAUUAUAGAUAUUAUUAUAUAUUUUUUAUAUAUAUAAUUAUACUCAUAUAUGGGUUAGAGUUUAAUUGUGCUCGAGUCUAGAAUAACCCAAACCCAACUUACAUUUAAUUUGGUCCUAAUAUUUAGUUCCACACUCCCUCCAUCCCCAUCAAAGCAUAGGUUUGGUGAGCUUUUUUCGGGCUGGACUGACAGAACUCGGACUGGCUGCACUGGUAUACCACAUGUAUCAAAAAUGUGUCCUUUCGUUUCCUUUUCCUGCCUCUCUGUCUGUCUCCUUACUUUUAAUUGGACCGCAAUGUACAUGUAGCAUUAGCUCGCAGGACCGGACGGGAAUGACCAUGGACACGGACAUGGUGGCAAAAUGAGCGGAAUUUUAAUUGGACCGCAAUGUAUCAGGCACGAGACUUGUAAUCAAAGAGAGAGAAUAUUCCUUAUUUUUCUAUCUAAUGUAAAAUUACGUAGUUUCACGUAUUAAUAUUACUGAUGUGACACAUAAUAUUGAAUGUAUAUUUAAGAGAUGUUUGAUAAAUGGGUUUCAAAUUCAGUAAUAUCCGUAAAUAAUGAUUGUUUAUGUUUAAUUGUACCAAUAAUCUUCUACUUUGGAAUUUCACGCCGCAUGAUUCAUAUGAGAUUAGGCAAUCAUUUGAGGAUGGGAUUCUUGAGUUUGUCAGAGUUACAGUUACGUGCAGUCAUGUGAAUUUGAUAUCCAUUUACCAAACACUCCCUAAAUAUGCAUUCAAUGUUGUGUCACAUCAGCAGUAUUAAUAAGUGGAACUACGUAGUUUUACAUUCAACUGGAAAAAUGGACAUAAGAUCCUAUCCUCUAAUAUACAGUAUGGGUUUAAACUUUAAACCCAACCAAUCCUAUCCUAAACAUUUGUUGUGGGAUUAUUAGGGACGGGAUUAAUUUGAGCUAUGCCCGACUUAGGCUAGCACCGCCCCACAUAUUCAUGAAACCUUUUUUUUUUUUUUUUUUUUUAGUGUUUUGUUCGUACAAGCAGUAAUGUAUUUCCAAAUAACGACUUAUGUUAAAUCAAGUUAAUCUCUUGUUAUUGAGGUAGUAAUUAUAUUGCCAAAGAAAAGUAUUAUAGUAAUUAUGUCAAUUUUUUUUAAUGGGUGCUAUGUGAUUCCUAGAUAAAUCCUAGCUAUUCCAAAUUUUUUUUAUCUAAUUUUUUUGUACAUAGAAAAAUAGCUGCACGUAAAUGCAUUCAACGUUAAAUUUUUUCUCAUUUAUUUUUAAAAUAUUAAUUGUGCGUUCCUUAUAAAAUUAAAAUUAAAUUAGUGGUCUUGGCCUAAAUUUUUGAUAAUUUUUUCACCUUAUUUACACAAAUUUACUUGCAUUAUUACAGCGUAUUUUUCAAUUACUUUUUUAUAUUACAUAUAUUAAUAAAAAAACUUACAAUAAUAUUAUUCUUUUAUAAAAAUUAUUUCAAAUAAUUUCUAUCCAAACGCGCUUGUCUCGUGACUUGUGAGUUAUGACUCCAUUAAGGAAAACGCCAUCAGAUACGUUGCUGCAAAAGUGGAGUGGGGAUAAAUAAAGUGUUGAUCAGUCUCUUGUUGACUCCCGCACCCACAGAACACGCUAGCUAGCAGUAGGCCGGAGAGUUGACUAGGACGGGGCAGCGGUGGCGACCAGAAACGCAGAAUAGGAGGAGGACGUCCCCAAAAAAGAUCAAAAGUCAAGCCGAGAAGCCACCGGAAAACUCCACUAAGAGUAAAUUACAAAAAGAAAUUAAAAAAAAAAGAGAUUAUCCAUAUAUAGUUUUUUUGUCAGUCAUGUAAUGGUAGUAUCAUUAAGUAAGUGGGGUGGUUUAUUAAGAAGGUCAGGUGGCAAAAGCCGCAAAGACUUGGCUGCUUUUGCUUCCAGCUGCUGCCGCCUUGCUCGGUAGACCCGGCGCCCCAAACCUAACCUAAUCGGGGCUUCUUUCGAUUUUAGGUGUAGAAAUGGGGAAGUGGUGGCGGUGCGAUAUCCGCUAUCUUCUCCUGCUUGCUGUGAUCCCUUUCAUCUACGUCCAGGUCCCUCUCUCUAUCUCUCUCUGCCCACAUUGCUUCCAUUUCUGUUAUCGAUAAACCCUAAUUUUUCUCCUUUCAUUACUCCUCCUAUUUCCUUAAUGACGAUUUCAGCUUUUUAUUGAACAUGCUCACCGUGUUAUGUGAUUGGAAUCUAUCCCUUUUUUGGGUCUCAGAUGCGGCUCUUUGGCACCCAGACUGACUAUGCUGAUCGUCUUGCUGCUGCUGUAUGUAUGCCCUGUCUCUUAAUUCACUCCAUAUUCUUCCAUACCUAAACAUAUCUGUUUCUUUAGGGAUUUUCCAUUUCAUUUUAACUAUUUGGCUAUUAAAUCAUGCCCGUACGUGUAAGCGCAUGCAUCCCAUAUUUCCGUUUUACUAUGGCAAAUGGGGUCUAUACUACUUUUUACUUGGAGGUGAACUCAUGGAUGCUUCUAGGUAUUAAAACUCUGCUAAUUUCAUGUGGAUACAGCGUAAUGCUGUCAAUAAAGGCUUCAAGGUCUAAAGGAUUGAAACUUGAAUCUCCCUUCAGGGAAGAAGAAACUAACUGAAAUGUGUGAGAAGAAUCCUUUAGGAAGGGAGGUGCCAAAUUGCAAAAUUCCACUUAUUCACAUGGUGUCUUUUGCUGAUUUUAUCACUAAGUUUAAGGUUGGAAACUAAUUACUUUGGGGUCUUCUGUUUGACUUCGACAAUAUUUCAAUGACUCAAAUUGCUAAACCUCUAAUUUUGCACGUGGACUGUUUGUUGAGUAAAUUCGCAUUUUUCCCACAUUACUGUCAGUUAAUGCGUAAUAGUUACCCUUGCUUAAAACUGGGGAGAACAUAUGUACCUGAGACAUGGUAGCUUGUUGAUUACAUUAGGUAGAAGCAGAAAACCAUUGCACUAGCCAGACACGAUUACUGAUUGAUCAGAUUAGCAUGCAACAAGGAAGGAUUGUGGCCCUUGAAGGUAUGCUAUAUAGACACAUUCACACACACUGACAUACAGGUAUACAUGUUCUUCUAUCCUCAUAUUUUGUUAUUUUGUUUCUAACCAUUCUAUGUUGUUGGAAGUUGUAUGCUCCUAUCGACCAACAUUUGCAAAAGGAACACUAUUGUAGUAUGAGCAGCACUGGGAAUUAGACAAAUAAAUAUUCUGCAUCAUGCAUGGAAAGUUCAAUUUUUUGGUGCUAUAAUUUGUGAUGAAGGAAAGAACAGGAAGCCGGGUUUCACGUUAUGUGUUUCCUCUUCAUCCUUUUGCAGAAACCAUAUCCUAAUAGCACUUAAUUGCUUGUAUAUGGUUUGAAGUCUGACUUACUUCAACUGUUAAAGGGAUACUGCAUUAUUAUGAUAUUUGCUUCCUUCAAUUAUCAGAGAGAUGUGGGAUUUUUAUUUGGCCUGCCUGAACUGAGUUUUUGCUUAUCAUUUCAGAAGAAAAGAUGCGUCAGGACCAGGAAUGCAGACAAUUGAGGGCACUUGUUCAAGAUCUUGAGAGUAUGUUCACACUACUUAUUGAUGUUUCUUUGUGUCUUGGCGACAGUGCCAUUAUGCAGUAAAUUUUCUUUUGGCUAAUGAUAGAUCAGCAAUAAAGAGCUAUAUGAUGUUCUCGGGAGAACUCACAACACCCAUUAGAGCUAUGUGAUCCUGACAUUUUUCUUUCAUCCCCGUGUUUUUUUUCUUUCAUGAAUCUGUAGGGGAGUGCCUUGGACUAAUAUGAAAUAUUUUUAGGGCAGUUGAAAUCCUGUAUAUGUCUGAUCCACAAGUACAUAACUAAAUGGGAUGACAAUGUAAAUUGUUCUACUUAUCCAACCCCCCCCCCCCCCCCCACCCACCCAAAAAAAAAAGGUUUUCACACUUCUGCUAUAGCUUUUAAAUGAACCCUUGUCUCUUAGAAUAUCAUGUCAAAAACAGUACAUACAUGGAGCUACUUCUGUUCUUUUGUUUCUGAUUUCCUAAAUUAGGUCCAUAUUUGGUCAAGACAUUACAUCAUCUCAUACAUCAUUUCAAAGCAAUAAGCACCCGACCUCACGCCUAUUUAUGUGAAUAAGUUUAUUGGCUUGUGCAUGAUGGGUGACACUGAUGUUCUCUUGUUGUAGGGAAGGACCUGAAGAAGUUAAUUAGCAAUGUGCAGGUUCACCGUGAAAUAAGAAAAUUUUGUUAUAGCCUACUUGAUUAGAGAUCAUAGCCUACUGUAUUCCAACUAUUUUUCUUUGUAUAAAUCAGGUGCCAGUAGCAGCCGUUGUAGUAAUGGCUUGCAAUCGUGCUGAUUACCUUGAAAGGACCAUCAAAUCUAUCCUGAAGUAUGUUUGUGUUUUUAGCUACUGUUUGGAUUGAUGGAAUUGAAAAGGAAAGGCAAGGAAAAGGAGGGAUUAUGUAUUUUAUUUUGGAUUGAUUUUUUGAGGAGGGAAAGGGAUGGAGAAGAUAAGUUUUAAAUGUUAAGUUCAUUUUUGUCCUAAAGUAUGUGUACUGCAAGGGAAAGGAACAUUUUGAUUAAUAGUUUUAAAAUAUAUACUUUCUAGACAGAAACUUUGCUAUUUGAUUCCUUGCCUUUCUAUCUCACAGUUUUUUAAACAUGUCCUCUAUUUGCCUUUCACAUCUAUCGAAUCAAAAAAUAAAGUAAUACCACCACCCUUUACUUUUUUUUCCACCAUUAUCUAUUCCUCUCAUUUCCUUUCAAUCCUAAGGGUGCCCAAGCAUUAUUCUUCUGCUAAGUAAAAGAGUCGUACGGGAUUUUACCUGACCAUUAUUGGUAUGUUCUUCAUGUCAACCAGAUAUCAAAAGUCUGUCGCAUCAAAAUUUCCUCUCUUCAUAUCACAGGUACAUUGAUGAGGUGGAGAUUGUCUCUUCUAUUUGAUAUUUUGUGUUUGAUGAUACUUGUGGAGAUAGGCUGCAAUUUUCAUUUUUUUUUCUUUUCUAUGAGCAGGAUGGUUCAGAUCCAAAUGUUAAAAAUAGGGCUUUGAGUUAUGAUCAGCUGACAUACAUGCAGGUAUUUCUUGUUAUUUGUUGUUUGUGGCGGCUUUGGCUAUAAGUUGAUAUAUAUAGCUCUCAAGUGAAUUGAUACUAGGGGCCUGUGAUUUUGUAGGCAUUCCCCUUAAAGUUUAGCACCUUUUUCUGAUAUUAAUGCAUCUGAAUAGUGAUCCAAUUAGAAACUGAGACACAGUUUAUUUGUCAAGAUUAUGAAGGAAAGAUUGUCCUUUUAAUUUGCAUCAUUGGCCUGAUCCUAUUAUCUUAAUAAACUCUGAGAAUACUCUUUCAAUGAGUCUGCUUUCUAACUGUUUUGAUGAUUCCUGUUUUGUAGCACUUGGAUUAUGAACCUGUCCACCCAGAUAGGCCUGGGGAGUUAAUUGCCUACUACAAGAUUGCACGUAUGGCUGCUUUUAUGUCUUCUUUAAAUGACAUAUAAGUGUAUCUCUUACUUUUUGAUGAUGUUAUAGGUCAUUACAAGUGGGCAUUGGAUCAAUUGUUUUACAAGCACAAUUUCAGCCGAGUCAUCAUACUUGAGGGUGCUGACAUCUCCUUUUGAAUACUUCUACUCUCUUGUCUUGCUUUCACUAAGAGUCAAUUCUUGCGAACUGCAGAUGAUAUGGAGAUUGCCCCAGAUUUUUUUGCCUAUUUUGAGGCUGGAGCAAUGCUUCUUGACAGUGACAAGUUAGUUUCUUUUGAAGAUCAAAUUCUUUUCGAGUGUAAUAAUUUCUGUAAUUUACACGCACUUUAAACUCUUGACACUAGGUCAAUUAUGGCUAUAUCUUCGUGGAAUGACAAUGGGCAAAAGCACUUUGUGCAAGAUCCUUGUAAGAUUCUUAUCUUUUUUUUUUUUUUGUUGACUGUUCAACAGACAUAGCUUGAAUAAGAAGUUUAGCUGGAUUAAACUGCAUAAUGCUGUUAUUGAAACCAUAAUUUCAAGGGCUGUUUGAGUGCUUUUAUCGUUGAGUGGAGCUCCUGUUCUCUGAUUAACUUGAUUAAUGCAUUUCAGACAUGAAUUAUCAUCAACUUCUAUUGUAAACAGAGCUUUCCGUUUCUGCUUGUAACCCAUUAUGUUAUUUGCAGACGCGCUCUACCGCUCAGACUUUUUCCCGGGUCUUGGAUGGAUGCUUUCUAUAUCUACAUGGGAUGAAUUAUCUCCAAAGUGGCCAAAGGCAUAUCCUUCUACAUAUUUAUGUUUGAACAUGACACUUACAGAAAGGGACUUGCAUUAUUUCAUUUUUAACUUCUCCUCCUUAGUUAUUAUAUCACAAUAAAAAAUUAGGGUGCAAUCUUUUGAGCAUUUUCUUGACCAAACAUUCACUUACUGGGAUGAUUGGUUGAGACAAAAGGAGAAUCACAAAGGUCGACAAUUUGUUCGACCAGAAGUGUGUAGAACAUACAACUUGGUGAGCAUGUAAGUAUAUCUGAGAACUUUACAGAUUUCUUCUGUUUAACACAGUUCAGGUUGUCUCUGGUGAUAAAGAGAAUGCAUUGGAUGGUGAUGUCCUGUCAGCCAUGGCUGAGUUUUUCUCUGGAUAUAUUGUCAUCUAUGAUCAAGUCUAUCUUCUGUUUAAGGACAGAUGUGGUCAUAACGAAGAUACUUGGUUUUGAUUCUGAAUGCUGUAAAUUGUCAUCUUAUUUGCUUCUGAAGAAGUUGCUGGAGCUACCUACCUCUAUAGUGUCAGCUAAUUUGAUUCUUUUGUUGCCUUACUGGUAGAGUUGACACUACUAGAUGUUUAGUAUCAUGGCCUUCCUCUAUCUCUCUCAUUUGAUGUUGCAACUUUCCUCUUUACGUUCAUUUUUAUAAAAUUUCCCACUCUUCCAUUCUUUUGGCAUAUGAUCUUUUUUCUGAAGUCUUGUUGAUUUACUUACAGGGGUCUAGUUUGGGGCAAUUCUUCAAGCAAUAUCUUAAACCUAUUAAGCUGAAUGAUGUACAGGUAUGUAUCUGUUGUCAUCGCUUUGUUCUUCGUUUUCACUUUCUUUAGCGGCUGCUACCAGACUCAGUUUCUCUGAUAGUAUAUUUAUUAUUCUAUUGUUGGCCAUAGGUUGAUUGGAAGUCUAUGGACUUGAGCUAUCUAAUGGAGGUAUUAAUACAGCUUAAACUGAAAUCUGUUUCAUAAGGCAAAAAUACAGGACAAAAUUACAUAGAGAAAUUUAGUGUCUUCCGUACUCAGUUAUUGAUUGUAAAUCAAAAUUUUCAGGACAAGUAUGUCAAGCAUUUUGCUGAACUGGUUAAAAAUGCUAAACCUGUGUAUGGAGCUGAUGCUGUUCUAAAAGCAUAUAACAUAGAUGGUGAUGUGCGCAUUCAGUACAGAGACCAAAUGGAUUUUGAAUUCAUUGCCCGCCAAUUUGGUAUUUUUGAAGAAUGGAAGGUAAUAAUAUGGAUUUGGUUUUCUUUUCUAUUUCCAUGGUGUUACCUAACUUUGAAGUUUGGAUUUAAGUUUCCUUUUUAAUUCCAUGGUGUCCAUAUAUCUAUUUGAUCGAACUUUGAAGUAGAGCUAUAUCAGAACUUGAAUGUCUGGAGGUAUGUGGUCAAAUUAGUUUAAGACUCAGAAAAUACACCUGUACACAUUUCUAAGAUUGAAAACACAUGCAGUUUUUUUCUUGAGUUCUCAUUCAUAAACUUGUAUUAGUUUAGUCUCUCCUAUUUCGCUGUGUUAAUGGUACACAAUUUUGAUUCCUGUGAGUUUACGACAUCAAUUCUUCUGCUUUUCCCAACAGAAGUGAAGUAUCAUUGAAAAACAGAAAUGAAUCAGCCUAUCUGUUAUGUUGAACAUAUGUUCUUUAGUUGUCUACAUAUUCUUCUGUAUUCAACCACCUACAGUUUUGCCCCCAUUAUUCUGUUUCCUUUCCUUUUGUAGGAUGGGAUACCACGGGCUUCGUAUAAAGGAGUAGUAGUUUUCCGGUAUCAAACCCCAAGACGUGUAUUCCUUGUCGGUCCUGAUUCCCUCCAGCUGCUUGGGAUUGGACGCACCUAGAGGUAACAAGCAUCUGCUCUUAUCCCAAUUUCUUUUCAACAAAAGCAGCUUAAAGGGCUAAUACCUUAAAGGUUACUGAAGGGAUCUCUAUUUUUGUAUGUUACUUCACACGUUCAAACACUGUUUUUAAGUGUCUUCCUGUAUGUUGCAUCCAUCACCAGAUAACUGAUGGAAGCCACAAAGAAACAUAGAAGCUGAGUAUGGACCUUCCGCUAUUAGUUUAUGCCUGAUGGCCCACAAUUGUUGAACAAAGAAAGAAUAAAGAUGGUUGAUCUUCUUUUUUACUUUAAGAUCACGUCUUGAAGUUAAUUGACUGACAGAUACCUCUAUUUGUCUCUGAGCAGUUUUGUAGAAGAGGACACGAUUUUCGGAUAAAGUGGUUUAGUGAUGUGAAAAAGAUUCCUAUAAAAGCAUGCAGAGGCAUUAUGGGCAGUUUAUCGUCCAAUUCACUGUAAGGAGUAUGUGACUGGAGCUUACAAAGUUAAGUUUUUUUUUUUUCCCUAAAAUUAUACACAGGAGAGUCAAAAGUACCAGUUUGCUACCAACAGAUGCAUUUUCGAGUGGAGAGGAAGAUGAAUUGCGACCAUCCCCUAUAUGAGCCCCUUCCUCCCUCCUUAGUAGUGUAGACGGGUGGUCGUUACUCUUUUGUAGAUUAUAGUACUGAGUAAUUAAAUGGACACAUACUGUUAAUAGUUAAAGACAGUUCAGUACCCAUAACGAAUCCUGAAACAUUUUUUUGCCUAAGCUGCAUAAAAUUUCACUUGGAUUGUGAUUCUAUAUUUCAUCAAUUAGUAGUUCUUUUUUUUUUCCCUCCUUUUCUUUUGGUAAAAAUUACGUUGUGUUCUAACUUUUAAGCAGUGCAAAAUGUGGUCCUCUCAGCUGCAGAUGGUAGCUGCUUGCAAAGAGGGCUCUAUUUGGAUACUGUGCACCUCAAUUGUAACAGAGAGAUUAGUUUAAUAAGAUGUCUGGUCCCAAUUGUUGCGAGAGGAGAGGAUACGCCAGAGUUCCUGCAAAGACAUUUUUAAAUUCCCAAAUGGCAAUUUUAGGCUCCAACAUUUUCUAUUUUUUUACCCUUUCUUGGACUAGAAAAGUUGUAGCGUUUAUCUGAAUCUUUAGAAAUUAAGAGCCUCAAACAGGACAGAGUUGCAACUGGGAUGGUAGACACAGGACUUUUGCACUAUAACAACGCAAAUAAAGACACAAUAAACCCUGGAAAGCCCUAUGGAAAAAAGGAAAAAAAAGGAUUCUGAACCAAGAGUAGACAUAGUCAAAAAAUGGUCUUUUGACUUGUUGCAGUGACUGUAGUCAUGGCCAAGAGUAGACGUUGAUCAAGAAGAAGAAAGGUGGCCUUGUUCCACCAGGGAUGCGAUGCAGUCAUCGAACAUUUCCCGGAUGGACCUGAAGUUCUUGAAUCCUAAGCCCUCCAGCUUCGAUGUAUUCAGGUCAUAAGAUGGUCUGUUAUCAAGCUUGUGAAACCUGAAACGGGCGGAGGUAUGGCAUGGGAAUCAUUUCGAUACAAAGGUAAGCUAGUAGUAACUAAGUAGAAUACUAAAUAGCAAGCAAACCUUUUGGGUAUAGGCAGGGCAGGGUAGGAAGCGGAUAGAAUGGAGGCGAGCUCAUCAUUGUCAAGGACAGUGGAAGAACAGAGGUAUCGUCCUUGAGCAUUCCUGCGUUCAUACACCAGGAUGUGACACAGCGCAACAUCGUCAAUAUGCACAUAUCCCAUUCUUCCAUGCCAUUCGAAUUUCUGCGUCUCCCCUGUAUUAUUAUAGUGUAUGCUACCCAUUAUGCUUUAGGGAUAUGCUACGAUUAACAGCAAAUAGCACACGAGAAUGAGAGAGAGAGCAGCUAGUACUCUACCUUUGGCAAGCCAAGGACGUCGGCCGCUGUGGAACAUAACUCCGGAGGCAAGCUACGUCCAACCACGAAUGAGGGGAGAACGGUGACCAGGUCAAUCUUGUUCUCCUCGCAGAAUUUCCAGGCAGCCUUCUCCGCCAGAGUUUUUGAAAACAUACCAGAUCUUCUUGCAUUUGCCAGAGCAUGCAAAAUUAAGCAUUAUAUCACGGCAUGUUUUUUUUUAUCCAAAAAUCUGUGUUUCUUAGUGCUGUUGCAAAUUCACAAACUGAUUUAUGCAGAGUUGCUGAUGAGGGUACGUACCUUAAGUCUCUCGCAGAGUAUCUCAGAGCUCCAAGAUGAUUCGUCCAGUGGUACGUUGGGAUCAAAAUCCUCUCUUGCCCUCACAGUUGAGGAAGACGAGGUCAGAACAACACGCUUCAGAAAUGGAUUUUUCUUGCACGAACGCAGCACAUUUAGCGUACCCUCAAUAGCAGGUUUCAAAAUUUCAGCCUAUGCCAUAAUAGGAUUAGAUUAGGAGUCUUGAGAGGAGGUCAAUAAGAAAGCAACGCCCACUUGAAAAGAACUUGGAACGCAAUAACGAAAAAAAAAAAAAAAAAAAAAAACCCUUCUUCCCCAUUUCUUGUUUCUCUCAAGUAACAGUUACACUGAAAUUGCUUUGCUAGUUCAUUGCAGUCCACAAUGUUAGUUUAGUGCCGCCAGCACUGCUGAGGAUUUUGUUAUGAGAAUUAUUGAGUUAAUAAAUGCUGUCAAAGUGGCAUCCACAAUCAAACUUUACAUGCCUUGGGAUCGGAUGCUGGUCGCCCUAGAACAGGGGAAGCAGUGUGAAAGACACCUUCAGAGCCCAUUAUUGCAUCAUCGAAGCUGCCUUCCUCCAUUAAGUCGCCCUUCACCAGCACCAGUCUCUCUUUUGCUCCCUCCAGCCUCCAGAGAUGCGCUACCUUCUUGGCAUUUUCUGUUCAUGUCACAAACUCACAACAGAUACCAAGGCAUACAUGACUCGCCGCCAUUCAAUUACAUCUUGGCAUGCUCAGUUCCCUGGAAUGUAUUCAUACCAUUCCAGCCAGGCACCAACACCAAAACAAUGAAAAGAAAAAAAAAAGGAAUUAACAAAAAAUAAAAAGAAAGAAAGAGCUACCUGGAUCUCUGACCGUCCCGGUUACUUGAUAGCCAGACAGCAGCAGUCGCUUGAUCAGCCAAGAAGCCAGAAAGCCAGAUGCACCGGUAACGCAUACUUUGCCCCUGAGUUCCACGUUUUCCUCCAUCGCUCGUUCUCUCUUGUUUUUUUGGAGUUUCUUUCCUCUUUCAUUUUUUGGCUCACCCCUUUUAUAAUAGUUCAAAGCUAUUACAUUUAAGGUAACACCACCUUCAGCGUCUUUAUUAAUUCAUAUACUUAAAUAGUGUAUAUAUUCAUCCAACAUUUGUGAAGCAUCGGAGGUUUUACAGAUGAGGCAAGUCAUCGCAGGUUUGUGAAGCAUCCACUUGACAACUAACUGCAUAAAACAGAAAUAAAUAAAAUCUAUCCAAGGCCUUCAGUCGAGAGUCGGCAACGAAAGUAUGACAGCUUUAAAUAUCUAUUGAACCUUUUAAGCCAACCAUGCGUCUCUUGCCCUCGUACCUAUUCACCCCAAGACAUAACGCAGCCACCAUGGCAACUCGUAACAAAUGCUAUUUUAAUUAGCAUUACAAGGGAAAAAAGUUCGAACUUUGUUCUCCAAUACAAUUUAAACACAAUGCAACUGCAAUGUAAACGUUGAACUGUGUUCUCCAAUACAAUUUGAAGGACUGCCCCAAUUGUAAAAAUGCAGACCAUCAAAUAACAAUAUGCAUGGAUACAACAUACUGGCGAACCCAGCACAAUUCAACUAACAGUGUAGUAAAAAUUGCAAAUCCAAUCCUAUCAGCCUCCACUGUACCCCACACACACACACACACACUUGUAUACAACCAGCAAUUGAUUGUCCUAAUAUACUUUAGCUUGUCAAACCAUGGUACCAACUGCCAAAUUACUUACCUACAACCUAUAGUCACCAAGCAUGAUUGGCAAGUCGUCAUUUUUUGAUGUGAAACAGAUUAGUAAGUUGAAUAACUGCUCAAUGAUGCAACCCUAUACCCCCCGCAGCAACAAGUCGCACUAAAAAAUUAAGGGAGGCAACGGCAAUGAGCAAAACUUUUCUUUUGGCGAAAGAGUACUUUCUUUACACAGGUACUAGACACUGACGUUUCACAGAAAUGUGGUCAUGUUCUUUGGUGUAUCCACAGUUCCAUUCUCAUCAUUGACAGCAACAGGCUCCCCAUCAUUGAGAUCAAAAGUCCAACCAGGAAAAUCGGAUUCUGAGAACAAAGAGGUUGGAGUAGAUUAUAGAAUGCCAGAGGCACCUGUUUGACCCUGCGUCUAAUCUGCAAGCAAGGAUAGUGAUUCGGGACACUUUAUUAUAUAGACACCAAAGCUUGCUCUAACAGCAUGAUCUGAUUGCUAUCGCAUAGAAGACAAUCACCGCCAGAUUUAGCAAUUCUGAGUAGUGCUUGUGCAAGGACUUGAUAAGCACAUAGAAACAGAUGCUACAAAUGUUUGUUAAAAUAUUAAGAAAGCAACAAAAACGAGGAGAACAGAAGAUGCCUUAUUUCUGAGGCCACCUAAAGGAUCCAUGGCAUGAUUUUCAAGUAUAAAGAUUGACCAUAUUACCUCCUCGCCAAAAAUAGUUGCAUAUGAUCCAGAACUGAAAUCUUGCACAGCAACUUCAGAUGUUUUGGCUCUAAUUGUUAAGUCACUCUCGAGGGAAACACAAAUCUAGUACACAAGAACAGUGACCAGUUAAGAGAAUAUUAAAUGGCAUUGAGCUCCCAAACUUGUAUCAGCACUCCCCAUUAGUUUACUUUUACACCGACAGAAAUACCCUCACCUAUUAUGAUAAAGGUAACUCUUCUUUUUCACUAACUUAAAGUUACAGCUCUUUAUGAAAAUCUAUAAAAUGUGUAUUAGGUAGAGAAAGGAAGUGAGUUAAUCUUUUAAUUAUCAUAUUUUUAAAAUUUUUCUUGAUUCCUAUCAAUUAUUAAUUUCAAAUACUUCUCUUAGUGACAGAAGUAUUUUAAUCAGCAUCUAAACUUAAAAACAAAUCAUUUUUGUAGCAACUCACCUGAAACAUUACUUCCAUUGUAGUGGUUCUCUUUGUUACAUGUCCUCGUGGUUCAACUAACAUUUUGUGUGAGACAUUGUACUGAAAUUUAAUUUUGGACAUCAUUCAAAGUGCUAUAUGCAAGUCUUAAACUCGUUAAAUCUAAUUUACACAGUCAAAACUAAAUUUUAGCAUUCUCUAGCAAAAUGUUUUCUUGAAUUUUGUAAACCAGUCAUUUAAAUUGCAAAUAAGUGUUGCUGCCAUAGAUGCAGGUUGUAUUUUUCUAGUAAACAUGGGCAAAAUGGUGAGACAAAUGAGGUGUUCUUGUUAAAUUUUGCCAUUAGUGCAAGAAAAAGAUAGUGGGACUGCCAUUAACGAUUCCCUUAUUAAAAAUCAAAGACGAGGUCAUUGCAUUCUUGAUUGGAAACAUGUACCUUGACACUGGUGGGCAAUAGUGAUGCCGGAGUGUAUCAAUUUCCCAUAAAGAGCUUCCUGGCCAAUGAUUGUUGUUAGCAUAAUUGAAGGGGGAAAAAAGGGUAUUAUCCACUAUUUUGUUUGUAAAUUCAGAUGACUUUCUAUAGAAUGCACACAAUGGAUCAAGGGUAGAAAGUCAAGGAAUGCUAAGCUUAGAUAGGAAAAUAGUGGUCUACAUAUAAUCUGCAACAAAAACUCUUAAGCAACCAGUCCCCCAACCCACCCCCCAAAAAAAAAAAAAGAAAAACCAAAAUUAGCUUGCUUUUCUAUAGAAUAGACCUAAUAAAUUCAAAUCUUACUCAUAGCAUUAGUUUUCAUGGAUCACUUUGCUCAUAAUCAAAUUGAUCAAUGCCUUGCUUGCUCGCAGAAUCCGUGUCAUCUGUUCUGUCAACACCACUCUUGUCUGUUGCGGAAGUCUCUUUACCAGCCUCAUUGACAUACCCCUGCAGCAUAUAGGUGUCAGUUCAUAAGGAAGUAUUUAUGCAGAUACCAUUGAAUGAAAGAAUUGCCACAUUAGAAACCUUUCCGGCCACCAAGUUUUGCAUGAUUCAUAAGAAUAAUCAGUGUGGCAAUUGAAUGCAAGUGACUUGUGAUGCGAAAUUGUAUACUUACCUGGUGCACCAAGAAGUUGAUUGAAGGAUGUCUCCUAAGAAGAUUGUGGACUAAAGCAAUAAUGAUUAAUGCUCCUGAAGGUGGGACAGAAAGUGCAAGUCUACUCAGUUUCUUACAGAAAGCAGCAGCCAAAUAUGCUGGAAGAAGCGGUGAUUUCAAGCAAGAAUCAAUAAGCUGCAAACAGAAUUCAAAAUCAGUAAGAGGGUUACAUAAUAAAAGAAACAAAUCUAAACAGUGAUCCAAGCAAAACACUAUUCUAGUCAUUAAAAUCUAGCGUCACGAUGACAUGUCUCUAUUACUCUUUCCCAUUGAGAUCAACCAUGACACACCUCCAAUGAGUGACUCAUACCACAUAGAGUUGAAUGGAGGCACAUGACUAACAUUACUCUCUCAACAUUUGUCAUCUUCCUUUGCCACAAAACUCGUUCUUCUCAAACCCACAUCUAACCUUCUCCUCUCCCUCUUAUAACCAAGCACCUUUCCUUUCCCUGCAUCCUUCUGUCACUAACUCUAGUUUCAUUAAUGUACCAUCAUUCCAAGAUUCCUCCCUUAACAUACAUAUCCCACUAUAACACUGCUCAUGACUCCAUCUCUCCAGUUCGCCUCUUUUUAUAUUGAUUGUAAUAUAUAAAUCACCAUACUAACAAAAGAGAAGAAUACAGAGCAACAAAUAGGACUGUGAUCAUCUAAAUUAGUGAAAUAGUUAAGUCUGAGGAACUGCAUGCUGCAUGUUUACUAAUCAUAAUUAAAUUCUGAACAAGUUUAUAACAUGGCUACGUUAAAAUGUAGAAAAACUCCCAAAAUCCAAGAAGAGAAAGUUGUUGGAUUCCCUUCUCAUCAGUUAUUUGAUGAUGCUAAAACUUCCAAAUAAAUCUAAAAAUAAAACACAGACUGCCUAGCUCCUUCCCUCUGAGUAAUUCUCAAAAGCAGAUUCUGCAGGUCACCUCUGCAAAGCAUUAGUAACAUCUAAGACACAGACAGGUGGUUGCAAAAAUUUACACAUUAAAACAGGGAAAGCUGAACAAAAUCAUCACAAUAGACACUAAGCAUGGUGAAGUCAAGAGGACCAAGGAAAAUAAGUGUUUGUAACAAAUUUGCACAACCAUCUCCAGGAACAACACCUAUGUCCACCAAGCAAGGCCGAAAAAGUGAGAAAAUUAUCAGUUGGAUGCACAAUAUGCAAAAUGUAGCACUCAGCCCUUACAUAAUUAUAGUACCAGCGCACAUCCAUUUCACCAUCAUAUGAAACAUACUUGUAAAAAACACAAGCAGUUAUUGACUAAUCUUUCUAAGCCUAAUUCAUUUAACCUCACUUGUCAAAGAAAACUGAAACCUGAAACAUACAAGAGUACCUGAAAAAAUUUAACCUAAUUCAUUUAAUCUUUCAGCCCUUACAUAAUUAUAUUACCAGCGCACAUCCAUUUCACCAUCAUAUGAAACAUACUCGUAAAAACACAAGCAGUUAUUUACUAAUCCUUCUAAGCCUAAUUCAUAUAAACUCACUUGUCAAACAAAACUGAAACCUGAAACAUACAAGAGUACCUCAAAAAAUUUUGCUCGAUAUUUAGCCAUAAAGAUAGAAGGUUCCAACAGUGCAUAAAGCUUCCCAUAGAAAUUUGGAUACUCAAGGCCAUGUUGUGUCAUAAGGAUAUAGAGACUGCUGAGAGCCAUUACACUCACAACACCUCCUAUAUCAUAUGAUCUUGUUAAGAAAUCACUGCAAUUUAUGAGGAAAACUUAUCAUGGACAUAUUGACGGUAAAAGAGUAACAGAACAUAAAUGUAAAUAAAAAGCUCUUAACAAAUUACCACAGCAUGAUUGGGUUAGACAGGUGAGGAAUAACAGCUUGAUGAAGAGUAGCAAGAACCUAAGCCACAAAGCAAGAGCAAGAGAGCAUGAAUUUUAAUGCAAAUCAAAUCAUUCAAACAAACAAUAUAAUGAUACAAGAAAAGCAACCAAAAAGAUAUCAAACCAAUGACAUGUGUGAGAGCCUUCAAAGCCAGUUUCAGAUAACAGUAGCAGCCCCUUAUAAUCAGGAAAGGUGAAUAGUAUGAACACCGGGGAUAACUAGAAUUAUCAUUCAACAUGGCAACAAUAUAACAAAUGAGGAACUUCCAUCAAUUAUUACUCUUUUUGUCCAUAGCCCCUUAUAAUCAGGAAAGGUGAAUAGUAUGAACACCGGGGAUAACUAGAAUUAUCAUUCAAGAUGGCAACAAUAUAACAAAUGAGGAACUUCCAUCAAUUAUUACUCUUUUGUCCAUACAGCAUUUGCUUCAUGAGAUCAAUAUGUAUCAGAUUAUAUACAUCUGGUGACAGUAAACUCCAUACUUCUACACAACAGAGAAACUGAAACAGAACAUAUAGGAGCUCAACAUCCAGAAGAAACACUCUUAAGAUGCAAAAUACACAUCAAAUUGCUAAUGAUCUGCUUACUUCCUUGUAUACAUCAAGUGGAAGCGGCAAUCUAAGGAAUGAUAUCCAUGCUUUACUAAACUUUAAUUUCAUCUUUUUAGUAACACUGGCUGCAGAAAAGUCCUGAUAGAGCCAAAAGAGUGGAAACUCAGGUCAAAGACAAUAUAAAGUGACACAGGUUUGAUGUGAAAGGAGAUCAUCUAAGUAUUAAAAAUGGAAGCUACAUGAGUGAGAAAAAUUCUAAAGGUUCAUCGCAGUACAAACCUUGCGAUCAUGUAAUCUUAAUUUCUGCUGUUUAUCCUCUGCAUCUGAAAGGUGAUCAUGGUUUUUCUUGUCGAAUUUUCUAGUAAAAAUAUCUAUCAAUUUGGAUACAGGUCAAUACCAAUAUAACAUCAAUUGAAUUACUUCAUUCAAAGAAUACAGAUUUAAUGCAAAAAACUGUAAAGCUUAGGUGAGGACAACAUAUCCAGUUUUUCAGAAAAUCGAUACACCUUGAUUUGAUCAAAUCAAAUGCAACUCAAAUUUAAAAUAAAGUAUUAGGAUCUGCAAGGGAUGUGACUAUGAAGCAUCUUGAAUUCAUUACAAAAUAGAAAAGAUCUUCAAUGUUGUAGAUUAGUGUUAGAAAUACAUCAUACAUGACAAAUAUUUUUAACAUCAGACACAAAAAACUGUUAACCAAAAUAAUGUGAGUAGGGAAAGAAAUUUUUGAACUAAUAGUCAAGGUCAAAAAUUAAAGAAUGAACUUACCAACACAACUCCACAUUUCAUAAUUAGACUCCACAACUGAAACUUCUAAUGGUGGGAUGCGCGAUAGCAAAUGAUAUAUGAUCCGAAUACAGACCUCCAUGCUACAACCAAAUAUACAUGGUCAAAGAUUUAGUAAUAGUGCAAAUCCUAUAAUCAUGUGAUUUCCAAUUAUGUGAGUUCAGAACAUAAGUAAGCCCAAGUCGAAACUAAUUAAAAAAGCACGCUUACAUGGUUCACAGAGAUUACACAUUUGUUAAGUUGUGCCAGUAUUGGCUUUGACGCAAAUGCAAACUUGCAACAUCAACGACAAACAAAUAAAAAGGAACACAGACAAGCUUUUUUUUUGGGGGGGGGGGGACCCAACGUAAAUUGUUGUAAUCCAAAACCCUCUAAAAGUAAACCAGAAACAUAAAAAACCAACACAGAGACCCACAGAUUCAUACAUACAAAACACACAGAAAGGGCAGCAAAGCCUAGACUCUAAAACAUCAAAGAGAUGUCAUUGCAACAACUGUUCAUAGUGAAGCAAGCAAGUUUGGACCCUGCAUUCUUGAUCCUUAUCUCUUGUAUGAAGCAAGGAAUCUGGCUUGCACCUAUUCCAACUAAAAGGCAAGGUCAACAGUACAGAAUGAAGUGACCUUGUAUGAGUAGCAUUAGCAUAUAGAAUGAAAAUAGCUCCCAUUUAGCUUAUACAAUGCCAUAGCUCAAUUUAUUGUGCAGGAUGAUCUUAGCAAUACAGCAAGAAUCAAAUUGAUUUGCCUUGAUUAAGACGGCUAGGAACAUGAAUAAUCUACAGAUACCUUGCCUUGACCGAUUUCCAGCAGCAGACUCUGAAGUUGCACUUUAUCAUCUGAAGGACAAACAGGUCAAGGAAGUUUAUUUAAAGAAAAAAAAGUCUGUACCAGUUUGCAUCCUUUUGGAAGUGAGACAGAGUAAAUGUAGCACUGAAUGCUAUGCUAGUGAAAAAAGGGCCAUUGAAGAGAAUAACUGUCAAAAAUUAAUAAGUACAGCUGAAUCUUCAGGCUCCAGAGUUCGUGCUAUCUUUUCCAAGCUUAUGUACGUGAAUAACUGUCAGAAGAGAAUAACAAGUCAGAAACAUGGCUUGGAUGCAAGACAAUGUUCUGAGUAAGAAUGCGUGAACGUUAUUAAGUAAGCAUUGGUAUGUUGGCAUCAUGCUAGAUGACAGAUAUCCAAAAAAAAUGCAUAGAAAUGCGUAGGAAUCAAUACAUUGUUUUAGUUGCUGAAAGGUUGGGCUAAAAGAGUGAAUAGUGUUUCAUAACAACAGAGUUUGAAUGAAUGCUUUACAGCAAUACAUAGAAGAGUAACAUAGGGGAGAUGUCAAGUCAUCAAGAAGAAUAGACAUCAUCAUACCGGACAUCAAUAUACUUGAAGUACUUGGACGCAGCAACUAACAGUAUAUCACCAACUCCCAAAGUAGAGUGAACCUACAAGUGCCACAAAAAUUUUUUAAAAACAAAGGGAAAUAGAUUAAUGGUUACUGAUUAAUAAGCAAAAACACAAAAGUAACGUCACAAGAAAUGAUCAGCAUUCCAAGAUGAAAGGCCAAUAGAGAUCAAGAAAUAUAUGGGAAAAGAAAGUAGCAGGGGGGAGGGAGCGAAACUCAAAUGCGAAUGAAGUGUAGAAGUAGAGAUGGAUAGCAAUAUAUGAUUAGGGAUUACUUACAAUGGCAUGAAGGAACCGGUGGAAGAUAGAAGAGUGGAAGUUGCGGCAUUGGUACCUUGACAAACUCCAUGAUUGUCUCCAACACAACUUCCUAAUAUCAGAACCAAAACAAAAUCAGAAUUUUUUUUUUAAAAAAAAAGGAGGAAAGCAAAAUUAAUAAAUAACAAAUUAGAGUGGCAGCAGUAGUAGUGAAAAUGUGUGUAGUAAAUUAUUACCCGGAGGGUUGGGUCGGAAAGGGCAGAGGUAGAGAUGGAGAUAAAGAUUGAAGGAAGUCGUCGAACUUGAGAGCGGAGCAAGUGGAGUAAAUGAGAUGGGCGGCGGUGGUGGUGGAGGCGUCGGAGGAAGAGAUGGAGGAGCGGGAGCGGGAGGCAGAGAGAUCCAGUAGAAGGGGAGUGAAGAAGGAUUGGAGAGAAAGGAGGACUCGAGGCGUAGGCAGGGUGGAAGUCCUCUCGGGGGUGUUUGAUAAAAUUGAGGAGGCGAGGGAGGUUGUUGAUGUGGGACCUGGACGACAGCAGCUGCUCCCUAGGGUUUUGAGCUCCCAGGCUCAGCUGCUGCUCUUUCUUCCUCUUCCUCUUCUUCAUCAUCAUCACCUGCUGCUGCGAAGUUUCAUCAUCGUCAUGGCAUUGGAAGAAGCCAUCCACAAAAAAUGAUUGGUUCGGUGUUGGAUAAUAUAUAUAUAUAUAUAUUCUCUCUGUGUGUUUGUGUGUAAAUUGUUCCAAUGGCUAUCUAAAGAGUUUUAUAUGUCCGCCUCCAAAGCUAAACCCCCUUCAAACCCUCCCUCUUCGUCUACCAUGUUACAGGGCCAGAAGCCUGCAGGGAACGAGUAUUUAUGAGUAUAUAUAUAUUUGGAUUAAUUUCACUUUGCACCCCAAACUUAUAUCAUUUUCUCACUUGCACCUAACUUCAGUUUUAAACGCUCUACGCUCUAAAUUCUUAAUUUUAGACAUUUUACGCUCUAAAUUUUCAAGUUUGCCCUAUUUACAUCAAUCAAUAACAAAUAUUAGUAAGAAAGACUGUAAAAUUAGGUGUCUUAAAAUUAGUGGCAAAUAAGAUUCCUGGGUGACUUAAUGAGAUACAAAUGCGAUCCCUAGGUUUGUUUUAUCCUAGGUUUUUUGCCUGGUGUCCUAAUGAAAUACAAAAAAUAGGUUUUUUCCCUAGGUAUUUUAAUGAGACACUAGGAUCCCUAGGUUUCUUUUUCUUGUAAUUAAUUUAUAUGGUCUCAAUCACUAUUAAUGAUAAUACAUGUCUAUAUAUAUAUAUAUAUUGCGACUUGGAUCUAAUGGUUGGUCUAAGUAACUUUUGAGUCGAAAUUUACUAGUUCAAAAUGGUUAACUCAACUUACUCAGUAGCCAAAGAGACCAAUCUUAUAAACCAUUCUUUUCCUUUUUUCGCUUCUGACGUGGAAUACCUCAGUAUUUUUUAAUUUCACAAUUUGAAUUUUAAAUUUAAAUUCAUGCUGUGUAACAUAAUUUAAACUUGUUAGUGUAAAAAAAAUAUCAGUGAUAAUGUGUAAAAAAAAUGUCCUAAUUAAAAUACAUAUUAAUUUAUUGAUUUUAUGUGUUUUUAUUGUUUAUGACUUUGAUGUUUAAUUGUGCAUUAAGGAAUACCUAUAGAUACUCAUCGAAUAUUGAAACUUAUGAAAGUCCAUAUUUGAAUUUCACUUUCCAAACCGAUGAGGGUUUGAGUUUGGAUCUGGAUACUCAUAAAUCAACAACUAUAGAUUUGAAUUUGGAUACUCAUAACUUCAGUGACUCUAGAUUUGUAUCAUGUGAGCUAACACAAAGCUAAAUCUAAACUUUGCCUUCCAAAAGUCUUAUUUUUUCUUUGUUUUUCUUCAGGAAAUGGAACUUGAAGCUGCAAGUCUAACAUCUCAUUUUCUAUUCAGACGCCUAGAGGGCAAUAUAAUUGUUCUGCAUGCUUUUUCUACAUUUGGUUAUUUUUCUUGUUCACUAGUAAUUGAGAGUAUUGAUUUUUUAUAUAUUAACCACUUUGAAUAUAUAUCGCAUACACACAAUCUGAAUUUUAAUUUUAAAUUCGUGCUAUGUGACAUAAUUUAAACUUAUUAGUGUAAAAAAAUAUAUACAUAUAUAUAUUUAUACAUAGUGACAGGGUAUAAAAAAACUGUCCUAAUUAAAAUAUAUAUUAAUUUAUGAAUUAAUCUUUCCUACACUGAUAGUAUUAAAGUGUCAAUAUUGAAUGAAUGACAACUACACAAAAUUUAAAUUUAAAAUUCAAUUUUACAUAUUUGUCAUAAAUUUAACAGUAAUUUAACGAUAACAGUGAAUACACUGACUGUCGGUGUAUAUUAGUUUAUUCCAACUUUUAUGGUCCUCAACCUCUCAAAUUCCACCCUAAAUUCUUCCUACUGCAUCUAAUUUCACAACUACACAAAACAUAACUAGUCCAGAAAAAAGAAAAAAAACCAAUUAAAUUUUUGCGUUUAAAAUGACGCAGACCAGCGCGGAGAAGCAGAGCCGUCCCAUUCUUCGCUUCCAAAUUGAAAGUACUCUGAAAGUGAAGAACCAACAAUCCUGAAGCUGCAUAAAUCAUUGAUCCCUAAGACUCGAUUGGCUUUUUAACGUUGAUAAUAUGGGGCAUUCAUAAUCUCGACGUAUUCACCAUUUAGCACACCUAGCUUUACAAGUAUGGGAUAACCUAUCAGCUCUUGUAAACUUUACCCCAAAAAAAAAUUUUUUUUUUCUUUAAAGCCCUACUGUACUUUGAUAGUAGAGUCUCAUCUUCUAUUUUACAAAGACAGAACCAACCAAACUGGAAAACUGAAAUUCACUAUUUGAAUCAAAAGACUCGAAACGUAGCAUUUCCCAUCCCUUAAUCAUCAGUUGUUUUUGGCAAUAGCAACGGCCUGCCUUGCACCACAGAAAAGAACUCACUGAUCACCUCCAGAGGCAUGCCUUAGUUUCUGGAACCUUCAAGAACGCAAAGAACCAGGAAAUGAUGCACACCACUGCAUAUGUCCCAAAAACACCCAGUCCCAUUGAAGACAGCAUCACAGGCAGCGUAUACGUUACGAUGAUGUCUCCGAUCAAUAUGUGAGGCAACAUAGAGCAAUGCAGACCCCGCGUACCCGCGUCGAAAUAUCUCUGAACAAAGUAUAUUCGGAACUGGACCGAAUCCCAUGACAAAAAAGCAGAAGUAGAGCACCACACAAACUGUGUCGAAACGGCUGCAUUUCCAACCUUGCCCAUGUUAACUACACUUCGAUCACUAAAUCACCAGUGUUAUAGAAGCACAGGAUGGUCCAGAGCAAUAAACUCCUGAAACAACAUUGGAAAUUUGGAAAAGCUUUGAGAGAUGCUACUCGUAGUCACAAAUGCAAAUUACUACUAUUAUCCAUGUCUUCUCAAAGUUUCAAGCCACUAAUAUGCACAUGGAUCAAUCACGACGACUCGUUGCACCUUUUAUUAUAGGUGAGAAGUGCUAAAAAUAAGUUAAUUAAAUUCACAUAAUGAACCCCAAAAAACACACACACACACAAAAAAAAACAAAUGCGAAGAAAACUGAAAGAACCAAGACGGCAAGAUGGCCUGAUAAAAGUACAUAGUACACAAGAAGAUGAAGAAAAUCAACUUUAUGAACUUCUGAUGACAGAAGCAUAAAGACCACCGUUUGGACAAAUUAAACAAACGAGAAAUGAUACAGGGCAUAAGGUUCACUAUCAAAUUUCAUUUGAAUUCCAAAAGUUUCUAAACUUUGAACUUACAGUGGGCAAAAAACUAAAAUAUCAAAAAGAUGAAGUGCAAGUUAAGCAGGAUGUAUUGCUAUCAUAAAUACUCAUAACGAUCCAUUCGUGCGCACCAAGCCAAAAAAAGGGAUGAAAGACCAAGCAAAGAGAAGAAAUAGAAUGCAUCUUUUUAUGUUCUUAUAGGCAAGAGAUGAGAAUUCCUUUGAUAACUUCGUCAUUCAGUUAUAUGACUGCUCAUACUGUCCUCUAGAAAUGCUUCCUUGCUGACAGUCAAUUUACACAGAGUCAGAUGCAAGUAAGCUUCCUUAUUGGCAAGAACAUAUCAACUUUUGGAGUCAUGGAAAUCCAUUUAUUUGUUCUAAAAUUUAUUGGUCAUAACAAAAAAAAAAAAGAUAAAGAGAGUGCUUUUGAAUUGAAUGUGACACUGACAUGAGAUGAUACUUUAAUUUUAGAACAAAGACCGACAUUAUGUCUUUAAAUCAAUAUGCUCUGAAGAUCAAUCUCACAUCUACAAGUAAAACGACUUAGUAUAUGAUUAAGAAAUGAAAUGCCUGACAAAAGUUUCAAGAACCUACCUUCUGCCAGCUAUAUCCACAAGCCUCAUGGCAAUAGCUAUGGACGGCAACAUCAACAAAGUAGUAAUAGCACUGAUAAGAAAAGAUGCAGACGCUGAACUGAUGCCAUAUUUGACAGAAGAACUCCUACGCCUGCCUCCUCAAGAAUCUGGGGAGUGUAGUACAGCACACCAUUUAUACCUGAGAGCUGCACAUGAUGAAGCAAGUUAAACCUGAAAAUGACACAAAAACCAACACUAAUAAACUGUAACAAAUGACUGUGCUCCAAAAGCCUCCCUGUAUAUUCUAUUGAAGAAGAUCUUACCUGGAAAUGGUUUUAGGGGAUUGAUAAACAGUGCUAUAUUUGAUUUUACUGACAACACAAAUGGAAAAUUUUCCGGAACAAAUCCAAAACAAACAUGUUGUAUGACAAAAGGAAGAAUGACAGACAAUAGUUACUUCAUAAAAUUUCUAAACAACGUAAAGCACAAUGCUGAUAAACUGAAAAAGUCAUAUAUCACUAAGUGUUAAGACCCUAGUCAUCAAAUGUUGCUACGAAUUGAAUAUCUACUUAGAACAGAUAUGAGAAUGAAAAUCCCCCAACUAAACGAUACAUAGAAAAACCAAAAUGUCUGAAUUUUUUGCAGGAAAUAGUUACCUGCUGAAGCAAUUCAAUUCCAAUUCCAACGACCAAUGCAUGCUUAACUCCAGGCUCAAGUAGGUCCUUCCAACUUGGCCCUUUUGCAGCAGCUUCAGAUGGAUGAAUCAUUGCUGGUCCAACAGGAUGCUGAUCCAAUAACUCCUUUGAAUAUAGAGCUGGAUGACUCACCAAAGCAGCAGCUUGUAUGAAUUCGCCACCUGCAGGCACAUCAUCACCAUGAACUGAGACCACAGAACCUCUGCGGGAUGCAGAAACACCACCCUCAUGCAAAUAAAUUCUCUUAAACCCUCCUUCUUUCUUUCCAUCUUGACCUUCCCUCCUAUCCACUUCCAUGCAAGCUGCCACCGCCACCGAUGCCUGUACUACCAGAUGUUUCCCCAUUGGCCCCUCGAAUAGCAGUACCCUGCCUCAUGCUCAAAAUACUUCCAUGUAAAGGAGGUCCAGCCAUGUCUUUUUCUAGGCUGGUUGUCUGACGUGAUAUUAGUGGGCUUUGUAAAUUGUCAUCAGAUUCAACUCCAGCAGCAUCAGAUGCAUAAUCCUCUCCCUCUCUGCCAAGACUCUCUACAUCCCAUUCUUCAUUUCUAGGUUGAUUUCCUGCUACACUAAACAUGCUGCCUAAGUGUGGAAAAAACAUGCUUCCUUUGCUCCCAGUAUCUGGAAGCUUUUCAUGAAUGCUUCCAAAGAGGCUAACUAGAGGAUCCAUAAGGGGAACAUUCUGGUUUAUUAAGCUUCCUUGUCGAGAUAUCGGAGUAAGUACACUUUGCCCAGUAACAGGUUGAGCAACCCAGGACUUUCCUUCUUCAGGACCAUACAACCUUAUCCGCUCUUUGUCUGCACUCGGCUCCUGAUCUUCAGCAAGUUCAUCAGCAGGGGCAAUUAUGUACUCCUCAAUAUGUGUUUCACUGCUGAUGCCAAGGCCUUCAACUAACAAUGCCAUCUCACCUGUUUGAAAAGAAUAUAGAAGUCACAGACAAGUAAGAAUAAAAAUUCAACAAAUUUUCCUAUGUACAACGGUGAGUUAUUUUUGUCAAGUCCGUGCAAAGGCCGAAACGCUCUCAAAACCAAUUCAGUUGAUAAAAGAAAAAAUUUUUGCAGCUAUUAUACAACAAAUAUUUUGCAGCUAUUCAACCAUAAAGCAUAACGUUUUGUUAUGGAGGGGAGAAGCCAUGCCUAUAAAUUUGUAUAGAAAGGAGGAACGAGCAGAGAAAAUUGUUCAAGUCAAAAGUUGAAAAGCAGGGGCACAGCCUCAGUGCUUGGGAGAGGUAAGGGGAUUUAUCUCUCACGUGAUUCUGAUUUUCUAUGCUUCAAUAGUAUGGUACAUCAAUUAAAAAGGAAAAAUGUUGAACAUAAACUCAAUCCUCCUUUCCCAUCAACAAGGACUCCAACUCAAAACCAUGAAUUCAUCGGCUAUGUAGAUUCAAAUUCUUCUCUCCAGCAAACCAUCUUAAUUGCAAGGCAUUAUUAAACAUUUCUGCCUUCUCCAAAUUUUGUCACUUAUCAAGCCAUUUUCCAUGGAGGACAGACACUAUAUUCACUCAAUUCUCAAUUUAUAAUACUGUUAACAAAAGAAAUGCACUCUUCUUCUUCUUCACUGGAAAAUUGAUCAUUCCUUCAGGAUGUUAAGUACAUCACCUGUUUGUUACUUAAUUCAAAUACCCACAUCGGAAAAACAAAUUCACUGAAUCCAAACUUAAAGAACAAGAAAGGAAGGGGAUAAAUUGACGACCAAUCAUCCGAGAUAGCAAUUUUCAGAAAAUGAAACAAACAUAGUGUAGACCAAAGUUUUGGGCAUAUCAACUACUGAAAAAAUGAUAUCUUAUAUAAAGAUAAAGGCAUGUUUAUUCUGUCAAGAAUUGCAUUAUCUCAACCUUCAACAAAUAUUUGUACAGAUAAUGGACACCAAGAACCAACUCACCAGCUACAUCUUCCCUGCCACGGAGCCUCUGCAAAACCUGCUUGGCCUCAAUCAUCCGCCCUUUACUAACAAGCCAUCUAGGAGACUCAGGCAAAUAAAGCACUGCUACAGCAAAAUAAGCAAUCGAAGGAAUCGAAAGAACAACAAGCAUUAAUCUCCAGCUUGGCGAGCUCAUCAAUGACAUUCCAAACACCAUGCAGUAUGACAAAAACAUUCCAAGAGAACCACAAAACUGAGGCAAAGUGUUCAGUAAACCUCUAAUUUCUGGAGGCGAUGUCUCAGAUAUGUAGAUAGGAACUAAAGUAACAGCCAAGCCAACUCCAAACCCAUCAAGCAGCCUUCCCAAAAGCAGGACAUACACAUUAGGGGACCAGAACAUCACAAGACCACUCACAAAAUAAAGGACAGACGAGACUAUAAGCAUAGGACGACGACCAAGCCAAUCAGCAACACCGCCAGCGAACGUAGUAACCAAUACGGCACCAAUAAGCGACAUGGCCACGAUUAAACCUUCUACAGUAGGAUCUGACUCCAAUUUGAACUCCCUCUUUAUGUAUAGUACAGCCCCUGCAUUUUUUUUACAAGAAUAAAGCGACAAGUACACAUUUUAUGUUUCAACAACAAAAUACGGGGAAAAACAUGCAGUUAUAAAACUAUAUAAGAUUUGGAAAAAGGUGCUUGCAUAUUUGGAAAUAUAAAAUUUGAAUAAAAUAAAUUGUGCAGUGCUUAUAAAAGUGUGGACUACAAACCAAUCCAAUCCUCGCAAAAUGUGACUAAUCCUAAAUAAUAGGCGUCUAGUAAGAAUAUACAUUCACGUUCACACAUGCAUAGCGAAGACAUAACUAGAUGAUGAGAAAGAUUUACCAGCAAUUGUGGCAUUGUCCCAUCCUUGCAAUAGGUUACCGAUUGUAGCGCCAAUAGCCACAAGGACUGCUCCACUCAUCUUCCUUCAACAGCAAGACAGCCAAAAGUGAUUGAGAGGUUUAAUAUUGUAACUUUUAAGAGAGGUAUCAAUUGAACCACCCAAACCCUUUCAUGGGAACGGGAGUUUUGUCAUUUCUACAGGACUAGAGUUCAUGAAACUUGAUAACGAGAGGAAAGGAAAACUGCUGCUGAACUCAAGAAUUGACACUAGAGAAAUAAGAACCAAGACAUAAUUUUUAGCUGCAAAAGAAGCAAACUAAGUGAAAACUUGGAAUGCAGUUUCUCAGCACCGGUAGUCCAGAUAACUAUCCUAAUUCACCAGCAAAAGCAUAAUGACUGACUCCAGAAAGAUGCCCAUUAUAAUUCACACCCCAUAUGUGACACUGAAUUACAAGCCUGAAACUACAGAGCUUUGAAACUAGACAAACCCAUGAAUCCACGAUAUAUGAUCGGCAUUCAUCCUUUUGACAACAGAAUGUGAUGUGUAGACACACAAUAAACGAAGCAAACAACGAACAACACCCAAAAAUAACAUUCGUCAAUAUGUCAGAGAUUCAAAAUGUCACAGAAAGACUAGCAUUUUAAGCUAUGGAGCGAAGAAUAUGCAAAUAAAUCUCUCCUUGCUGAAAUGCCGCACACAAAAUGUGGCAGCCAAGUUAAAGAGUAAUGAAUAGAAAAUUUUCAAAUUUGAAGAUAAAGAGGGCUGUGGCUGCUGCAAGUAAGCCAGUGGACUUUGAACCUGAUUUUGAACUGUCUAUAUUAGGGUUCAAGGAAUGAAGAAGAACAGGGAAACCACUGGAGGGCGUCACAGGUAAGCACCAAGCAAUAUGCAUAUACUAUCAUAACAGGUUACAAUACAGAAUCCGUAAGCCGUAGUUUCAAAAUCUUCAGUAGAGCCUCAAAUUCAUAAUCAGAUAAAACAUGAGAGAAGAUUUUGAAACAAAAGGUUGCAGAUAAAGCAUGACGAGGGAUUGAAGCAUCAUAGUAGUGCUUAGUAUCAUUUCUAAACCAACGCACAAUCAUAAAUAGUAAAGCCUCGUAAAACAAACGUGAAAAAGAUUACAGAAAACUAGCAGUAUACAGAAAGAAGAUAGAGGAAGGACAGAUUUUUUUUUCUUUUCCUGUAAAAACAAAAAAAAAAAGAAGAGAAGAGAAGAAACAGCAAGCAAAUAUUAGAAAUAUAAAAAAAAAAAAAAAUUUACCUGGGGUCUUGAAUCUCUCCGCUCCUCGUUUGUCCUGAAACUGAACUAGUGGGAUGCUGCUGGAAAGGAUUGAUUGUGAGAACUGGGCGGCGAAUAAUGAUCGAAAAAACAAAAGAGAGAAAGAGGGGGGGAUGAAAAGAUUCGAUAGGGCCAACUGAAGGUGGAACAGAACCAGGAUGAGAUCCAACAAACACCAAAAUCCAAAAUCAAAAAGCCAAAAAAAAAAAAAAAACGCCUUAAUCCGAGUCUAGGCCAUCCGGCAUGUACUCUAUAAUACUACUACUAUCUAGUAUAUUAAUUCCAGUACUGCUCCUCCCCACUUUUCACCCUGUAACAAUGAUUGUGACUACUGACUAGUGCUGCUUUUGUUUUGUUUUCUAUUGUAUAUUUAUAUGAAAUGAAAAAAAAAAAAAGCUAAUCCCUACUUUGACAUGAUUGUGAGCAGUAGAAUUUUGAUUGAUCACUGGCCCUCACCACCCAACUUUCAAAGUUUAUAUAUAGUAACGGCAGCAGCAGCAGUAGUAGUGCAAAGUAUGUUGUUUUGUUACCUAUACGUGACUGUACGCCUGCCUGUAGGGGGAUGAUUUUGUUAUUUAACUACUACUCGUAUUAAGCAAACAGAAAAACAAAAACAGAGAAAGAGAGCGAGAGACAGAGAGGAUAAAAUAGUACGUACAACGUAGUAGUAGUAGUAGUGCUAAGUUAAGCAAAGCAGCAGAAGUGCUUUGUUAAGAGUCUGACUGGGGAAGCAGAAACGCAACUCCUUUCCUCCUUUGUAUUGCUGCUGCCCAACCAACGGAAAACACAUCCUCCCAAUCAAAACUUUGUCGCCUGAUUCAAGUGGGUCUCUCUCUCUCUCUCGGCCCCAAAAGAAGAAAAAAUAAAUAAAGAGCCUAAUAAUAAAUUAAUAAAUUAACACAAAGCAGGAAGGAGGUCAGGAGCAGGAGGAGGAUGAUGAUGACGACGAUGAUGAGUACCUACCAGCUGUCAAGAAGAAAGAAACCGAACAGAACAAGCAGCAAAGCUUUGGCUCAUCCUUCAAAAAUUUGAAAAUCAAUCAGUCGCUCGCUCUCGCUCUACUAAAUUAUUAUAUAUACACAUACACACCUAGUACUACUAGUCCACCACGUAGCUAAAUUACCUGUAAUUAUCGGAGUACUAUAUUAGACUACAGUACAAGCAAGCUCCCUGGAAUGAGCCACAACACAACUCAACUCCCUCCGCUCCACGUCAAUUAUCUUUUGGUGUCAUUAUCAAUCAAUCACCUAUUCGCUGGCUCGGUGCCUGCCUGCCACCAAACGAAAAAUAUAAUUUAUUCUGCUCUUUUUGUUUUUUCUUCUUUAUUUUAAUAUUAGGAUGGGAUAAUUUCAGAAACCUUCUCUUCACUCGGCUCCCCUGAGAUUUGAAAGCAAAAUUAUAUUUAAAAUGAUAAUUUUACUCUUAAAUAUUUUAAUAAAAUUCUCUUAUUUGAUAUGCUUAUAAUUAGAAUGAGUUUUAAAAUUAUUCUUUUAUUCUUUUUUCUUCUUAUUGUUUUUCUUAAUUUUUUUAUCAAUAAAAUUGUAGAACUAUCACUAUUACCUCUAGGUUUCUAUUAUAACCAAAUGUCGAACUAGUGAUUUUUCUUUUUACCAGUUAAUUUAGAUGUAGUUCAAUGUUUUGUUGAUCUUUGUUUUCUAUUUUUUGGUAUUAAAAAUAACAAUAAAUCAAAAGGAAAUGGCCCAAAAGUAUUACUAAAUUAUGAUAAUCCCACUAUUUCAAAAAUUUAUAAACUCUAAAUAAAUUAUUUCAACAUGUUCUUUUCUAUCUUAUAAAUCUAAAUUCAUAAUAAAAUACCAUAAAAAAUAUCAUAUCAUAGUAUUAAAAUAAUUGUUUAUCAAAUAGUAGAUAUGGACAUAAAAAAUUUGGCACUUUUUCUUUAUAAUUAUACUAAAUAAUCAUAUAAUUGUAUAGAAAAAUAAAUUAAAAUUCAUUAUACAAGGCCAUUUUUGGAUAUUUAUUUUAAAAAUUGUCCAAGUCAAUAUUAUUUUAAAGUUUUGUUAUUAAAACUAUCAAAUCAAGGAAGGUAAACGAAAUUUUUUAAAUUUUAGAGGAGUGUGAAAUUGUCAAAAACCUCAAUGAAGAUUUCUGAAAUUAUCCCUAUAAGGAAUUGCGAAAUGGAAAAGGAUGGAAAACAUGGGCUGGGUAGCUGAAGUUUGGGGCAAACUGAUUACACUCGAAGAUACGGGCCUAUGGUCAAUCAAAUCCGGUAGUCUGAAUUUUUAGAAUGUAGGCCAAGAAAUUCGAUCUCUUAACCUACGCUCAGCCCAAGUAAUUUUGGAUUAAAAAGUAAUGGAUUGUAAUACAGCUCAUAGACACAUUUUUCAUUUAGGUAAGAAUAAGUCUGGAGUUGGACCUGCCCUUUCUGGGUGCUGUUUUUGGUACUCAAUUUGGCGUUGUGUAAAUGUGGCCUGCUUAUUUAACUUAGGAAGCAAAAGAAGUUUUCCUGCCCACAGAGUCGCAUGCUACACAUUGAAUAAGGUUCAACUACAUCUUGGCUUGUAAUUUUGGAUUUGUCAUGUGAAUGCAAAGUCAUGAGCAUGUGGCAUCCCUUGUUCAUGAAUAUGAAACUCAAAUUUGAGUUUUUUGUGAGGAAUUGUGCAUGGAGCUCAUAGUCACAUUAUCCCUUGUCCAUUGUUUUUUAUUUUUAUUUUUAUCGAGACGAUAACUGUUGUAUAAUCUAUUCUAUCCUACGUUAGAAGGGAGAGGGAGCCUAAAGAGGCUUGUAUUGAAGACUAGCAGGUAUACAAACCUUACUCAUAGUCACAUUGUUGAGCUCACCCAAGUUUAGGCUUUCAGUUCAAGUGUCAGAAAUUUUAAUAGCGCCUCAGAGCACAGCUAAUAUGAAGUGAUAAGCAUUAAACACUACUGUUGCGACACUAAACUUUUGAGUUGGUUAAUCUUUGGCAGUUUCUAUGAUUAUGUUUUCAACAUUUGAACAUUCGGUGGAUUUUAUAUAUCAGAACAUUGUCCAAAAGAGAAACGAAGAACAGUUCGACAACUUAGUGUGACAUGUUUAGCUAGCUAAUGCAGCUGGAGCUGUUCGUACCGUGAUCUCUAAUCCUGUUGAUCUCUUUAUUGUGUCAUCCCUUUACAACAGAAAGGCUGAAACUAUUUGGCAGCCAAGUUUUUUGUCAAGUUUGUUUUUUACAAGUUUUUUAAAAACUUUAAUUACAGUAACAUUAAAAACUUUUCAAAGUUUUUAAAUUAUACACUUCAAAAUAUUCAAAAAAAAACACACGCUUCGAAAUUUUUUUAAAAAACUUCUACAUAAACUACAGUAAAGUUUUAAACAAACAUCCAAAAAACUCACUUGCAAAAUGGGGCCUGUAUUGCAGGUAAAAACUACUAAGCUUGAGUGGCCACCAUGGAGGGACUUAAGUCCCUUCUAAAACUGUAGGUGAGAAUUCAAAUCCAACCUGUAGCGAAAAAAAUUCAAGGGUGGUAUCAAAGCACUCCUUUGAUCUAGUAAGAUUUGUAUACCUGCUAAUCCCUAACACAUGUAUCUUUAGACUUCCCCUUCUCUGUAAAUUAUGAUGGAAUAUAUUAUACAAUUGUUGUUGCCCAAAAAAAAAAAAGUAGACAAUUGAAACCUGUUUUUAAAUGAACUUUUUUUGUAAAUGGAAUUAGUUGGGUUGGAUUUCACAUGCUGUAAAUUUUAAGGCUGCAAAGAACUAUACAGGGUUUGUCAAUUUGUUUACUAGAAGUCUUCCUGUUCGAAUGACUAUUGUGGGGCCAGUUGUGAGUCUGCAGUGGUUUUUCUAUGUCAGCAUCAAGGUGUUAAGCGGGCUGUAAGUAUUGGUUUUUGUUUACCUUCCAUUCUCAGUGCUUUUGUGCUCUUUCUUGGAUUAUCUGUGCUUGGGGUAUAGAAAUUGAAAAUGCUACUGCCAAAUCUAGCAUCUAGCUGGAAAUUUGAUCAUCUGUGCCUCAAUCGAUUGUUGUACAUCUAACUCCUGGAGAAUAUGUUCAACUGUUAGUUAAAUGGCAAUGUUGUUCCUCAGAUUUCUCAUCCCCAACAACCCCACAAAACAAAAAAAAAAGGGCUGUUGAUUUUCCUUAUGGAGGCUUGUUUUAUUGAAGAGUAGGAAGGAUCAAGAAAUCAAAUACAUGUCCCUCGCCCUUCCUCCCGCCCUCCCCCGUCCACAAAAAAAGGGGGAAAAAAAAGAGAGUAAAUGUUAAUGAUCUCUCUUUACCAUGAAACUACCAAUGCAAGACAAUGAUGAGGUUACAUGCAAUUGUGUGCCUGCUUCCUUGGGUGGAAAGAGAUAAUUGCAGUGUCCAUUUUAUGUGUGGUGAAAGUCUCCUGCUUUGCUAAUUUGUUGCCUCAUUUAAUGAUUGUGAUUUUGUUUUACAAAUUCAUUUUUAGCUUUGUGUCCUGAAAAAAUGUAGGCCUACUAGCGGAGGAGGGCUUAGCAAGCAUGUUAAAGAUACCACAACGUUAAGCUGCUAGGAUGUGAACAAAGAGUCAAAUGGCAAACAGAGGUAAUGAAACCGUGCAUGGUGGUGGCUUCUCAAGUUAUAGCUGAUAUGUUAUGUCAAUAAGUUUCUUUUAAUUAUCAGGUUCUCAUUGUUCAAUCAAAAGUAUAUGAAUCAACGUAAAGCUUUGAAUGCCACAUUAUUGUUUAGAUAGAGUUUGAAAGACUAGGAAGUUAACUCUGAAAAUAAGUUAGUGUGUUUCUCCUUGAGAAGGUUGUGCUGUGCAUAAUCAGUUGAUGCAUAAUCUAGUCUCUUGAUGCGAAAGAAACGGGCCGGAGUGUUGGUUGAGACUUUUGAGUCUUGAGAAAAUGCUACUAUAUAUCAUGAUUUUGUAGAAAAGUGAAAUUACGAAAAAUCGACGAGAAUUGAACCACUAUGGAACCAUAUCAGUGCAUUACGCACCCUGCUCUGCUAAAUCCUUGAGGAUAAAGUUUAAGGCUCUAUAUUAGUAGUAUAUCUAUGGACGAAACUUGCAGGAGAAGUGAAACAAAGGUGGAUAAUCUUGUACUAAUAGUCUUUGAGAUGUCAUACGAGAUUUAGCCCCGUACUUUUGUCUUGGGCAAAACACACGUGGUUUUAACUUUUAACUAAGUCCAACGUAUUACUGGUUGGGUUAGAUUUGGAUGACGCGACGAAAUGUGAAAAUUGGACAUGUCCGAUUUUGGUUGCCAACCUUGACCGAAUUAAUGACCGUAGACUGCCCUGAAUGGGGCCAUGCUUCGAUUUUUUUUUUUUUAUUGGUACAAUCCCCAGAUGUUCGCAUCCGUUUUAUGAUCUGCGACUAAUCCUGUUCGAGUCGGAUCGGAUCCCUUGCAGAGAAAACUCUUCCAAAGUUAUUUUUUUCAUUCCGAUGGGUUUCAAACUCGAGACCAUGGUUAAGGGAUGCAAACCUCUUCCACUUGCACCAACAUCCGUUGGUGGGCCAUGUUUCUAUUGAAACGGACAAUGUUGUACCAGUACAAGAUUAAGGGAACUAGAAUUGCUGAUUACGCAUGGGUGGCGCGAUAAAAAAUAUAAAAAAAAACUCAACUCUUUCUUUCCCUGAGCAGGCAGGGUUUGCACCUGAUUUAGAAAAUGUUGUUUAUAGUCAGACCUCUAAAGCAUCAAAUACGAGUUUUCAUGGGCAUCAGUAAUUUUAUAGAACUCUAAACCCUUCUUAUGUAGACCUCGAGUAUUGUUUAGUUUUCAAUAGAAAGUUAUUAAGAGUAGUAUUAUUAUUGAUCCUCGUAAAAAAGCAAAAUAUCAUAGCACACUAUGGGUCAAAAACUCGGGAGCAUUUAUCCAUUAACUUUAAUUUAUGCAAGUCAAAAACUCAAUCUUGACUCAAAUUAAUAUACUAUUUCAUACCCUUAUUUAUUUAGAUGUUAUAUGCUAUAACACAUGUGUCUCUGUUUGGGUUAUAAAUUAUUUGAGAUAUUUUUACUGUAGCAUUUUUUGUGAUGUGAUGCAUGUGAGAUAAAAAGGUAAUUGGAAAGAUAAAUAGGUGUGUUGAAAAUUGUAAUGAUGAUGAGUGUGUUUGGAUUGUAAGUUAUUUGAAAUAUUUUUACUGUAGCACUUUUUGUGAUGUGAUGUAUGUGAGAUAAAAAAGUAAUUGGAAAGAUAAAAAGGUGUAUUGGAAAUUGUAAUGGUGAUGUCAGCAAAUAUAUUUGGCCAAAUAAUUGGCUGUCCAAACACACUCGAUGUAAGCAAAUAAAUUUUGACAAAUAAUCCUCUAUCCAAACAAAUAGAGUCACUAUUCUUUUGUUACUAAUUAUAUAACCUAUUCUAUUUUAGUAGCUAAAUCAAAAGAACGUUUUGAUAUCACCCUUAGAUUUUUUUUUUUUAUUGCAAGUGAAAUUUGAACCCCUCACUUACAAUCUAAAGAGAGACUUAAGUCCCUUCUUUUUCUCAGUGGACACUCAGCUUGCUUAGUGGUUCUACUCUUUUUUUACUCUCUCGGACAGAAUUCCUACUCUUUUUUGCUUGGCUCCACUUUCAGCACAUUGAUUUAGGCGGCUUGAAUGUACAAACAAUAAUGUUGAACGAAUCAAAGAUAUAAUACUAACAGUUAGGAGCACCGCCAAAACCUCAAGGGUAGAUUGUAAAAUUGUCGUCGAUGGAGUCAUAAUUAACAACAAAAGGCUGCUAGCAAAGCAAGGCUGGUGAGCGCUCGAACAUAAAUGAAAUCUAAAUGUGGACAUGGAUGUUUCUGGGCAAGUGACACAUUUUAUUGUGGCAGGAAAGAGGCUGGGACAACGCUACCUCUGAACUUGUUCUCUCUCUCUCUCUCUCUCUCUCUCUCUCUGGAUAAAAAGCUUGUCUCUCACCUGUUACAAGAUUUUUUUUUUCUCUAAAUCAUGUGCCUGAAUUAAAAGUAGGGAUAAUUUCGGAAACCUACCUUGAAGUUUUUGACAAUUUCACUUAGCUCCCUCGAGAUUUUAGAAAUUACGCAUACCUCUCUAGUCAUUUAAAAUGACAAUAUUACCCUUAAAUAUUUUAAUGAAAUGACUCCCUUAUUGGUGUGUUCAUAUUUAGACUGAUUUUUAAAAUUAUAUUGUUUUCAUUCUUUUUCCUUCUUAUUCUUCUUUUGUUUAAAUUUUUUGCCAAUAAAGUUGUAGAAUUACUACUGUUACCUCUAGUUUCAUUUGUAACCGAAUGCAGAACUAGUGAUUUUUUUGAUGAGUUAACUUUAUACGUAAUCCAAUGUUUUUGCUAAUCUUUGUUUCUUAUUUUUUGGUAUUAAAAUUAAUAAUAAAUUAAAAAGAAAUGGUCCAAAAUCAUUGCUAAAUUAUGAUAAUCCUACUAUUUGAAAAAUUCAUAAACUCUAAAAUGAAUUAUUUCAACAUUUUCUUUUCUAUAUUAUAAAUUUAAAUUCAUAAUAAAAUACCAUUAAAAUUAUCCCAUUAUAGUAAUAAAAUUAUUAUUAUAUUUGUUUAUCAAAUAGUAGACAAGAACAUAAAAAAUUUGGCACCUUUUUUCUUAUAAUAAUACUAGAUAAUCUUAUAAUUGUAUGUGAAAGUAAAUUAAAACUCAUUACACAAGGGUACUUUUGAGUAAUCAUUUAAAAAUUUGAUCGGGUCAAUAUUAUUUUAAGAUUUUGUUACUAAAACUAUCAAAUUAAGGGAGUUAGAUGUAAUUUUUAAAAUCUCAGGAGAGCUCAGUGACAUGAAGGACCGGAAGGGGGAGUGACUUUACAGUUCAAAAAUCAUCAUUCAUUUUUGAAUUGAAUAAACUCAGGCCUAAUGAAUUCAAACUUUUGUCAACAAUUGAAUAAAGUUAAGGCCUAAUGUAAUGAAUUCAAACUUUUGGAAACAACUGAGCACCAAAUUCAUUAUCAUGACAUUAACAAUUAUCCUAGUCCCACCUUUUUAUUGGGUGCCUUUACAGAAAAAGAUUAGGAGUAGUGGUAUAAAAGAAGCCAUCAAUGGAAAAGCAACAAGUUUAAUAUUGACGGAGGGGUUGUGUGUAGACUAGCAGUAUCAUCAUGUUCUCUUUGCUUGCAAGUAAGUCCCGUUAUUUAUUUCAACUAUAUAUAUAUAUUUUUAUGCAUAUAUAUAUAUUUUGACUGACUGAAAGCGAAAAAAUAAAACAGGCAAUAACAGGUGCACCUUAAUGUAUAAUGGAGUAGUCGAGUAGAUUUUUAUUAUUUGUAGAGUGAGAUUUCUCUGCUUGUUUAUUUAUUAUUUUAAAAAAAGAAGAUAUGGAGAAAAUGAUAGGGACUGAAGGAUAUUAACCAUCAUCAUCGUCGUCGUCCUCCUGAUUUUUUCUGGUUCUGAUGAUGAUCGUGAUUCAGAUUCAUACGAUCGUCGUCGUAGUUUCCGCUCUCAUUCGUGAUCCCGCCGGCACAUGAUACGUCGAUCGACCUAAACUUUCCUCAAAGGUCUGUUUGUUUGACUCCUAAUCUCUCUCUUUCUCUAAUCUGCAUAUCUCUAUGUCUCGCAUCCUUCUCCUUGACUUCUGAUAGCUGAUUUGUCUGACGUUAGCUCCGGCACAGCUGGUACUUGCUUUAAUUAUUUCUUCUCUUUUCUCCUUCCGAUUUUUUUUUUUUUAAAUAAGAUUGGGAAAAUUAGAUAUUAGACCUUUUAGAUCUCUUAGCUCUCUUCUCCUGUGCUGGCGUUGGAAUUGGGAUUCCGCAAUCAGCUCAGGUGAUAUCUUUCGCGCAGAAGUUAAAAGUACGCGCCAUCUUCUGCUUCUCUUUUUUGUAUAUUAUGAACGUUGAAGCUGGUCCUUUUUGUCGAUUUGGAAUCUGAAAUGUUCUCCUCCUCUUCUUUUGCUUUACGCAUUUGCUUUUGCAUAUUCAUCCGAUCUCCCAUUUCUCGCUUAAUUCUUCUUGUCUGUGUCUGCUUCUGUUCCUUCUCUCUCUAUCUCUAUUUUUUUUUCUCCCUACUUAUUGUAUCUUUUUAUAUUUUUUCUGUUUCCUUACUUCUCUUUUCUAAAAUUUUCUUUUUCUUCGUUUGUGUUGUAUAUUGUGAACAGAACCCCCAAAAAAACACACACACACACACACACAGAGUAAUUGAAUGAAUUGUUCAACAUUUUUCCCGUCACGAAUUCGUCCUCAUUUUUUGUGAUUUACUCGUGUAUUACAGUCUCUGUAGUUUGAAGUGAACAACAAACAUUUGGAUGAGGAGGAGACAGCUAAUCUGUUACAGCAGCAGUUAAGAAGUAAUAAUACCUUUUCUGAGGCACAAGUUUGGGUGGGGGUGAGGGUAUUCUGAUUGUUUCAUGGGCAAUACAUGCCGUGGAUCUUUUGGAGGCAAGCAUUUUCAGGGCUACGCAACUCCCGAAGACCAUUCUAACCCCAAGCGUAACCCUUCCUCCACCUCCACCGCUGCUCACUCUGACCAUUCUUCUUCUGACAACUUCUCUCCCACCACCUUAGCGUCUCAACACCUUGUUGCUCAAGAUUUGUCCAAGGAUCCUCACCACCCAAAACCCCAAAACGAAAACCACAAUCAUAAUUUCGCCCUUGUUAGUCCCAAGAAGGAGACCUCAUGAGUCGUGCCAACAACAAUCAAGCUUACUAUGUAUUAGGUCACAGGACUGCUAAUAUCCGUGACCUUUACAUGUUAGGACGUAAACUAGGACAGGCCAGUUUCGGUACCACUUAUUUGUGCACCGACGUUUCCGCUGGUGUUGAAUAUGCCUGUAAAUCAAUCUCAAGAGGAAGCUAAUUUCCAAGAAGAUGUUGAGGAUGUUAGGAGGGAGAUUCAGAUCAUGCACCACUUGGCAGGCCAGAAGCAUAUUGUUACCAUUAAGGGAGCUUAUGAGGACCCUUUGUAUGUUCAUAUUGUCAUGGAGCUAUGUGCUGGAGGUGAACUGUUUGACCGUAUUAUCCAAAGGGGACACUACAGUGAGAGAAAGGCAGCACAAUUAACUAAAAUUAUUGUAGGGGUUGUUGAAGCGUGCCAUUCACUUGGGGUGAUGCAUAGAGAUCUAAAGCCAGAGAAUUUCUUGUUGAUUAACAAGGAUGAUGAUUUCUCUCUCAAAGCCAUUGAUUUUGGACUCUCAGUUUUCUUCAAGCCAGGUAAAUGAAAUCUUGAUUUCUAAAUCAUCCAAAACAAAAGUAGAAGAUACAAAAUUUUAUGAGACAUUCUUCCAAUUUUGUCCUGCUAUCUCCUUUCAGAGUCGAUUAUUGUAUGAUAACAUUAAAAGUGACCAACCUUGCAGGAUGUUUUAAGGCAUAUGGUCUUUUGACUUUUGUCUAUCUCUAAUUGUUUCAGGCCAGGUAUUCACUGAUGUGGUUGGAAGCCCAUAUUAUGUUGCCCCUGAGGUGCUUCUAAAGCAUUAUGGUCCCGAAGCAGAUGUCUGGACAGCAGGGGUCAUUCUAUACAUUUUGCUUAGUGGUGUUCCACCCUUUUGGGCUGGUAUCAUUUCCUGCUCCAUACUAGACAGUUGUGUUCAUUUCUGUACUAUAUGGUAAAAACUCAUGCUACUAUUUUGCAGAAACACAACAAGGGAUAUUUGAUGCGGUUUUGAAGGGACACAUUGAUUUUGAAUCGGACCCCUGGCCAUUAAUAUCUGACAGUGCACAAGAUCUCAUCCGGAGGAUGUUAUGCAUGCGACCUUCAGAGCGCUUAACUGCUCAUGAAGUUUUAUGUAAGUCUGUAUUCAUGAAGUGUUAGCAGCCAAUUUUAUGUUAUUUUUAUUGUCCUAUGUGAAUGAUUCUGUUCACAGUUCUUUUACUUAGUCCAGCAUUUUGGUCAAUGCAAUUACUUUGUAACCAAGACUACUUGUUUGACAUGAUGAAUACGCAUAUUCCAUUGGAUUGCAUUAGGUAUCAAUAUUGUCUGCAGUUGGCUUAACUCCCUGUAUAGUUCAGUUGAUGUAAUUGGUUGCCUUCUGUACUAAAUAUGCUUGAUUGAAGAGAUUGAAGUAUGCGCUUGAUGUGUGCACUCUAGAUACUAAAAUGUGGCUUCAGGCAUUAGAUUAAUUUUGUCGUGGUUAAAGUUUUUAGCGGUUAACAUUCUUUUGAAGCAUGUGUGGUGCCUUUGGCAAAAAGCAUUGCUGUGCCUUUUUCUAUAUGUUUCAUCUACAUAUAUGUGUAUUCAUACAAAUGAUAGUGCUAGUAGUAUUUUUUGUUGUACCUAUUCUACUUCGCGUAACUAACCUUUGGUGUCUGGUGAUAAUACAAGUUACUGAAAUGUUUAUGUGAUUCUUAUGCCUUUACCUUAAUGUUGAUAGGUCAUCCUUGGAUAUGUGAAAACGGCGUUGCUCCUGAUAGAGCUCUAGAUCCUGCUGUACUUUCUCGUCUUAAGAAUUUUUCUGCAAUGAAUAAAUUGAAGAAGAUGGCUUUGCGGGUAUGUAGUAUAUAAACAGCAUCUCUUGGACUGUGGCCUUGUAAAUGUUUUCUUGCCUACAGUGCAAUUUUUGCUUUCUCUGUGCGAAAGCGCCUACCUCAGAAACAAUAGCAAUUUUUUAUUUCUUUCGUGUUACAAUCUUUGCAUGAAUUUUUAAAAUAAUUCAUGUGCAUUAAAGUUGUUUCAUGAUAUAGAUGUUGACCCAGUAAUCUUGCAAUGUCAAAUGCAUUUAUUCGUACUUGGAAAAUCAUUGAUUUGUUAUCUCAGAGCAGUACAGAACCAUAUCUUUGCAAGAAACAUCAUAAUGUCCACAUAAAAACAAGUUAUAUUUGUAUGACCAGCCAACUGUUAAAAACAGCUUGCAAUAGCGUGCUCUCUCUCUCUGUCUCUGUUCCCCAGCCAUGGUGGGCAACUGUAGAGGCAUUCUGGUUAAUUUAAUCUACAUCUGCUUUAUUUAUUCCCAGGUGAUAGCAGAAAGCCUGUCUGAAGAGGAGAUUGCUGGCUUAAGAGAGAUGUUCAGGGCAAUGGAUACUGAUAACAGUGGUGCGAUCACAUUUGAUGAACUUAAAGCUGGACUGAGAAAAUAUGGAUCUACCUUGAAAGAUAUAGAAAUACGUGACCUCAUGGAUGCGGUGAGAAGCUGUUCCCCAGCGUGUAUUAUGUUCUAUACCUGUGCUCGAUUUGUGGAGUGGACAAAUUAUUUCAUUUCAUUGUUCCUUUUUUUAUCUGGGAUCUUUGCUAGGAACCUGCUGAGAUGAAGAAAAAGAUUUAACCAUACUUAAUGAUCAUAGGAAGUUUCUAAUCUGUGGUCUAAUGAAUUAUGAAGCUUGGAAUCCAUAUGUUUUGUUGAAUGGUAAUAUUUAUCCUUGUAAGAAUCCAUGAUGUGAGUCAUGAAAUAUGGAUUUUGAAUGUAGGUUUAUAAAUUCUUCUUGUGCUUUAUGUAUUUGUGCAAGUGCAGUCAGCAACACAACUGCUGAAACGUAUAGCAAAUAAUGUAACUUUUUCUAUCCCCUGGUGUAACUUUUAGACCAUUUUAUUUGGGAAAUUCAUGCUUCUUGUGGCCGGGAUUCAUAUUUUUAGCAUUUUAAUUCUUAGUGUAUUCCUAGGAAAGUUCUUAGGAAAGUUAACUAGUAAUAGUGUAUUCCUCAUCUAUCACUAGUGAACUAAUAUCUAUUAUUUGGAUUAUAGUCAUGCUAGUAUAUGCUCACAUUGAAUAUUAAAAAAGAAAUCUCUACUUUGCAGGCUGAUGUGGAUAACAGUGGGACCAUCGACUAUGGAGAAUUUAUUGCAGCAACAAUUCACCUUAACAAAUUAGAACGCGAGGAACAUCUCAUGGCAGCCUUUCAAUAUUUUGAUAAGGAUGGAAGUGGUUAUAUUACAGUUGAUGAACUCCAGCAAGCUUGUGCCGAACAUAAUAUGACAGAUGUUUUCCUUGAAGAUAUUAUCAGAGAAGUUGAUCAAGAUAAUGUAAGUUUGAUACUUGGGGAGAGAAUGUGGAUCUCAUUGUUCAGUUUAUAAAUUGCUUGUAGUUUAGAACUAAGGGUGCUAACAGUGUUAGUUAUUCAUUUAAAGUUACCUUCCACAGUUGGCUAUGCUAAUCUUUGACUAACUUGUAACAAGUUUACAUCUUGGACACAAAAGUUUGGCACUCCUGGCAUCUCUAGUGUCAUGUGGGGAAUGACUGGUGGAAUUAUGAAGCCUUUUGUUCAACAAAAUCUUUCCCUCUUGUCUCCAUUCUCUUCCUUACUGGCAAGAGCAAUAUGAUUAGUUAAGCGAGAGACAUUCAUGCUAUGUUUGGUAGAGAAGGAAGAAAAUUUGACAGAUGAAAAAAAGGAUGAAUUUAUGUUGCUGGUAGCACCAUUACUUUCCCUUAACUUAUUCGUAUGGAAAUUAUUUUGUUGUUCCUAGGGUAUAUAAGUAUUUAGUAUGUACAUGGCAAGAUAAUCGAGGUCAAAAGUGAAUAAGCAUUUGAGCCUGCCUUCCUUCCAUCUUCUUCCCCCAGUGAGAUAAAUCCCAGAAAUUUGGGGUAUUUAGUUUGAUUAGCUGGGCCCCUUCCUUCCCCAUUUGUAAGAAUUACCAACGUAAUCUCUCCUGUCAGUCUAAUUGUGGUUUAAAUAAUCUGUUUUUGUCCUUAUUCUUCCUUUUUAUUUUGUUGUAAUAUGUACAAUUACUGUGCUUAAGCUUGUAUACAAUUUCAGGAUGGAAGGAUUGAUUAUGGGGAAUUUGUUGCUAUGAUGCAAAAAGGCAAUGCAGGCAUUGGAAGACGAACAAUGCGAAACAGUCUCAAUAUUAGCAUGAGAGAUGCUGCAGGAGCUCCUUGAUCAUUAGUUACUAUAAUCAGACACCUCAUUCAUUACUUCUAGUCAAACUUGUGUCUUUGCAGUGUCCUAUUCUCUACUGUUAUGGAAGAACGAAAGAUCAGGAAGCUGUAAGGGCAUCCUUGGUAGUCAAUGUAAUUAUACAGGUAGAUCAUAGGACACUUGCCCGCAAUUCUGUUUUUGAGCAAUUACACCUGUUGUUUGUUCUAAUAUUCUCCUUAUGCGAGCCAAGGAGGUAAAGAUGUUGAGCUCAAUGUGUAAAGUCUUGAUCCACUGCUUGAUCGCGCAGCGUGAGAUUUGGAUUGUCAAAGAUGAAGUCUGGAGCUUGAUCCUUGUUGCCCCGCCAUGAUGCAACUGUUGAUCUGGGGAGAAUGUUGUAAGCAUGGGAGAUACUUUGGUUAUUGGGCUAGUUCAGCUGCUUUCCGCUGCUAAUUUAUGCCGGUGUACUGAAGGGGGAAAAAUAAAAACUUUGUGCUUAUUCUUCUUGGAGGAGGUUGAUGUGCAGGCAUCUCAUCUAGAUUUGUUUUUUCCCAUUUUUUAGAUUAUGUACUUGGCUUGGUUUUGUAAUCGACAGAAAUGGCUCCAAACUCUGAAAAUUUUUCUUCUAGUUUUCUCAAUUCCAAUUUUGAGGUGUGUUGUUUUCGUAGAUGUUUUUGUGCUUCACAUGGACAGCAAUAGAACGGGGAGCUUUUUCCACUCUCAGAAUCGAAUAAAAUAAGCGUGGAAUCUAUAUAUGCGUAACAAGUUCUAUUCACGUGUUAAUUGAUGAAGAAAAAUUAGUGGGAGUGUUUGGAUAAAGUAUUAUUUGAAAUAGUUAUUAUAAUAUUUUUUAUGAUGUAAUGUAUGUGAGAUAAAAAAUUAAUUAAAAAUAUAAAAUAAUAAAUUGAAAAAUAUAUUUAGGGUGCAAGAAUAAUAUAGACAGUGAAGAAGUACCAGAAGCUGUUUACACGGAGAAGAAUAAUAUACUGCGACGGGCAAGAAGGAAUGCCGUUUACGCGACACGGAGACCUGAUGGUUGACACUGGAUGAUGUUGUAGUAUGACCGUACCAGAAGCUGAACCAGUUCUGCCCUGCGCGCAUGGUAAGAAUAACAAAGGCGCAAGUGAACUGUAAAGUAUUUUUCCUAUUAUGUCUAAUUGAAGACGGAUGCUUCAAUUCGGAGGGCUUUUCUUUUUUUCUUUGACGCUGUGCCAAUUAGAGGUUGCAGGUCCUGAUGUCAGUUUGUCAUCAACUCCUUGGCAGUUUCGCAUGCUAUUACAACUUCCUACACAAGAAAGAAAGUAAAGAGUAUAACUUGCAGGGAGGGCGGUGCUAAUAAGUAAUCGGACAAGUACUAGUAAGGAUAGGAUAAAAGAGGAAAUGAGAUUACUGGGACUUGCCUUCAACCUUGCAUCAGCCGAAAAGGAGCAUUUGGAGGUGAUUGCGAGUCCCCGGUCCAACAGCCAUCCAACUUGGAACCAAGUCUCUCCUUGCUCCUCUUCUUGAUUUGAUGAACACCAGAGUUGCUUUGGUAGCAGAAUGAGGCUACUGCCGUCUCUCGACACCGACAAAGGCACACUGUCAUCAUCAUCCACCACAAGUUCUCGGAAAUUCACCCUCUGACACAGCAUAACAGAUGCUAAUAAGAAUGUCAUCUGCUUGAAAACUGAAACGAAAGCUACAGACACAUACACAGAUACCAGCCAGCAAGAGUCAGUAGCAAAAUUAAUCUAACCUCCUCCUCCGGUUGGAAGGUGGCAGUUGCCGGGAGGCCUUGCCAUACGCCUGUGACUUGACAACUGGUCAAGGCAGGAGUAGAAGCAAAUGCAGAGUCUCGUAUGGCACAACCACCCAGCUGCUCCCCAUUUCUGAAGGGACCAUACCACUGCUCGCAGAAUACCUGGAUUCCCUCCAAUUGCAUCAUGUUCAUCGGCUCUCCUUGGUCGUCACCAUCUUCUGCCGGUGGUUGCUGUUUUAUCCGGACAGCCUGAAUUAUUCGCGCCCGGGAUUCCCCGUCUCGAGGGUGAAUCAGGCAAUGCUCCAACUCCAGCUGCACGAGUGAUCCGCCAUUCUCCUUGGGCCAAACAGCAACGUAACAUCCAUUGGAUUGAUAAGCAAAGGCGGUGGCGGCUGCCGGACUGGCAGCAGCAGCAUUAGCAAGAAGAAGAUUAAUGUUCCUCUGAAGAAGGCUAUAUGUGGUGGCAGCAUCAGCUUCGCAACCAACGGUGGGAAGUAGCCUGAUCAACUUGUACGUGAGUUGAAAAUGAGUUGGGUGAGCCAGAGUGGGGCACUGAGUUUGCCAGUCGAAAACCUUCACCUCCCAGUCCCUGUAGGCUUGGGGACUACUGAUUCGGGCAAUUCCAUGGGUUCCCCAUCCUUGCUAAAGUCUGCUCCAUAUCCAUCCCAUUCGCCGGAAACCUUCUCCGCAAAUUCUGCCCAACCUGAAGAAUUUGGUCCCAAAUAGCAGUACAAGUUUUGUUUUUCGCAUCAGAUGCUACUACUGCCAGUAGUAUUAUUAAUUGAGAUGGCCUGGAAACAGAUCCUUCAAAAAGUUCAAAAGUGUGCGCGUGUGUGUGUAUUAAAAGAAAAGGGAAGCACUCACUGGUGGAUGUUGAGGGGUGAACAUAGUGAGACUGGGGUGUUUCCUCCGUGAUGGCGGUCUUGGCAUUUGCAGGCACAGCGAAGAAUUUGACGCGUGGAAAUCUACAGGUGGCGUUGGAGGAGUGAUGCCUGCGGUGGAUAAAAAGGGUCUGACGAGGAUUUGGGGAAGAAGAGGGACAAUUUUUGAGAGAAGCAUUGAAUGCUAUGCGGAGGUGCCCGAAGACAGCUGUGUUAGCGCUUAAAGCCAUACCAUAACAAAGGAAGUGGUAGUUCUAGUAGUACUAUGUACACCGGCCGCAGCCCAGAGCAGCUAAGUCACACCAAGUCCGGUAUCUCCACUCCAAUCUCGGAAGCACUCUCCAUCACCGUCCAACCAUUUCCGACCACUAACAGUAACCAGACGCAAGAAGAUAAAAGGAGAAUCCGUCACUACUUUCUUCUGUUCCCGUUUUUAAUUUAAAAAAUAAUAAUAGUGUACCACUCUUUUUCUUUAUAUAUAAUAUAUACGGUGGUGAAUAUGAGAUAAUAAGUGAUAAUUAAAAAUAUAAUAAAAUUAAUAAAUUUACAAUGCAAGUUAAAUAAUAUUUAAAAGAAAAAAUUCCUAUCCAAUAUUUACAAUAAUGCUUUCCUAUUUUUCUUCACUUAAUUUACCUUAAUUUUGUUUGCGCGGAACUCUCUAUUGUUGCUGUUAGCUCACAUCUUACGUUUUUAGCCUUGCGUUGUUCUCAAGUUGUUGCUUGAAGUAGGUUGAAAGUGAAGGGCUAGUGGCAAGUACUUUGCCCACCUGAACUCCAAAUAUGCGUACUUACCUCUUACAAUUACACUUUGCCCCUCUAAACUGUUGAUGGGUUAAGAUGCAGUUAUAUUUUAAUUUUAUUCCAUUUCUUGUAUUCUCUUAGUAUAUUUGUUUCUGAGACUCUUUUUUGAGAAAAAAUCUUUAUUAAGUUUUAAUCACAUAUAUAAAAUAUAAAAUUAAAUUAAUAUAAAUAAUUUUUAAAAAAAAAUAAGUGAUAAGCAGGUGAGAUGAGCAUUCGUUGGCGUGACUUUAUUUAACGGGUACCCAAUGAUAGGUGAAGCAAAUACGGUCACAAAAUGACUAUUCUAUGCGAAUUGGGUCAACCCAAUCGUGACGGGACCGCCCCUAACGGUGGGAAGCAAAAAGCAGCUGUAUAUGGGGUGUUCUUUUUUCACUUUAGGAAGCGUUGGUCGUGGUCGUGGUCGGUGGCACCUCGCCGCCAAGAUAUAAUAACCACCCCAGUGCUCCGGACGGAGAGGGAAGGGCGGAAUGCUGAAUAAUUGGGUAAUAGAGCCAUGUGCUUUUGUCACCACAAUAGUACUAAAUUAUUUGUUGGGCGGCCCGCCUUCUCCUCAUAGGUUAGUUAUAAUACUAUAUGUUAUUUGUCGGCACCCCGCCUUCGCCUAUUUGGUUUUAGCUAAUUCAACAGAAGUUUGGAGGAUACAAGAGAUUUGCAUCACCGUCACGAGCAUUUGUGGGGGGCACCGACACAACCGUCUCGCGGCCACCCCCAAGUCUUAAGUCGCCUCAUAGUAAUACUAGUUACUAGAGUUUUUUUUGCCAAAAUAACACUUUUUUUUAAAAUAUUUCCAAUGUGAUUCACUUUCAAAUUUUAUUCCCAAAUCGAUGUUAUUGUUGCCACCUAAUUACCCUGAUUGCCAUGUAAAAUAACAAGAAAGGAAAGCUUUAAUCUAGUUUAUAGUUUCCAAUAAAAACUAAAAAUUUAAACUAUUUCAUUAUAGAGGCACAAGAAAUUUGCAUAACUUUGAUAAUUUCCUUAUAAUUAUUUAAAAUAAAAUUUACCAUUAUUGACCUUGCUAUUAUUGCUCUCUGCAAUUUUUUUUUUAAAUGUAUCCAACUUAUUGCAUAUAUUUUUUCAAAAAUAAACUUGCAAAACACAAAAAUUGCAAUGAACAUUAUAAGCAAUAACAAGAAAAAGUUACAAAACUUCAAGGCUAUCAUAUUUGUUUAUGUUAUGCUUCCUACUCCUUAAAAAGAACUUUUACAAAAAGUAAUCAAACUAUUGCAAUUAAGAUAAUGCUAAAGUUUCUCAUAAGUAACACAAGCCAUUAAUUGAUGUUGAAUAAAUGUGCAAAAAUACUUUAAAUAUACGAGAUUAUUUGAUUAUGUGAUAGAGAGGCACUACAAAUGAACAUGCUUAUAUUGAGUAUGAAUUUAUGUUGCUACGUAGUUUUCCUCUUAGACAUUUUAUAAAACACACGGUGUGAGAAAUCAUUUGUCAAAGCAAUUAGUAUUCAAAAUUUUUUGAAGGCCAUAGGAAUGUUCUAAAAACUGCACAAUAGAAAAGACAAGAGAAUAAUCUUCAUUUACCUUGAAAUUAUCAAUUUGAAAAGAAUAUUUUCAUCUACAGAUACAAUAUCAAGAAUGAUAAUGAAAUUUUAGAUGUUGUUAAUAUAAAUAUUGGUUUUUAACAAUUACAUUUAACAAGAAAAAAUAACAAAAGGACACAAAAUAAUAAAGAAAAAAAAAAGGGAAAGUUCGGAGAGAGAAUUAGGAAAGAUAUUAGUUAGAAAAGAGAGAUAGAAUGUGCCUCUGUCUCUAUCCUCUCACACAUGGAAACUAUACGGAAAAAAAGAAUUAUAAAGAUAAUAAAUUUUAAAAUUAGAUUACUCGAUAUAUGUUUCUUAAAAAAACAGAAGAGUUAUUUUGGCAAUAAACUCGUAGUUACUAUGUAUGUAUAUUUUACGCUCCCUCUCCACAUUCCACUCCCACGUCUGGCGCGCAAGGAAUCAUCCAGUCCAUGUCCAUCUCAUAAGUAAAAUAACGUGGCAGCCAGAGGCAGAGAGAGAGAGAGCGCCAGCCAGAAAAGAAACGUAAAGCGAGCAGCAACAUUGAUCGGUAAAUACUAGUAGUAGUAAUGAAACUGGCGGUUAACCACCAAAAAACUGAGAGAAUCACCACAGACAGAGAGAUGGAGAUGGAGGUGGAACAUCAAGUAAAGAAAAUCUUGGAUGAAAUAAACAAAUGAUCAUCGCCACCAGUGACGAAAGUUACAAAUAACAAAAUGGAAUGAAUAAUCACAACGUAUGUAGUAGUGUUGCCCUCAUCCAUAUAUCCCUGAUCAGCACCCCAUUCCAAAACCAUCAAUUACCAACAAAUUGUACUUACAUACUUUAUAGCAGGCAGACAGUAGUAGUUGCAGCAGCAAAUGAAUCGAAAACUUCCGAUGGCAAACCAGAGAAAAAUAUCUUUCAUUCAGCUUGGAGUGGAGGAGGUGGGGUGACGGCGGCGGAUGGAUGGCUUUCUUGAUUUUGGGAGGAAUGGAGCAAUACAAUAGGCAAAUGCAAAAUGCAGCAGCUUAGUUUAGUUUCCAUAUACUGAACUCGUACUACUUACUAGUACUGGGUGGUUGUAAGUGGGACCCGGUCGAAAUUCUUGGAGGAGGAACCGUAACGGAUGGUUUGAGGAAGCCCCGCGUUGUCGGAAGAACCUACGAGCUUUCCCAGUUCAGACUUGACCUUGUAGAAGAUGUGCCUCCAGCUGCCCUUGCUCUGCCGACCCAGGCAGCACUUUCUGCCUCGUUCAUCUCCAGAUCUUUUGCGAAGGUGGCUUCCUGGACAAGAUCCACCCCAUCCCCACUCCCCAUUUCCUUAUUAUGGAAUCCCUCCUCCUCCUCCAUACUGAUGAUGAUCUGCUGUGCCCAUGGAGGACGUAGAUUUGGAUCGGCGAAAUGCCCCGGCCCAUGAUGACGACCAGCGAUGAGAAGAGGAGAGGAGGAGGAGAUCAUCAUCAUCAUGGCGGACGACGACGGUUGUAGCUGCAUCUGCAUCUUGAGGGACAGGGAGGAGAGUCUCUUGCGAAUGCCGCCUCCGCCACUCAAUGGCCCACUUUCACUUUGUACUUCAUUAUUACUGCUGCUACUAUUGCGGUUGUGCUUGGUAUAUUUUAACGACGUUGGAGUCUGCGGGGCGGUGUGACAGAGGAAGGCCCUGCUGCCGCUGCUUGUUCUGUUGAAAGCUUUGAAAUAGAGAUCCCAUCUUGAUUCCCUCCUUAGCUACUCCAAACCUUAAGCUUUAGCUGCUGCUGUUGCCACCGACCAAAACUAAGAUCUGGGUUUCGGCCCGGAAAAAACCUGGACAACUAUAGCUACGCCACAGCAAAAUCGAGUCUAUUCUUGAAACACAACAAAUAAUACAACACAGAGAGAGAGAGCACAAGUACACAACACAACACGACUCAAAAACAAGAGGAUCGAUCGAUCGAUCGAUAAACAAAAAGGGCGGUGAGCUGUAGCAGUCACAGCGGUCAUCCAGCCUGUUUUAUUCGCGGUUUUUAGGAUGUUAGAUGCUGGCGUGGGUCACCCCUGACUUUAACUUUUCGUUCUUAUUUUUGUUUUUUAUUUUUAAAAACACGUUAACACCGCCACUUCCCACUCCAAAAAAAAAAGCAUUUUUUUUGAUAAUCCAGACCAUGCCCUGAUCUGAUCCGAGUCCUAUGGAUCCGAGCCGGCACAUUAAAUCGGGGACAACGUCUCAACCUCAUCAACGUUAGUCUAAGCGAGUCACAAGGUGGCAGGGAGCAGUUUCGAACUCGGGACCUCUAUGUCUCUAAGGAUCGCUAUUACCGUUGGACCAACCUCAUGGGGCUAAAAAAAAAGUUUGCUUCAUUUUUCACUUUAAAUUACCAUAAUUAUAUUAUACAGUUUAUCCCCCCUAAUUAUGUGAACCUUGAAGGGCCAAGGUGAAAAAAGAGAUGAAUUUAAGGAGCUUAUUGGAAUUAAACCUUCAUUCUAACAACUUUUUAUUACGCCAAACAAGAUGGAUGCCCUCCAUUUUAAAAAGUAACUAAUUAUUAUUUGAAAAAAUUAUUUAUUAUAGUAUGUUAGUUUAGUGCAUGUAAAAUUAAAAAAUAGUUAAAAAUUAUGAGUAAAUCUUAUAUAUACUGACGAUGUAUUAUUAUAAUUGGAUAUACGACAUAUAUGCAAUAUUUAAGUUUUAAAUUCAAAUUUGAAUUAUGUGUCAUAUAUCUAAUGAUAAAAAUAUAUGCUAUCAGUGUAUAAAAAAUUAAUCUAAAAAAUAUAUUUAAAUAAUGGUAAAAAAAUGUUUUCAAGUAACGAAAUGCCCAAACACUCUACAGCUAGAAAUGAGUAAAUAUUCAUAUGCUAGUUUAAAAUUCAGUAAAAUUAUACUGCUACUAGUUAAAAUUUAGAGAAUUUAUUUAUUUAUUUAUUUUUUGAAAAAAGGUUAACAUGUAAGUGUGUUUGGACAGGAGAUUAUUUGCUCAAAUAUAUUUACUUACAUUACCAUUAUAAUUUUUAAUAAAUCUUUUUAUCUUUUCAAUUAUCUUUUUAUCUCACAUAUAUCACAUCACAAAAAGUGCUCCAGUAAAAAUAUCUCAAAUAAUUUACGAUCCAAACACAAAAGAAAGUAGUAGCAUUGGCGUUAUUGUUACACAAUUGCUGCUGGGUCAUCUUCUGCUAUUAUUAUACUUAAAAAAAGAAGAAAAAAAAAAAAAGAGGAGAGUGAAGGUGGUAAUUUCGGAAAGAAAAGAAAGGAUUAAGGAUCUGCCGCUGCUGCUGUGGCCACUAGGGGAUUUGAUUUGAGUGAAAAUUACUACUCUGUCUUGAGAAAUAAAUUGGUGGACGACGGCAGACAAUCGUCGAUUCCAUACAUUCACGUCUCUGAUGCCCGGACCCGUUAUGCUGCUGGAUAUUUAGCAAAUGGAAUACAGAAGAAUCAAGGAUCUGCAGGUUUGGGCAUCCCCAACCAAAAGAAUUAACUAUAGAAACAAAACCCUAAUUUCCAUCGCCAUUCACUCGAUUGACAUUUCUUUCGUUGCUUUCGGUUUCCCCAAUUUUUGUUUGUCGAUUCCUUUCUUGAUUUAUUUUUAUUUUCUAGUCGAUUAGUUCUUCGAUCAUCCAGCAUUAUCAUUAGUCUGUCUUCGUUUUACUCGUGAUUCAGCUUCUUCAACUUUCGGAUUUUACCUCUCUUCUCUCCCAAAUAUGCUUCUUCUUAUCAUUUUUACUUCCUGAUUGAUUAUUCCUUCCUUCCGCUCGCGUAGUAACCGAUUACUAUAAUUUUACCAUCAGGACAAAGCUGGAGAGGAAGUUCAUUCUCACAACAAUGAUGAAGAGAGCUUGCGUGGUUCCAAAUCCGAUUCUAUCUCUACUGGUCAAAUUUCUUCCCCACUUCCUCCCUCCCUUUGUCCACAAGUUUCAAUGCCUCGCACUCUCUUUUGUUUCGGCCUCUAUUGUUUUCUUUCUAAUAAUUCAAUCAAUAAUUCCUCUAUUGAUUUAAACAGGCUCCGGCGAACUAUCAAAGUGGAAACGCAAGUCAGUAGCUCGCCUGAUCUUCUUUUUUCUUUUCUUGUUGUACCCGCAAUUUGAAGUCUUCCCAUUUUCUCACUGAUGAUUAUAUUAGGUCAAUUGUAACACUUGCGUUGACUGUCCUUACGAGUUCACAAGCUAUACUCAUUGUCUGGUCCAAAAGAGCUGGAAAGUAUGAGUACAGUGUUACCACUGCCAAUUUUCUGGUGAGGAAACUAUAAGGCAUCUACUAUCCUGUCACUAACCCAUGAAAAUAAUUCAGCCUUUUUCGUGCUUGCCUUUUCUUUUUUUUUUGGUAUUCAUUUCUUUUACCUUAUGUGCUGGGAAAGAAUUUCAGAAUUCUACCUAAAUUUCUUCCUUUUUUCUUUUCCAAUUAGGUAGAGGCCUUAAAGUGUGCAUUUUCACUUGCAGCCUUGGCAAGAAUCUGGAGAAAUGAAGGUGUUACUGAUGAUAACAGGUUUCUUUUUCCCUGACUUCCUUUUGAUGUACCAUGUGUGGUCGAUAUACAUCAGCAUGUUCCUUUUCCUUCUAGAAUUUGUAAUUGCCCCAUGCAAAACUGAGCAGCUUGGCUUGGAGGGAUCAAAUAACAACCACAUAAGUGAAUGUGCAAGUUUAUAAGUUUUUGAUACCCUAAACUUGGCUUUCGGGGAAUAGCAAUUAUGGAAGGGUUAAAUCUCUUAAAAUUUCUGUUUCUGCACUGUUAAAUGAUCUUCUGAAUGCAAGUCUCGUGACUUUCCAUCUAGAGAAAAAUUCAGUAAUCAAAACUUUUUGACUUUUAUUUUUAUAAAUAGUUUAGAAAUUCCUAUCAAGUGCACGGGUUUACUGGCUUCCUUCUGUAUGAGUCUUAUGUAAGUGAAUUCCUUUGUUUUUUUUUUCAUUUGUUCUAAAUUAAAUAUACGACAUCUUGUUGUUGUGUUUGAACUUUGUUAAUCUUAUGCUGUUUGUUCUGAUUUACAUUUGUAAUUUAAUGAAUACAUUGUUUGUCUGUCAUCAUCGUGUUUACUCUUCCGCGAUUAGGUUGAGUACAACGCUGGAUGAAGUUAGUGUUUACCCUAUUCCUGCUGCUCUUUACCUCAUCAAGAAUUUAUUACAGGCAGGUUUUUUUUCAAUAAUUUUUUCUUAUAGGUUUGGCUUUGUGGCUCUUGGAUGUUCUUUUGCUUAAACAUGAAUCUGUCUUGCAGUAUUACAUCUUUGCAUAUGUUGAUGCUCCGGGAUAUCAGAUAUUGAAGAAUUUUAACAUUAUCAGCACCGGUGUAUUGUAUCGAAUUAUUCUGAAGAAAAAGUAAGUCCUUCCAUCACUUUGGAGAUAGAAAGUGUUGAAAGUUUUCAUGGGGAAAGUAUGGAUAGCAAUACCUCAGGAGACUGAAAAGCGUCAUCUUUUGGUUUGUCCAUGUGAUUGUUUUUUUACCAUGGACAUAUUAGCUGGACUUAUGAAUAUCUGUGUUGCAAUGAAGAAACUCAGCAAACGUGUUCUGGAACAAGUUAAGAUUAUCCUAAACCUAAAUUUGUACAGGCUGUUGCUGAGAACAUGAAAAUGCAUUAUUUUUUUAUUUGUUUUUUCCCCCUUCUAUUGACAUAUCUGGGGACCUUGUGAAUAUUGAUGGGGGAAAUGGAAAAACCUUAGCAAAUGAGUUCUGGAACAAAGUUCACAAGAUAUUUUGUUGACCUCUUAAUGAUGUCUUCUAUGCAUGUCUCUGGUGAUUUAACUUCUUUUUAUUAGGGAGUAGUUGAACCAGAGUUCUUCUUUUUUCCUUUUUCCUUUUGUCACAUAAGUUAUGUAAUUUGACCGGAUUCUGGGAUUUCUUUGAUCAGUAAUCUUCAUUGAUUUAUUCAGGCUAAGUGAGAUUCAGUGGGCUGCUUUUGUCUUAUUGUGUGCUGGGUGCACAACUGCACAACUUAAUCCUAGGUAAGUGCCAAUAGCCAGUAGGAAGAGAUAAAUGUCUUUUGCUUUCUCAUUUUGCUCUACUACUGUUCUCCUUUUCUGUUUUGGAGUAAAUCGAAUUGUUCUUAUUUAUUUGCAGUCUCCUUAGAGUAUGACCUUGUUUGUGCAGCUCUGACCAUGUUCUUCAAACUCCCUUUCAAGGUUGGCUCAUGGCCAUUGUAAGUUGCUGUUAUUGAACACCAGGAUUCAACUAAAGGAUGAAAAGCUUACUAAAAUUUUCAUGCUUUGUAAUAUGACCAUGAAUGGCUCUUUUCAGGUUAUGGCUCUUCUUAGUGGUUUUGCUGGAGUGUACACAGAGGUUAGUGUUCUGGCAUUUUUUUUGGGGGGUGCUAAAUGGUUCUUUCAAACUGUACUUUUGCUUAUUUGAAACAGUUUAUCAUUUGCAUGAGGGGAUUGAUUCUAGUAAAUGAUCAAUUUCUGAAGAUUUCUAAGUGCCUGGCCAAGAAUAAUCAAAACCAAAACAAGGGGAGUGGAGUUUACCUUAUAAGUUUGAAUUUCUUGCAGGCUAUCAUUAAAAAACGACCUUCAAGGAACAUCAAUGUGCAGAACUUCUGUUGUAUGUCUUUGGAAUGGUCUUCAAUGCUAUUGCAAUACUGGUUCAAGAUUUUGAUGCAGUGGCUAACAAGUAUUGUCCGUUGUUCUGCAUUUCUCAUCUUUUACCUUGAUGUUCACUUAGUGAAUGCCUGAUGAGUAGAUAUGGUAUUAUUUAUGUAACUUGGAAGCAUAAUCAUAUUGAAAAAGAGCAUCCUCAUCAUUGAAAAUAGAUGGCUCUUCUCUUGUUUGGAUAUUUGGAAUUCAUAAGUUUUCCUUCAGAAGAAAAAAAAUUGUGCAUCUUUUGUUUAGUGGAAAUGGUGCAUCUCAAAAAGUAAGGGCUUUUGUUUUUUAUAAUGUAAAAGUAAGAAGUGGUUUUAAUAUGUAAUAAUCACUGGAUAUUUGACUUUUGAGGACAUUGUACAUAAAUGUCUUUUAUAAUUACAUUAAUAAUUCGUGUUUCUCCUUGUGCCUCUUUUACAGGGGAUUCUUUCAUGGAUAUUCAUUAAUUACAGUUCUCAUGAUUCUCAACCAUGCACUCAGGUAUCUCACAUUGCUCUAAACUUCUCUGGACUUUAUUGAUGUAUGUUGUUGUUGUGUAUGAUGUAAACAAUUAGGAGUGUAGGAUGAAAUAGUAGUUUAGAAAAUAGAGGUUUUUGUUGGCUGAACUUUUUCUGCAUUUUAAUGGUUAUGUUUGUUUUGGUAACCGAAUCGCUUGCCAGCUAAAAGUAAUUGCUUGCUUAGAUAUGUCUGCAUAGGCUUGAAUAGGUGGGCAUCUGAUUCUGGAAAAGGAAACUAAUGUCAUCGUAGACUUAACAUAACCAUAAACUUUUGGCAUUCUGUUUCUUUUUAGUUUUUGAUCAGAAGCAAUGAUUUACUUUGUCUUGGCCUUCUAUAUUUGUUACCUAGGAUUUGUUUUCUUCGUCAAUGUAUAAUAAUGUUUUGUAAUCCUCUUCUUCUACAAGUCAAACUGAAUAGUGCUUAAGCCUGUUGUUCUUGAGCAUUUAAUGGACAAGUUGGGGGCACGGAGUGUAAGAUUGAAAAUUGUUUGUUGUGGACAAUGAUGGCUGCUUUUUAAAUUCACCAAGUUUUUAUAUGACCUGAUACAGUUCAUGAAUUUUGAAGCAGGUCAUUUUCAAUGUUCAGAAGUUCAUCUUCUUCUGUUUUUAUUUAUAAUUAACUUCUGCUAUAUUUAAUUGUUUGAUUACGUAUGUGUACCAUUCACUAAUUGACUAUUUACCAUGUAGUGGAAUUGCUGUGUCAAUGGUCAUGAAAUAUGCGGACAACAUCGUGAAGGUAGAUAACUGAAUUGCACAAUAUAUUUUUCUUGGAAAUUGCAUAUGAGUAUGUUUGCCAAGGAUGUGCUUUUAUAUGAAUUAUGUUGGAGGUAAUUUGCUGGGACGAAAAUCUUGGUUGAAGAAUGAAACACAGUUAUGUCUGCAUUAGGGGAAACAUAAAUUUGUGAUGGUGUUUACCAGAAUAUGCUUUGUUUUCCUGCGAAGUCAAGUUCUUUCUGUGUGCUUGACAAUAAACAUUUGGAAUGGAGAUUUUGAGAAUAAAUUUCAUCUCAAUUGAGUCAGUUGUCUGAGAUCAGGAUGAGUAUUUAUGCAUGACCUGCAGAAAUCUUGUUUCGUUCUGUCAUUUAAAAGCAUACCCAGUCUUUUAAUUGAUGGAAAAACUACAACCUAUAGAGGAAAAUGUUAACGUAACAAGGCCAUUUGUAUUGCUUAGUAUGCCUGUGUGUUAAUAGUAAUGCGUCUAUCCGAUCAAUCAUGGAAGCUUUACACUGGAAAGUCUCGAGUUCUUCUAGGAAGGGCAUUUCCCAUACUGCUUGGCAUCAGGAUCAUUAGUCUGUUUGAUGCUGCUGCUGGCCAAGUCUUGAAAGUUUACAAGCGGACUGUUUAAACAUAUUUCAAAUCAUACCUAGCCUCUGUAUCUACAUUGAAUAUAUUUGAUUUCCGUUUUAUGAUUUCUGACAUAUCUUUGGCAGGUUUAUGCUACUUCAGUUGCAAUGCUGCUAACAGCAAUUGUGUCUGUAUUUUUAUUUGGAUUUCAUCUCUCCCUUGCAUUCUUUCUUGGUUCCAUGUAAGAUCCUGAUUCCACCUAUGCAAUUCACUUGCAUUUUUUCUCUGGAUUCUGAUUCAACUUAUGCAAUUCACUUGCAUUGCGAGCAUUACUAAUGAAUUUCCUGUGCUUGCAGUGUUGUUUCUGUCUCAGUAUAUUUGCAUUCUGUGGAAGGUCCAGCGGCAGCAAUGAUUUUUCACCUUCUCGGUCUAUUAUUUUGAGCUCUUGUUUAGGAGCUAACGCAUAUUUUUUUUUUUUUAGUUAUUUAGUUACCGAUCAGAUAAUCAGAUAGCAUCCAUCGAACUUCAAUUUUGGUUUGCAUUUUUGUUUAGAUUUGUAUUUUGAUGUUUUUAUCAUCUACUGAAAUCGUUUUGGAGAGGCCUCCAUCCGCUACUUUGUGCUUGAUUGGUACGAGUUGCAAGCAUUUGAUCGUGUUUUUCUUUGUCCUGUAGAAGAAUUGGUGCGCGGAACUCAGGAGCCAAAUUAGAUGGCAGUUGAAAAAUAUAUUCCAACAGGAAAACCUGUGAAUGUUUUUAUAUCCUUGAGCGCAAGCAUCCCGCAAUUCACGAAGGCCGUAUUUAUAUCCUGGCGCAAUUUACAAAAUAUAAAAACAACCCAUUCUGUUAUAUCAUGCUUGCACGACCAUGGCCACAUUUGCAGGCACGAAACUACUUGCAUCUAAAGUACGAAAUCUCGUCCUACCAUAUCAGGGAGAGAAGGGGGAAGUAAUAUCAUCAUCUGCGCAUGUUUGUGAACCAAAAUAAAAUGGAAGUACACGGACAAGAAUAUGUUAUUAACCUAAAACUUCAUUGUACUUGAAAACACAGUCAUACAGCCUUCCCCAAGGAACUGAGCAACUUCAGGGUGCUUCACCUGAAAAGUGAAAUUGUAAACAAUAUUAGCGUCUAUAUCAUACAAAGAAAAAAAAAAAAAAAGCUCACACUCCUUUUUCUUUCACCUAGGUGCUCAUGAAUGGAGUUAUUUACCAUUCCAAUCUUGAGGGAGUCACAUUUAAACUGAGCAUAAAGGUUGGUCUCAAUUCCACGGCCCUGAAAGAAAAAUAAAAUAUCAAAAGAGCAAGAAAACCAGAAACCAAACACAAGCCAACACCCACAGAGCUGCUAAAGAAAACAAGUCAACUUGAAGCAAAAUUAUUUGUUUUUAGGUGUGUUGAGAUCAUGUCAAACUGCCAAACUCAAGCAGAAUCAAAGAAGGUUAUGCAACACAGCGACAAAGGGAAUCUUAGAAUUUAAUUAGCAGCUUCCCAUGAUAUUCCUUUCUUAAUCAUUUUUGCCAUCCUAAAGACAUAAAUAAUCGAACUAAUAGCUGACGUAACAUUUGCACUUUGCAAUGGACAUCUAGGGUACAAACCUUGAUUGGAGGUAAAAGUAUUCAGCAUUUUUCCUGACCCCAAACAUGGAAAACCACAUUCCAAGCAUAAGUAAACUUAUUUUGACGCUUUUCUUCUUCUAAUGGAGCAUGACUCACAGACUCAGUGGGUAUUAUUCAUUUUCCUAAAAUCAAAAAUUCACAUACAUCCAAGUGUACCAACUUUCAUAACUCCCAUGUUGACUUGCUCUCAUCAAUAUCUUUUUGAAUAUAAAACACAGAGAUCACCUUAUUACUAGUAAAUUCUUGUAACUACUUUUUUUUCUUUUAUCAUCACAUAUUAAUAAUUUCGUACACCAAUUUACUUGCAAUACAUAAUUUGAAAACACACUCAAGUUUACGAAAGUGAACUUUUUAAUAUAACACAUUUUGUGCAAAGGUAAGCUAUUAAAACAAACAAUCAUGUCUCUUGAAUUUGCAAAUAUUAGCCAUAAAAAUGUAUGCAGCUAUUGUAAAAGCAACCAAUUUUCUUAAAUAAGCUUACACUGAACAUGAGCAUUUCUGUCAGAUUUGUUAAAUAUCUGAUUAAUCCAGUCUUCUUCUCAUAUUUAUAUACAUGUAGACAAAUAUGCACAUAGUCAAGCAACAUCAAAGUUCACCAAAAUGUAGAAGAGAACGGAACUGCAAUAAAAGCUUACCCAGAACAAUCUGAGCAAACAUUCCAACUUAAGAGUAUCUUUCAAAGGAAUUAACCACGGAAGGAAAUCAACAGAUAUUGGACCAUCAUGUUUUUCAUAUAAUUUUUGUUUAAAGGACGUUACUGUAACAGCCAGCACAUACCAUUCCUUCCAAAAUAACUAGUUCGGCAUCACUCGCCAAAUAUGCAAGCUCUUGUGAUAUUCUUGUGAGAUCAAUUACCUGCCAUGAUAUAAAAUCCUAGUUCAACAAUAAAGAGGAAUCUGAUUCGAGCAACAUGUCAAGCAAACAAAUGUCACUAAAAAUUAUGAAGUGUAUCAAACAUUAAAACAUUCGCUUCUUACCGGUAAAUCAUUACCAGAAUUAGCAAUAAAAAGAUUUGAGGUAUCUACUCCUGCAAGCUUCCCUUGAUUAUCCUUCAACUGUUAAAGAACAAUUCAAUUUGCCAGCAUCAGAUUGAAGAUUGGUAGGAGCAUAAUGUUAGAAACAUGAAAUAUUUAACCACCUUUGAUACAAUGUCAAUUAGCUCAGGGUAUGUCACAUCGUUUAUAGAAGGUAAGUCAUUAGCUGCCAAAACAACCUGCAAGGACGGAUAAUAAUGCUUCAAAUUGAGAGAUUUAUAGCUCCUCUCACACAAACAAGUAAAAUAUCUAUAACUAACAAACCACAAUAUGUACCACCGUAGAACAUAAUAAUAGUGCCAUGCGGGACCUCCUUAUAGAAGUUUAAGAGGUGACUGCAUGCAGCCUCCUAACAACUAAACGAUGGAGAUUAAGUGAUAAAUAUUGCUUCACGAAUAGAGGAGUCAAGGUUGGUCAGUCUUCUUAUCAUCAUCAGCGGAAGUUUUGUAUUUGAAUGACAAUACAGGAUCAACUUACACUAGAUGGAAGUAGACUUACAUUAUUUUAGAAUGUUUUAUAGCUAUCAACAUAUUCGGAGUCCACAAUUGGAUCAUAUUAUUUCCAAACUCAUUCUAAUACAGUACGUACAAUGUCAUAAAAUAACCAUAAUUUAGCCCCUAAAUUACCAGUCAAAGGUGUCAAUAGUUAAUAUAUAUGUUUUUAAGCUCCAAUAUCCUUGAAUGUCCCAUGCUUUUUUUGUGAUUCUCAGAUAAUUAAAUUCCUUGUAAUCAAGGAGGCUAGGAAGUAUCACAUAUUCAAUGUCUUAGGGUGUCGUGCAAAUUUCACACGUUUAAAUUCUUUUACAGUCUUUUGUUUAGCAGAGACAAAGUCUGUAGCCACUGGAGGAACAUGAUUGACAUUCAACACUACUAUUUUGCAAACCUGUUAGAUGCCCUUAAAAGAGGAUUGCAGCAAAGGACAUGUUAAACCAAUAACUUCAUGUGAAACUCAAGGCUGGCAAUGCAAUACUACAGAGGGUCCAGAGCAAUUAUCUUCCUGCCAGAGCCAUUUUGCACAAACUGCCUUACAAAAAAUUAAAUAGUUAUGGCCCCACUACACUCUCUCUCCUAUUCCUCCCCCUCCACAAACCACCAGUUGCCAGGACUUCCACACUGACGGGACAUGAUUAACACUACUAUUUUUGCAAACCUGUUUGAAGCCCAAUAGAAGAGGAUUGCAGCAGAGGACAUGUCAAACGGAAAGUUAAUGUGAAACUCAGGGCUGGCGAUGAGAUACUACAGAAGGUCUAGAGCAAUUAUCCUGCCAGAGCCAUUUUGCACAAACAGCCUAGACUGCCUUACAAAAAAUUAAAUAGUUAUGGCCCCACUACCUCUCUCUCUCUCCCCUACUCCUCCCCCCUCCCCAAACCCACCACUCUCUGGGACUUCCACUGUUCCCUUCCCUUUUUUUUUCGCCACUCUCCAUCUCUCUCUUUUUGCUGUCUCGCCUCCAAUCCCCAAGUCUCUACGCUUACCUUCCCCUCCCAACUUCAUCUCUUUUCCCUAACCCCUCCACCUUGGCCCCUUCUGCUAAACUCCUUUCUCCAAUAGCUUCACUCCCCCCCACCCCCUUUACCAUUGCUACUACCUAUCCCCCAUGUCCCCUUUUCACAGAUGCAUUAACCUCACCACCAUGCACUUCAAACAAACCCCCAACAUAGCUUUCCCCCAAAUUAUCAUGGAGGAUUCUUGAUGUUUGAAAUUGUCUAUUAAGGUCCAUUGGAAUUUAACUGCUUUCAUGUCCUCAGCUGCUUAUGGGCUUCAUCUUCAUUCUAUUGUUUACAAGUCAAUAAUUUGUUAAAGAAAUCUUAUUAUAAUUAGUUUACAAUAAGUUUUCAUUUACUAUUUCCCUGUAUGAUGUCUUGCGAUGGUGCUGUAGUUUUGGUUAUCAACAUUCAUCAUAGCUUCAAUAUUAACCCUGUUGGAAAUCUUAUGUUGGUGGUUUCAGUAUCAAUAUUCAGUGGCUGAGAGACAUGAGAGAAAGUGGCAGUGAAGUAAGAAAGAGAGGCAGAAAGCAGAGCGAGAAUUAUGGUGGAUCUAAAAAUAAAGGUGUAAACUUUUUUCAGGGUAAUUUGUGCAUUCGAAAACUGCUUUGGCUGGAAUAAAAUUGCUCUGAAGGUACUUCCAGCCGAAUCUGAAACACAAUGAUGACUGUGAUUUUAGCCAAAGACACCAUUGCUUAACAAUUGUGACUAAAGGUCACAAAUAUCAAAGAGGCAACAACUAAGACAUUUAUGGUCUACAGCUAUAAAGAAGUGGGAAACUGCAUGUGACUAUAUUAGUAGGAUUGAAGUUGGAAAAGGUCACGCUCUUAUCACAUGCCUCUAACCACAUAGCUGGAAAGACGAUUUAAUAGGGGGAAAAAACACCAAGGUUAUAAGUAUUGUUGGGCUAAUAGGUGACAAACCACAAAUAACUAAAUAGUGUAUGUGAUAAAAGUAGAAAAGAGUAUAUAAAAGAUCAUUGUAUUGCUUACAUAUUAAAAUAGGGUAACAAAGGUAGCAAAAGAAAAACCAAAAGAAAUCCAAUAAAAAUUUGUUAAACACACCUAAAACAACAAAUAAAAUUGAACGAAGUAUCUAGGAAGAGCAUCUGGCUUAAUAGGCGACAAGGACUGUGAUAGAGCAAAGUCCAAUAGAAUUCAGGAAACACCAAGCAUGAGGUAAGGGCUCCUUAAGUACACUUUUUAAAUGUUGACAAGCGACAAAUGAUAUGUGAUUUAUCCACGGCAGCAUAUAUAAGACUAUAAGACUAUAAAGGUCAAACGUUCUGAAACUCUGAUGAAACAAUCAACUGUAUAAAUUUUUUAAAAAUUUUCAUUACUCAUGAAGAAUAUGGAAAGUCACAAACUAGUACUUGCACAGAACUCCAAGAAGAUUCUAUAAUUCAGUUAAAACAGAGCCCAAGAGACAUAUGGAGACCGAAAAAUAACUCCCAGAAGACCAAUUUAUUGUUGAUCUCAAUCCUUAGACAGCAUGAACAGUUCCAUAAUGCAGAUUCUCAUUGGAAAAAUGGUCUAGAUUUUCUAACUUAUUUAAUAUUCAGUGCAAAGGCAGACACAAAACCCCUAAAUCUGGAUCCAAAGGGCCUGAUCUUCACAGUGGCAAGUUGCUAAUUUAGGAGAACUCUUCAAUUUUCUCUUCAAAAUGUUUAUAAGUUCAUAUACGAUAUCCAGAGUCAAAUUUCAGAACUGGAAAAAAACAGCUUUGUACAAAGUAACAUAAUCAUCACUGAGUAGCAACUUUAUUCAAAUUAAAAGCCAAUUAGUGUCUCAUUCACCUAAGUAAUAGAAUCUCCGGCAAACAUAAGAAACUUCAAGAAAUUGAGGCGAUAGGAUCUUAAAAGAAACCUGUGUCCCACAACGCAGUAACUCCCUUGCAAAUGGCAAUAUCCCUAAAACUAUAUCUGCACCAGAAUUGUCCACAAAGAUCACAGCCUGCACUACGGACAAAAGAUUAGUGCAGGCACACCAUAAUUAGCAAGACAAAAGAAAACCCAUCAGUGGGGAAGAAGGAAUCUCCACCAUUUCAAAGUGCUCACUUUUUUCCAAGGUUUCUUGCUCCACUUUGCAAUGAAAGCAUCCAAAUCAUCAAUAACCCAAGGUCGGGGGACCAGGUUUUGACAACUAGCCAGAAAAGACAUACCAUCCUUUGAGAACAACUCUGCAAGCUUCAAGAGUAAAAAUUGUCAAUCAACGGUUGCUGAAUUUUGAAACUAAAAUCUAUUUCCCUUUUUUUUUUUCAUGUUCCUCUUAAGUUGAACUUACACAUGCAUAAGUCUAUGGUUUUCAAGUUACAAACUCAAGAAGCACUUAAUUCGGAUGUACAUCCAAGGGGUCUUAUUACUUAUGAAAGCAUGGAGACUGACAGUCAACAUCAACAAUUAUCGUACAUAUGCUCACUCCUUCAGAUAUUGUUCAUACGAGAAGAAAGUCUCACAAAACCUCAAAGUUUAUAUGAAUUUAUUGCCUAAAAGCACAAUCUACCUGUGCAGAGCCAAGAUCAAAGAUAUUUCCUGCAAAUAUUCCUCUAACCAAAUUUUCCAUUCGCUUGCAUUCAUCCUCGAUGGCAUCACUAAGAUGAACAACAUCUUCAAACAAGGAUAUUGCCUUGGCAUUUUCUUCAUCCUAAAAUGGAAAUGAAUGCUUAGCAGAGUGCACUAUGUUGGUUUAGAAGAUAACCCAACUUUUUGAACAGGAUAAUAAGCAGACACAGGGGAGUGCGAUAACUCCCAUGAAUGACGCAAGGAGAGGCCUUCAAUGAAUGGAAAACCUCGUUCUCACCUUAACCUUCUUAAAGAUAUCUCUGAACCCCAGUUCUCGGAGGACCUGCUCGCGAAGCUGACAAAGAAGCUACAAAAGAAUCAAAAGGAAACGUGAGAAAUUCACAGCUUUUUGUAUCAGUUAAACAUUCUGUGUUGCAUCAGAAGUGCAUAUGUAGGUUAAAUGUGAAGAAAUAGUCAAGACGGGUUGACAUUACUACGCAAUCAGGUGGUCCCCCAUGACUUUCAGGAUCUUUCUUCAAAUCCUCCAGUAUCUCCGCAUACCUUGAGGGUGAGAAGAGGGGGCGGGGUUGAAGGAAAAGCAGAUUUUGAAGUGAUGUGUGGGGGAGGGGAAAUGAGCCGUCAGUAAAAUUGGUGUGCAAAAUAAGAACUUGAAACAGCACUUUCAAGCAAUUAGACCAUGGCUAUUAAUACAGCAAACAAAUGUGCAACACUCUUGAAAAGGGAAAAGUAAAUCACAGAGAACGCAGGUGGAGAAGAAGACAAAUUUAAUGAAAAUAAUGAUGAUGAUUAUAAGGGGUACCUUUGAGCAAACUUCUCAGCCCUUGCAGGAGCAUCUAAUACUGUAUCAUCGCUCUCUGCCCGUCUCCUAUAUUUAGUAUAUCAGUAUUAUUCAGAAAAAAAUGCAUGGAUGAUUUUUCAACCAAAUCCCCCUCCCCAUCAACCAAUAAACCCCCCCCCCCCAAAAAAAAAGAAAAGGAAAAAUGGACACCGGAAUCCAAAUAUGAUGGUGAUGGUGAUGGUGAUGGUGAUGGUGGUGGUGGUGGUGGUGAUGAUAAUUGAAUGGGCAACUAGGGGUACUUCACUCCUAACAAAGAAGUACUGUCAAAUAAUGCGGUGAGAUGAGGGUUAGGAGAGGUGUAGGUGCUGCUGAAUUGCUGAUAAAAUCUCUAGUGAAAAGGUAAAAGAUUAUAAGAGUAACUAAAGAAACCCAGUACCGGAAAGAAGAAAUGGAGUUGAGGAAAAGGUCGAUCCAGGAGAGCUCAGUCGGGGUGGGCUUCUUGGAUUGUCGGAGGGGAAUCUGUAAGGUAUGGUGCAAGCCCUGUAAUUGGACUCGAUCGGCAUCGUCAGCAAUGGAAAUGCCACUAAUUCUCCGGCGCUCUCCAUGUCGCCGCCAACACUUAAUCCUCCCUCCCUUUCUUUCCACCUGUCAAACAAUGAGGUAGGUAACUGGGCUAAAUGUAAAUGGUUGAUUACUUCCUUGGAUCUAUCCUACAGCUGCAGCAAACCACGACACCUCACUUUCUCGUCGGUAAUCUUGAGAGCCGAUGCACCACACUCACACCACUCCAAUACUGCUGCGAAUUACCAGUGACCAGCUUCUUGGAGGAUUCCCCAAACAUUAAAAUUAAGGGUAAAUCUUUUAUUUUUAUACACUGAUAGUGUAUAAAUUAGUGGGCAUAUAUAAAAUUUGAUAUUUAAAUUCAAAUGAAUGAUGCAUGACACAUAUAUAUACAUAUAUAUCUAUAUAAUUUGAUAUUUAAUUUAAAUUCAGAUCAUAUGGCAUUCAUCCAAUUCCUAUGAUAAUGUAAAAAAGAUUAAUUCUAAAAUUAAAUGCAAUGUAGUGCGUGCAUGUGUGCGUGUCUAUAUAUAUUAAAUGUAGUAUAUUACUCCCUCCCUUUUUUUAUAACUGACGUUUAAGAAAUUUGCUCUAGUGUACUUUUAUCUAUCGUUUUAUUAUCCCCAUACAGUAUUAAUUAUUUUUUCACAAUUUUACCAUUUUAUCUCUCUUUUCCAAUACAUGGUUCUUAAUUACUACUCCUGGCUAGCAGACGGGAUCCUCUGUCCAAUUUUCUGUGUCUAAUUUCCUGUCCAACACAAAACUACAUAGUUCCACUUAUUCUUGUGGCUGACGUGGCACAUAAAAAUAAAUGUCUGUUUGGCUCCAUUAUACUUUUGAAUCUCUCUUCUUUUUGGAUUUCCUUUAUUUACAUAUCUUUAUUACAAUUCCCAAAAUCCUAUUACUACCAUAACAAUUCCCAAGACCUGUUGCCGUGAGCGUCAAGAAGAUUUGGGACUUCUUUGCCGAUGGUAAGAAAAAAAUAAUAUUCAUCUGCACAAUUGUUUCUGGCUGACUUACAAUGUAUCAGUUGUGGAUGUUCCUUUGCUUGGCAUCAAUUUAUAAGUUUUUUAUGCCGGCUUUCGUCUAUGUAGUAGGGACCCAUGAAGGAAAUAUAUAAUUCCAUAAAACCAAAAAAUAAAAAAAUAAAAAUGGCUAAGCAUAUAAUCUUCUAGGCAUUGAUAUCUGAAACAACAAUCAUCGUGAACCAAAUUGCAGCACAUAUAUUUGUUUACCACCGCAAUCCGUAUGCCUUAUAAAAUGUGUGUAUGUGGGUGAGGUGGUGUUUUUUUCUGGGAAAGGGGGGGUGGUAAGAAAAGAAAACAGCUAUUACAUCUUAAAAUAGCAGAGGUCUCCAUGAUGUUUAAAGGUUUUCAAUUUUUAUCCAUCACAUGGUUUUUCAUUCAAUUAGCAACUUUGUCAACCAAGCCAAUGAAAUAUGUCAGUUUUUAACCAUAUUUCCCCAAGAGAUGGAUUAUAAAUUAAAUGAACACUGUAUCAAUGAAGACAUAAUUCUACUUAAAAACAAAAAGAGGAAUCAAUUUACCAGAAUAAAAAAUAGAUUGCAAAAGGUACAAGAAACACUUUUUCUAUCUGAAAAUGUUAAAACACAAUUUGUUUUCCUUCAAAGAAAGCGAGAAGGACAAUUUGUUUUCCUUCACCAAUUUUUUAGAUUAUUCUUUCCGUUAGGCCCAGCUGCAAAUUUUGCUUUGUACUUCCAAGGAUUUGAUUGUCUCUCUGUAUGUCUCAAAUUUUGCUAUGUCUUUCCGUUAGGCUAGUGGUUUGCUUUGGAGGAAUUCACGGUGAAUGGUUACAAUUUGACAGGGCUGUUGCUUGGUGCUUGAGCCAAACAGGCAUUUAUUUUUAUGUGCCACGUCAGCCACAAGAAUAAGUGGAACUACGUAGUUUUGUGUUGGACAGGAAAUUAGACACAGAAAAUUGGACAGAGGAUCUCGUCUGCCUAGUUAGGGGUGCAGAGAAUUCGAGUAGCUUGAAUCGAGCUCGCGAGUAGCUUGAUUAGCUACUCGACUCGAUCUCGAGCAAAUUCGAGUUCGAGUCAAUCUCGAUCUACUUGCUACAGUAAACGAGCCGAUCUCGAGUAUUUAGUAGUAAGAAAUUCGAGCUCGUCGAGUAGCUCGAGCUCGGUAGCACAUAUAUAUUGUAUUUUAGUUUAUAUAUCAAUUUACUCUUUUAGGUUUGUUAGCUAGAAUAUUUACGGGCUUAAGCAGUUCCCUGCCAAUUAGUAAACAAGGGUGAAUAAGUAAUUUUGGCUCGAGAAUUCUGAUGAAAUGAGGAAAACUAAAAACGAAAAAUGAAAAAGCUUCCGUCGAAUUCAUCCUUCACAGUUCUUUCUUCUUCUUCGUUCGGCCGUUCCUUCCUCUUCAGCCUUGACUCUCAAAUCUCAAUCUCUUAUUCUUUGGCUCAUCUCCUCAACUGUCACAACUCACAACUCACAAGGCAGUCGAUCACCUAAAGCUUUAAACACUAAGCAAUUUAGCUCAACAUGGAGUAGGUAACAGCGUGAGCACUGAGCAGCCGACCUUUGAGUGGGGGUUUCAAAUCAAAUCAAAACCCAUCAAUUUCAACAGCUGUAUUUGACAAAUUAAGGUACUUAUUGUGCAUUUGUGUAGUAAAUAUGUGCAUUAUGAGGUUAAAUUUUAUAAAUGUAAUAUUAAUUUUUAAUCUCCAAACCCUAACCAAAAAAAUUGGGGGCUGCAGCCUGCGAUUCAAUAUAUUCAAUUUCCGUAUCCCAUUCCUUCUCCAUUGCUGUACUGGAAUUUUGAGGAAAUGGAGGGCAGCUCGAUUCCUUCAACAAGUGAUUCGGUGGUUGGCGCGACAGCUCUAAGAAUUGGUAAGUUUCUUGACGUUGGCUCUAACAUGUUUAUGGGUUUUUCUUUGAUGUGAAAAUGCACUGAUUUCAGAAAUUUGCUUUAAGUUGGAUUAUUAAGUGUUAAUUAGCUAGUAUAUUAAUGAGAUUAAUGAGAAUAUUCAGUUAUGUUCUCUGGAGAAUAAUUUUGAUGCUAGCUUAUGCAGUUUUAUUUAACGCAACAAAUUAUUCUAGGAAUCAGAAAAUUUAAAGACAAUCUUCAAUACUGUUGGUAGUUCUUUUUUGUCACCCUUUUUCUUUCUUGUUUGCCACGAAGGUUGUUCAUUUGAAAUAUGCCUAAAAGUGCUGUACAAGGACUGAUAAUAUAGCCAUUUUGACAGAGUAUAAUGCGUAUGUUAAAUCCAAUUUCCAGCAAUAUGCAACUAAUUUUUGUUGCCUUUCCCAAAGAGCUUGGUUCUUCAAGUUCUGUUUUUGAACUAACUUCACAUGUAUUUUGGGUGCAUUGACCAUUACAAUUCAUACUUAAGGUGUACAUUAAAAACUGAAUGAUGAAAUUGGGAAGCAUAAUUACCUCUAUAUGUCAUUUUUCUCAAGUAUUGAUGAAUUUAGAUAUGCAUACUCAAUUUUUUCAGGCUCAGCAGUCUUUCUUUAUUCAAACUGUUCUGAGUCUCUAGGUUAGUUUUAAAAAAAAAAUAAAAUUGGCAGCUCUCAGUCAAAUUUAACAUUUGAGUUCUUUCAAUCUGACUUCUUUUUUAUUUGUAGAAUUAUGGGUAAUGUGCUUUUAGAAUUCAAUCUAUUCCGCUUUUGAGUGUUAACACUCACAUCAAAUUAAAUUUUAUUUUCUGUUGUGAGUAAUUGCUUCGAGACUGAUACAGAUUUGAUUGAUGUUCUCUUUCCCUUUAUUAUGAAUUGUUUUAUACUUCAUACUUUCAUAGCAUUGAAAUAUUAUAUAAGAUCUGAAUUUGCUAUGAACUUUAGCCCUGAUAUGAAUUUUUUGGAAGCUGUUUUCCAGAUUUGGGUGCUUGUGUGUCAUUUUCAAUUUUUUUGGGAGUUGUUUUCCAGAUUUGGGUGCUUGUGUGUCAUUUUCUAUUUUUCUAAUGUUUGUUUGAUUUGAAUUUAAUGUUCCGUGUCAAAAUAUUUGAAGUGGAACUCAUUUUAAUGUAAAUGUUUGUUUUUCUAUUAAAGGCAUGUCUAUUAGUCCUCCCGAGGUUUCUUCAAUACCACAUGUGUCUGGGACCGAUUCAUCCACACCAGUCAUGAUUGACAGCCCAAUAUUUGUAAGCCGUGAUGCCUGUGAUCCCACACAAGAGGGUGGUGAAACACAACAAGAGGGAACCGAAGACACCAAUAGGCAGCAAGGAGAUGAAGCUGAAGAUGAUGGUAAAUUUCGAGUGCCUAAAAGGAAUAAAACUUCUGAGGCAUGGGAAGACUUUGAUGAUUUGGAAGAAAAUGGCAUAUAUUAUGCCAUUUGUAAACAUUGUAGUAAGAAACUGAAUCGGGGAAAAACUAAACAAACCAGCAGCAUGUGGAGGCAUCGAGAAAACUGUUCCGUUAGAAAAGCCAAGCUUAGAAAGGCCGAGCAGCAAACAAAGAUAAACUUUCAGCAAGCGAAUGAGCGUUUUCCAACUGUACCAUCAUUGCACACUGGCAAAUUCGAUAUGGAAGCAAUGAGAGAGGCUGCUGCACAUUGGAUCUUGAUGCACGAGCAUCCUUUCACAAUUUUGGAGGAAGAGGGUUUCAACAUAAUGAUGAAACGCGGCUGGCCGGAGUGGCAAAAGAUUUCACGAAUGACAGCUAAAAAAGAUUGUACACAGGUGUACGAGAUAGAGAAAAAGAAGUUGAAGAACUUGUUGAGGCAUGUACAAAAAGUUAGCUUGACCACCGAUAUGUGGAAAUCAAAGAAUCAAAAAAUUGAAUACAUGGUGGUGACCGGACAUUGGAUUGAUGGAAAUUGGAAGCUUCAGAAGAGAGUGUUAAAUUUUGUUCAUAUUCGACCACCACGUCGAGGAGUUGAGAUUUCGGAUGCAGUUUUCAAGUGUGCAAAGGAAUGGGGAAUUGAGGGAAAAAUUCACUAUUUCUGUGGACAAUGCCUCGAACAAUGAUGUGGCCGUGAGAUUGUUGAAAGAUGAUUUCGGGAGAUGCAAGAAGCUUUUGGGUGGAGGAAAACUGUUUCAUGUUCGUUGUUGCGCCCAUAUCUUGAACCUUAUGGUUCAAGAUGGCUUGAAGGAUAUAGUAGAUAUUUGUGAAAAUAUUCGAGAUAGUGUGGAUUUUGUGAACAAGUCUGAUGGUAGGUCAUUGCUAUUUGCAGAAAUUGCUCAACACCUACAAAUUCCUGGAAAAAAAUUACUCCAUGAUUGUAGGACGAGAUGGAAUUCAACAUAUGAAAUGUUGAAUUGUGCUAUAAAAUAUAAAGAGGUCUUUCCUCGUUUUCAAGUGCGAGAGCCCCUUUAUGAGUCUUGUCCAUCUUCAGAGGAUUGGGAGAAGGUUGAGAAAGUUUGCACCAUUUUAGAGAAGUUCUACACAGCCACACACAUAAUUUCGGGGAGUGAGUAUCCAACUAGCAAUCUAUUCCUCCCUGAGAUUCUAAAGGUGAAGAAACUCUUGGAUGCACGAGUGAAUGAUGAAGAUGAUUUUGUCCGGGGUAUGAUUACAAGAAUGAAGCUCAAGUUUGACAAAUACUGGAAAGAGUGUAAUUUAUUGAUGUCCAUUGCAGCUAUCUUGGAUCCCAGACAGAAAAUGCGAGCAAUAGAGUUUGCCUUCCCUAAGAUGUAUUCCACAUAUGAAGCUCAACAGAAUAUCACAUAUGUUCGAAAAGCCAUCUUUGAGCUUUAUGACGAGUAUGUUGCUAUGGCUACAAGUGGAAGUGCAGGGACAGGUUGUUCAUUAAAUCCUGCAUCCGAAAUAGUGUGUCCACCUCGAGCAAGUGCUGACUAUUGGGAUGAUUUGGAUGAGUAUUGUGGUGAACUCGAAUCCGAUGAACCCCAUAAGAGCGAGUUGGUGGAUUACCUAGACAAGCCUCGCCAACUUCCUGGACAAAAUCCGAAGGAUUUCAACUGUUUAGAUUGGUGGAAAAUCAACCGAUCAGCAUACCCGGUACUCUCUCAGUUAGCGGCUGAUGUAUUGGCCAUUCCUAUCACUACCGUCGCAUCUGAGGCCACCUUUAGUGCUGGAACUAGGGUGAUUGAUUCAUACCGUGCUUCACUUGCUCCGGAGACAGUCCAGACGUUAAUGUGUGCAGGCGAUUGGUGUAGAAAUUUACACGGGGUCAAAAAGAAAUUGAAAGUAAGUUAUAUCUAUAUGAAUUUGUUAUUGCAGAGAUAAAUUAGUAGUUAUUAGUUUGUUUAUUGAUUUUAAAGUAUUUCAUUAUUUGCAUUUCCACUACCUAAAUGCAGCCACAGAAAGCUCCAAAGAAUAUGAGCUGCCCAAUGCUUGAAGUUGUGUAAGGAGCAACUACUUUGCUGAAAAUCAGGUCCAUCUUUUUGUGAAUUCUCAUUUUCUUAUUCUUAAUUUGCCAUAAGUUGUGUUCAAAUUUUAAAUUUAAAUUGUACAUAAGUUGGUUGAUUUGUCAUUUGUGUAUGGCUAGGUGUUGUAGAUUGUACACCGAAGUUUGAAGAUGCAUAAGGAGCAAACAAGCUGUUUCAUUUACCAGAUUACAAACAAGAGCUUCUAAAUGCUCAUUAGACUCCAGAAAAUUUCCCUAAGUUUUUCCUUUCAAUUGGCUGCAGCACUCCUUUUUGUAUUUUCGUGAAAUUCUGAUGAGGUUGAGAACAGGUUGUUGCUUAUGUUUAAUGCUGAAAUGUUAAUGUGGAUCAUGGCCACUUAGUUUCUGCAUGCGUAUGGUGUUUCUUUAGCCAUUGUGUUUGUCCUUUUGUUUGUCAUUGGUUUCUCGUUUGAGGAAUUUCUGAAUUUUGGAAACUAGAAUUCUUGAAUCUUGAAUCCUUAUUAAUCUUAUUGAUUUCCCUGGCAUGUUGAUUUCUCAUCUGAGGUGACUGCUGCCCUUCGUAUUACUGAUGGUGCAUUGGUGCUGUUGAUUGUAUUGAGGGUAUGUGUUCGUGUGUUUUCUUUGCUUUUGGCCGUGUGUUUUCUGGAAAAAUUGCCACUGGCAUGAAGAUUCCCCUGGGCAUGUUGAUUUCUCAUCUGAGGUGACUGCUGCCCUUCGUAUUACUGAUGGUACAUUUGGUGGUGGUUGAUUGUAUUGAGGAUGUGUGUGUCUGUGUGUUUUCUUUACUUUUGGCUGUGUGUUUUCUGGAAAAAGUGCCACUGGCAUGAAGGUUAGAAUCAUGGGUCCCAACUAUGUUCCGAGAGAGAAAAAGGACUUGUAUGUUAUAAUGUUAAGACUUAAGAAUGUCUAAAGAAUAGUUAUUUGGAUGGGUAAGAAGCAGGAAAUAGUUGAGGAUGUGCCAUGGGGUAACACAGUUGCUAUGGUUGGUUUGGAUCAAUUCAUCACAGUUGCUAUGGUUGCUAUGGUUGCUGUCUCCCCUGUCGUGCGUGUUGCUGGGCAGAGUGCAGUGGAAGGUUGCAUCUGAUUCCCCAAGCUUGUUGAAGGUUUGAAACCUCUGCCGAAGGUUGUCUGUACUCUAUAUGCAAUGGCAUGCUUCUAAGUUUUGUCCAUGUGGCUCCAAGACUUUAAUUAGCUUCUAAGUUUUGUUUCUUUGAAUUGCAAUUAAUCUUGUUCAAUUGAUAUUAAUGUACUUUCAUUCGAAUGAUUAGUGCAACUUAGUGUAUUGUUUAGUACAAAUUAGUAGUGUUGCAUUUAAGAUACAAAGACUAGAUUCUUUAGAUUUGCGUAGGAACCAGAAUCAAUUCGAGCUCAUUCGAGCUCAUUCGAGCUCGAGUACUCGACUUGAUAUCGAGCUCGAAUGACAUGUCGAGCUCGAUCAAGUCGAGUUCGAGUCUGCAUAUGCUUUUAUCGAGUCGAUCUCGAUCUUUGCUUCUCGAGCUCUACUGAUCUGGGUCGAGCUCGAGCUCGAGUACCCCACUACUCGAGCUCGACUCGGCUCGAUUUCACCCCUACUCCUAGUUUGGUGGGAGUUAGUUUGCAUUGCUUUUGGCCUGGUAAAACAGCACCAUUUAGUACUCUAGUGAGAGAAAACAUGGGUGAAUUGGACAAUUAAUGAGGGUAUAAAAGAAAAGUAGUGUACAGAUUUAAACAAUGAAAAACUUUUCUUAAUUGGUGUGCAAAACCUUAAACGUCAGUUAUAAAAAAAGGGAGGGAGUACUUCGCAGGCUUUUCAAUUUGAAGUUAAAAAUAACAAAUAAAAAGGGUUAAUUCCAUUUUAUACCCCUAAACCAUAUAGUUCAAUGUAGUCCAAUUAGCCAAUUUCUGACAAUUAGGAAAUUGGAUUAAUCUUUUCUAUGCUUACAGUGUAUACACUAUUAGCGUUGGAUGAAAGACAACUAUGUAAAAUUUGAAUUUGAAAUUCAACUUUUGUACACAUGUCAUGAAUCAAACGGUGAUAGUGCAUACACUGUCAGGAUAUAUAAGAUUUAUUCAAGGAAAUUAACAUGGCUUGUAAAGGACCCUUUCACCCUUUGGUAAAUUUCUCCAUAAAAUGCCCUCUCUGCCGAGAAAUGGUAACAUUUUUAAAAAUUAUAUAAAAUUUUUAAAAAAAUUUAUUGUAACUUUUUUUUUUUAUAAUAUGAUGAUGUAUGUGAGUUAAAAUGAUAAAAAAUUAAAAGAAACGUAUUUAUCAUGUAAACAAACAAAAAUAUUUUACAAAUAAGCCUCAAUCCAAACAAAUCCAACUUUUUCCCUCCCACUUAGAGCUAAAUAAAAGAAUUUGCAAUAUAAUGGAUAAGGCCGAGUCAUCCUUUCUUUUCAUGAUCUCGUGUUUUCAUUUCAUCAAAACCUCUCUCUCAUUUCAAUUGUGCUGCUGCAUCCAUUCGAGAAUCUCAUGUUAAAUACUCAAAUCUCUCAAAUUAGGCCACUCCAAUGGCUUAAUCUUCUCUCAAAAGCUGCCGCAAAAAUCUAAAUUUGCAUUUCUCUCUCAAAACACCUUUGAGCCUUGUUUGUUGAAACCUGGUGGAACGGGACUCACCAAGGCACCCUAUACCUUUCCCAUUUGGAUGUAUCCUAUCAUUAAUUCACAUACACAUAAACCAAUCAUGUGGGCUCAUUUUCUUUAGCAAGUAAUUCUAUUGACCUAUCACUACCUCCGAAUCCCAUUCUAUUGGAUCUUAAGCUUUUCUUUUGGUAUUAGGUCAUUUUUAUUGCAAUAAUCUUAGCCAAUUCUUGUGAAAUUGGAUACUUCAUUGACCUAUCUUACCCGACUCUAUCGAUCCUCUAUAGAUCCUUAGUAGCACCUUUACUUUGGUAUUAGAUCAUCUUCAUCGCCUUAUCUUGGCCAUCCCUUUCCUUUUGUUAUUUGAUCAUCUCUAUCGGCAUAUCUCAGUUAUCUCAAGUUUUAGUAAACAAUUGCCUAUUCAAUUUUUCUGCUUCCCAUUCAAAAUUGUUAUACAACAUAUGUAGCAGUAGUAUUUCAAUAGAGGUGCUAUAACUCAGGGUACUGUUAAGCUUUUGAAAAAUUCAUAUGGUACUCCAUCUUACAGACAUUCCAAAGGAAAACUUAUUUUAAACUAUUACAAGACCAUGAGACCUCGAUGGAAAACUAGUUAUAAACUUUGUAUCGUGAAACGUUUGCCAAAUGAGUCUUAGCCACUUAGCAUGCUCAAAGCAUGAAAAGUAAGAAAUAACAGUGGAGGUGAAUGCGUUAGUGGAGCUGGAAGGUACUUCUUUGGGGGCAAGAUCUUUUCUUCGACUCUGUCCCAUAAUCAGGAAGUCCAGCAACCACGAAGCCAUUGCACGCCAUCUAAAAAAAAUUUUCAAUUAAUAUUUCGCUUACAUCAUUAACAUAUUUUUCAACCCACCUUUUUAUCUCACAUACAUCAUAUCACAAAAAGUGCUACAGUAAUUAUUCCAAAUAAUAUUUCAAAUAAUACUCUAUCCAAACAAACAUUUACUUUGUCCAGGAUAACAAUCGUCAAUGUUCUCCAUAGCAGAAGAAACAACUUAACAACAAAAGUAAUUCCAAGUGGUGUUAUUCUUAUCAAUGAGAUCAACUGUUGGAUGAAAAAAUUUGGAUAAAAGAUUAUUUGGGAUAAUUUAUUGAAAAAAACACUACAAUACUUUUUUAAUAUGAUGUAUGUGAGAUAAAAAUGUGGCUAAAAAAUAUGUUGAUAAUACAAACAAGUCAGUAUGUGUAAAUAAAGUGCAAACCAAACACACUAAACUUGGCCUUUAUCAAGCAUUUUCCUAUCCUUGAUUGAACAUUUAAAAACCGUAGAUGUACAAGAUAUAAUGUAUUUCAUAAAUGCGCAGAACCUAGACCCCUAGCAUACUACUUAUUUGCUUUAGCAAACCUAAGGUAGCGACAUUUCUCUCCACUAACUGUGAUUUCAAGAGCUCCAUCUUGAUUAUCUUGAUUUGAUGCAGUUCCCAUCAGUACACUUUUCUCUUUCUCAAGGAUUUCUCUUUCUAGCUUUAAUCUAGCUUCUUGUCGGGCAAUCUCCACCUGAAAUAGAAACAUCAUUAAGCAAGAAGUUUAAAGAAAUGCUAAACCUUAAAAACUACUCUCACAGUAAAUUCCAUAGUGUGGUGGAAAUAAAUAUUGAGCUACAAGGUAUGAAAUUGACUUCGAUAUGACAAAGUAACAUGGAUAUGAAGUAAUGGACUAGUAGUAUAGAAAGACAAAUGAAAGAACAGAUGGGCUCUCAUACAACCCAUCAUAAUCCAAAUUGCUCGGCGCUAGGCAAUCCAAGAGUAUAAAAUUAUUACAUGACAUGAAAGACUCUGGAAAGAAUACUACUAUAAUUGGACAAAAAUGUUUCUGCCUUUGUAGCGGUCAACAUAAAGGCUUGAUUUGACUCUUUCUUGACUUGGAAUCUCCCAAGAUCUCAACCAGUCCAACUCUUCAUGGAAGGAAAAACAUGUAUGAGUGGCUUCAAUCUAAAUUCCUAUUAUCAACAAUUUUGAACCUCUAGCAACCCCCACUUCACAAACUGUUUCAUAAUAUUAGUUGACACAGAACUAUCGGUAGUAGGUUUAUUAUGAAAACAAGCUCAUUUAGUUACAAUCCACUAGACUAAUCCAAUAGUUAAUUAAGGAAUAUGCUUCUUGAAAAAUCCAAGUUUUCGGGUAGAUCCUAUGUAGAAGAAAUUCAUAAAGCUCCUGUGAGUUCAUGUGUAAACUUCAGCCUGUGCAUAGUCUGCGAAAUAAUCAAGCAACUAUUGUCUGCUCGAGGCCUCAACCCAAAAAUCAUGUAGACUCUAGAUUCAUAGAGUGUUACCCAGGUUCAAAGCUUUGUCUAUGGAGAUUCCAUAUAACCUCAUUCCAGGCUUCUUAGUAGAAUUAAAUAAAGAAUGGGUAAUAGAAGAAGAAAUUGAGCCUCAAAUUACUAGCAUCAAGAACCAAGUCUAGCUAGAAGAUCAAAAUAUAAUCUCUUAUUGAAUGGUUCAGCAAUUGAUUAAUGUUGUAGGAGGAAAAGAGACAGGGAAACAGGACAUAAAAGAUUUCCAAGCAAAACAACUGCAUAUCUUUAGAAGUUUUAGAAGCAAAGAACAGAAAAGAAAGAAAUGUUGGUGAAACAAGGCUCACAUAAUAGGCCAUUUGUUCAUGUUUGGCAAUCAAUGUUGCAAUAAAGAUCAUGUAUUAGAGGAUCAAAUAGGAUUUCAAUAAAAUUCACUUUCAAAGCUUGAUUCACAUCAGAAUGAAAUACAUGUUAUUCUUUCAUUUUUCUAUUGCUUUGUUCUCUCUCACUUCUUUUUCUUUUUCUGAGUUGCAGCAUUUGCCAAAAUCUCAUCAGCAGCCUUGACUAGAUUAAGGUGACUUGGUGAGUUGUACCCAACAAAAGUAUCAAUCAGCUCUACAGUUCAAAUUGUUCAAAUAUAACGUCAACACCAGCCAAAAACCAACCAAAAAGAGGGCAAAAGUCGACUAUUAUAGGUGAUGGUGCCAACAUAGCAUACUCAUCUCCAUUCCAACCACCAAAAUAUCACCAUAUAAACGGUCCUCUUAUUACUCUAUAUCCCUCUCCAAGUCUGGAUCUUUCUACAACAUCCCAUUUAACAAAUUCAAUACUAUAAUGAGCUUCCUAAACCCACUCCAAUCCAGUUGUCAAUCAACAAUCAGCCAAAAAAUUGUCCAAAAAUAAGCAUCCUAAAUAUAUCCUUAUUGUCAUUUGAAACCCAAUUAAAUAAAAAAGGACAAUAAACCUACCACCUGAUACAACUGAUGCUAUCAACCCAAACACAAAAGCAAUUUUUUUUAGUAGGGGGAAGGACAGACAAAGAAACUGAUUAUGCAAUCAAUCUAAUACCUACUAGACCAUAUCAAAAAUUGUUACUACAUUUAUAAAGCAGGAGAAUGGGAUUGAGUUAAAAAGAAAAGAAUAAAAUGAAAAGCAUAUAGCUAAUUACCAAUUAGUGGGAAAUGAAUUAAGAAUAAUCAAAACAUGAUGAAUUGGAGAUAAAGAAAGCAAUCAACAAAUGACGAUGAACUUGGGUAGGGAAUGCUAUGCUAAAGAAAAGGUGAUGUACAAGUUUACAGUGAAGGGUUGGGCCGGUGGGGGUAUUAUGGGUGGUAAGAGGUUGGGGUAAAGUACCUUACGACGAGAGAGUUCGGCUUUCCAAGCGACUUCACGCUCGGCGACCUUGCGUUCCCAUUCCUCAAUGUAACUCUGCACCUCCAUCUCUUUCAUGAGUCAGUCCUAUAUGUUCGCGUCCAGAGCCUCAUUUAGCUCCUGCACAAACUUGUCCACCAUCGUCUUUAUUUUCAGAGACAUUUUUAUCAAUUCUAAUUCAAAUAACCCCAAGCUGCUCUGCUGCUUAGUGUUUUCUCUGAUGAUGACGAUGACGACGAUGACGAACAGACUUUUCUUAAUUUCAAGGCCCCAAACUAUCAAAUUAUGAAUCCCAAAUAGUUGUUUUUUUGACUUAUUCUUCUUGUUUGCGAUCACAAUUACCACCACAAAGAGCUCCAUUUCAUAAAUACUACUGCUUAAUUACCUUUUUUUUGGGUGUUUGGGGGAGGGGAAUAAAACCCAAACCAGCAAAAGAAAUAUGCUAGCCGCAGCACCUGUUUCACUAUUUAUAAAUCAAAAGAGAUGAUUACCCAUCUGAGGAUCGAUUUGAUUAAAGAAUGACCUUAACCCUAACCCUAACCCAUAUCCAGUGGACGAUGACAAACUAUAGUCUCUAUGGAGUUAAAAAAAAGUAACGCGUUCUUGUUCUUUUUUCUUGUAGUUGUACUAGUACUUUCAUAGUUCUUCUCGCUCGCUUUUCUGAAGGCCCAUCUCCAUUUGUGGUCCACUUUCAUUUCCCCAGAUUUUUCUCCUCAUUCUUUUUCCCUGGAGUACAUUUUUUCUUUUAUUUUUGGGUUAAGUAGGAGGUCUUCUAUUUUUUUCCUUACAAUGGAGGGUCGAGCCCGUUACAUAGCGACUAAUCUAGGUAAAACAACACCAUAAAUAUCUUGUCCCAAUAGUUUUUUGAGCUGGUGCGGAGGGUCCCUAAAAUUAGUCGUUGUUGGAGCCAAACUUCUUCCCAUAUUUGCUAAGUAAUCUGUACAUAUAUUCCCUUCACGCCAUGCAUGAACUAUUUGAUAAUUGACUCUUUUGUUAGCAUACUUGUCUUCUCAAUUAGAUUCUAGUGUUGGCUAUCCCUUGUUGCUUUCCUGAUUAGUAUUAUGGCUACUUCUAAGUCCGUUUCUAGGAUUCCUUCUUGUACCCCUCAUUCACUACAAUUGGAUUCCCAAUAGCAUAGCCCAUAGUUCUGCUGCUACAUUACUUGUUUUUCCAAUAUUUGCAUUGAAUCCUACUAUCCAUUAACCUAGCUCAUUUCUUCGUAAGCCUCCUGCACUGGCACUUCCUAAAUUAUGCUUCGAAACUCCAUCAACAUUCAUUUUUACCCAUCCUUGUGACGGCUUCUCCCAAUAGAUAUAUUUCAUCUCUUUAGCCACUUGGAACUCUUUUUUUUAGUUCAACUUCUAUGCCACUAGGGCCUGCUGUACUAGAUGUUAUCGGUGUACCUUCAUCUUUCUUACUAUUUCUUGGUGCACUUUCUCGUUUCUUGCUGUCCAUAUUAAAUGGGUCACUUGUUGAAACAACAUUGGCUAGUAUACCUUUUUCUGCUUCCUUACCAUUUUUUGGUUAACAUUCCAAUCAAUCCAGUGUAUUAGCUCCUUCGAUUUAAACUGUCUCCAAUUUAAUUGGUAUACCAUAUCCUGCUAACCCAAUCACAGUCCCUCAGGGCCUGAAUUGCAUUUUCUCUCCUUUUUCCACACAUCUAACAAUUCCCAUCUAUAUGAAGAUGUCUUUUGUAUUUCUCUGCAUCAGUUAAUAGUUGACCAUGUCUUGCUAGCCACAAAAGAAAUUACCAUCUGUUUGGGCCUUUGAGUUUCCAUAUCUUCUCCUAAUUGGGGUCAACUUGUUAUAGUUCUUCCAUUUGCCUAUCCAUCUCAUAUGCUGCUGCAAAAGUUCCCACUUGGUUCAAGUCUCCAUGUUAGUUUGUCUUUGUUUGUUGGUUUUCAUUUACUCUAAUGGCCCUAACUUCCUCCAUUUGUUGAUGACUCAAGUAUUGUGCUAAUAAAGUCCAAUCCUAGUUUUCAUUAAUACAAUAGUCACUCACCUUUUUCAUAUACUCCUCUUGUGGCACCUCCUUAAUUGUACUAUUUAUUAUUGGCUUCUGUAAGACCCAUGGAUUAGUCCAAAAAUUGAUAGUUCUCCCAUUUCCAGCCCUCUUUAUCAACCUUUUAAGCAUGAGUUUCCCCUCUUCUACCAUAUUCCUCCAUAUGUGCAACUUCCUAACUUUCUUCUCCAUUGGAAUCUGUUAUCUCCCCAUAUCUUUUUUUAAUUACUUUGGCCCAUAGCGCAUCUUUCUAUUUCAAAUACUCCAACUGGUUUUGGCCAACAAUGCUCUGUUUAUACUUUUCAACUUCUGACCCCCAAUCCUCCUCUACUCCUAGUUUGUGUGAGAAUGUCCUAGUUUACCAUAUGCAUUUUUCUUCUUUCAAUUCCUUUUCCCCAAAUAAAUUCUCUACUUUUUUCUAUUUUGUUGGUAAUCAUAGCUAGUAACAACGUUGUUUGCAUUGCAUGUGUUGGGAUUGUGGAUACUACUAUUUUUACAACCAUAGUUCUAGUAGCAUAAGACAUGCAUUUGCUUUUCCACCCUUGCAGCUUCAUAUUCACUUUUUCUAUAAUUUCUAAAUACAAUCUCUUAGUAACUCUUUAGUGUAGCAAUAACAUUCCCAAUAACAUUCUCAGAGCAGUACAGUUUAAACUUCUUCAAACUCAUACUCUUUCCUAAAGCUUCACAGAGCUUUGCUAGCAUUGCCCGUAUCAAAUUUGAGAUCAUCUGUAAAGAAAAGAUGUGAUAUUUCUAGCCCCCUUCUUCAAAUCUUAAUUGGUGUCUAGCUUCCUUAUUCUACUUUGUCUCAAAUUAGGUGCACCAAUCUCUCUAUGCAAAGCACAAAAAGGUAAGCUGAAAUGGGGUCACCUUGCCUUAGUCACUUGUUAGGAAUGAAAGUUGGAGUUCUUUCUCCAUUCCACAGUUCCUCCAUUGAUAAUGCCUAGACACAACUCAUGAUCAAGUCAAAUAUAUCUAUAGGAAUUUGCAUCAUCUCCAUGUUUCUUUUAGGAAACCCCAACUUAGUUCAUCGUACACCUUCUGCAAAUCUACCUUUACUGCAACAUAUCCUUUCUUUCCUUUCUUUCUUCUCAUAUAAUGUAUAAUCUCCUGUGCUAUUAUCACGUCAUCCUCAAUUUGUCUCCCAGGAUAACACUACACUGAUUUAGGGCUAUUAAAUCCUUUAUCAAUGGUCUCACUCUAUCCAUAAGGAUUUUUGUCACUACCUUAUAAGCAACAAUGCAUAAAGAUAUGGCCGAAAUUGUUUUAUAUGCUCUAGGCUGGGGAUUUUAGGAAUUAAACCAAUUAGUGCACCAUUCAUUUCCUUAGGCUUGUAUCUAUUUUUGAAUAUGGAGUCUACAAAGUCUAGUAUAGAUCCACUGACCGUGCUCUAGAACUUUUGGUAGAAUCCUGGAAUAUUCUAUCUGGUCCCAGCAACUUGUCUGCUUUGAUAUUAAAUAUGGCUGUUCUGAUUUCCUUUGGCACCACCCUUCUACUCAAAACUCACAAUCUUCUUCUCUCUAUCUAUGGGAACCUAUUAUUAAUAUGUUGUCUUCUGCUUGUAGCAUUCUCCAUCUCAUAUAGUUUUUAGAAAUAGUUCCUGACCAUCUGUUGCAAUACUCCUCUAUUGUGCUGCCAAUUUCCUUUAUCAUCUUUCAGGCAUGCUAUUCUCCUUUUUCUUCUUUUAAUGAUUGCUAUAGUAUGAAAAUCUUUCGUAUUUCUUUCCUCAUAUUUCAGCCAAUUGACCUUUUCCUUUUGAUACCAAAAUGUUUCCUCCUGGUCUAGGGUGGAGUUAUACUCUUGCAAUAUCUUCCUCUCCAAUUUCUCCAGUUUCGUAUCUGGGCCCCCAUCGAGUUUCCUUUGCCCUCCUCUAGUCUAGUCAGACAUCUCUUUUUCUAUGGAAUAUAUUCCCAAACAACUCCUAUUCUAUGUCAGUAGAUUCUUCAUAAGAUUUUCAUUCUUCAUGCUCAAAUCUCUUUCUGUUUGUUUCCAGCUCUCUCUAACUUAUUUUGCUAGUUUUGGAUGACUGAACUAGGCUAGCUUAAACUUUCCUGUUUUUUUUUCUUUCAACCUUCUUGGUUCUCUCUCCAUUUCCAGCAGGAGUGGAUGGUGGUCUGAAUGUGUGCACAUCAAGUGCUUAACUUCAACAUUAGAAAAAUUCAUAUGCUAGUCAGAGUUACACAGGCUCCUAUCUAGCCUUUUCCUUACAUUUGCUGCUCUUUUCUUCCAUUAUUCCAAGUAAACGCUGGAUCUAUCAAUCCACAACAGUGCAGACACUCUCUUAGUGUUAUCUGACUCGACUAUUGAAAGGGUUUUCCUUCCUCUUUCUUCAAGGCCUUCACUAUUUCAUUUAGAUCUCCAAUAAUUAGCCAUGGAAAAUUAAUCACACUCCUCACUGCAACUAAGAAAUUCCCUAUUUUCCUUCUAAUAGCAUCAUCUGGGAACGCAUAUAUAGCAGACAAUAGCCAUUUUUCUUAUUCUCCUUAAUAACUGCAUUAGUGAUUUGCUUAUUUUUUGUUAGAAUUUCAACUGUUACCUUCUCAAGAUCCCAAAAUAGCCAAAUUCCACCUGAGAAAUCUUGUGCCUCUACAGAGGAUCUUCUACUCAGUCUAGACAUAUGGAUUAUCCUCCCUGCUUUGAAACUAGGUGUUCUAGUCUCUACAAGGAUUGUGACCACCUAAUCACCCCCUAGAGCGUAACCUAAAGUUUAGCGAACCGCUUAUCCAACUCUCGUCAGAACUUACUCACUAACAUUAUCUUAAAAAAUAAUAUUAAUCCCAAAGUAAACAUGAAACUUCUCAAUCAAACAUUACAAAUCAUCCAACUUUUCAAAACAUUCAAACUUAUGUGCAUAACUAAAUGGAUCGACAUACAAAUUGUUCAAUCAAUUCACUAAGUACAACUACAGUGGUAAUUACUUAAAUCAAAAACUGUAACUCUUGAACUUACUAUUUUUUGGAUCCAUAAUUCCAACUCCUGUUAAGGAAAACAAACUAAAAGAAUGAGUAAAAUCAAGUGAAAUUUCAAGAAAAACAUGCAAUCAGAUUGACAAGAUAACAAUCACAUAUAUCAAAAUCUUAAAACAAAGAAAACAAAUAAUUACAAGCGAAGUCAUUAACAAUUUACAUAUUCAAAUAAAUAAUUUAACACAGUAAGAAAAGGAUACAACUACUGAUACGGUGGUUCCCGCCAGAUUCUAGAUAGAGUACUUAGUCCCAUUCAGGAUUCAAGUGCAGAUUCAAUCGAUACGGUGGCUCCUACCAGAUUUCAGGCAUAACGCUUAGUCUCGUUCAGUAUUUCACUUGUAAUUUAAAAGGAUACAGUUGGCUCUUGCAAGCUAGUUCAGCAGUAGCGUUUUUCGAGUCCGUUGACACUCCAUCAACGUUUGAAAUGCAACAAUAAAUAAUGCCGGUAGAUCACUGCUUGAUGCCAAUUUUCAUCCAUCGAUCAUCCCCCUUUAUUGGGCCCAAACACCUCAAGUCAAAUGAGUGGUAAUAAUUGAGUAUAUUGAUUUCAGAGGACACAUUCAGUGGAUUAAACAAGAAAUAGGAUCCAUGGUUUGUCAAUUGUCUCGAUCAAACUAUUGUUGGCUCGAUUUGACUAACUAGCCGAUAAGGUUUGGGAUCUUAAUCACGAGUAUAGUCGAUGAGAUAACAUUUUCAACCGACUUUCAAAUCAUGCACAUGUAUAUCAGUUCACUGUAAACAGGAUAACAAGAGUUCAGUCAAAUUAGGUCGAGUACAAUAAAGUACACACUGACCUAUUCAAUAUCAAGUCAAGCAAACAUAGUAAGUCGAGUGCGAUAAAGUAUACACUCGACUUUUCAAUAACAAGUCAAGAUAUCUAACAAUUUCAAACAACAAGCCACAUGAAACAUCAAUCAAGUAAAUCACAUGGUCCUAACAUGCAGUUGGAACACUCACCGACUUAUCGCAAUCUUUACACUUCAAUCACAAGUUUGCCUCCUUGGCCACUCUUGAAUCCUGCGAUCAUAUAUAGUAGAGCAUGCUAAAAGUAAUAAGGCCUCUAAAUUACAUCAAGAUCUAAGAUCAAAAGUGACUAAACCUGAGUUUUUAAAUCACUACUCAAGCUGUCAAAUUUUCAACAAACAUAUCUCAUAUUUUUCUUCAAAAUUCACAAGAUUUUCUUGUUCAAAUUCAGUGAAAAAUUACGUACAUGAUAGAUCAAUGCCUCAUGCAAAAUAUAGAGUAAAAGUAGGUCAAUUCUAGUCACGAAAUUUAAAAAAAAACGUGGCAAGACUCUUGAGAUUCAAAAUUAAAAAUUUUGAGAAAUAAAACAUUUUGGAGCAAAUCAGUUUCUUCCUUGUAAAUUUCGUUGUUUCAAUAAUCCAACAUAUAUGUGAAAAUCAAAAUCUUGUCAAGUGCCUUGAGACAAAAUAUGUCAAAAUUACGACACAAAUUUUAGCAAUAAAGUUGAAAUUCUCUCUUGCUCUCUCGGUUAACCCUAACAAAAUUUUCAACAAGGACUUGACAAUCUUUUCUCCAAAAUUCUAACUUUUCUUAUUUAGAUUCAUGGCAAAAAUUCAAUAAAUCAUAACUAACAUGUCAAGAAGCAUUUGGCUCAUGUUCUUAGUAAAAAAAUUCAUCAAAAAUUCACUGAUAAAAACUCUAAAUUAAACUAUAUGUUUUAUGCAUCAAAGUUGAAAAUUUAGAGUAUAACUUAAAAAACAUGAAAUCCUAUAUAAAGUUUUAAACUAAACUAAAUAGAUUACACACCAAAACUAAAAAUUACAACAUAAUUUGACAAAAAUAUGAAAUUUUUCAUAAAGAUCCUUCUUUUAUCUUCUAUAACAUCAUACAUCAAUUAAACUUAAAGAUAAGGAAAGAAAAAUUAGGUACCUAACUAAUUUCACCUCUUUACCUCCAAAAUCUAGAAUGGAAAGGAAAUCAAGAAAGUUGGAAAGUUGGAAAGUUUUCUUUCCUUCAAGAACUCCUCCAAAAACUUCCUCCCAAACUUGUCUCAAAGAUUUACGAAGUGGAUUAGGGUUUCCUCUCUUAUUUUCUUACUAAUUAGACAAGAAAUCAAGACUAGAAAUUUAAUGUUGUUCUCCCUCUUUUUCUCCUCAAAAUUUCAUCCAAGGCUACCCAAAAGAAGAAGAAAUGUGAAUGAAAUGGAAGUUUGGGUUGAAUAAAAAUCAAACUUGGUCUUGGUCAAGAUUUUAUGGAUGCUUGACAUGUGGCAACACAAGAUGAAAUCCUUAUUUAUUGUUUUUAAAUCACUAAAAUAUCAAACCCAUAUCUAAUUAUCUCUUGACACCUUAUAACACCAUAACCCUUUUACACAAAACUUUUCUUGUUUACCCAAUUUAUUGCGCACAUCUCACUAAUUGUUCACAUAGCUUAAUGCAUUAUGAAACUCAACAUGCACCAAGUUAAAUAAGGCAAUAGAAUAAAAAUCAUGAUUCAACCAUCAAAUCAAUCACAAAUACAAGGCAAGUAAGUUAAACUAAUAAAAACAUAAGAAACGAAUUUUCGGAUCCUCACAAGAAUUAAAAUCCCUAGAUCAUACACUUGCAGGAUUUCUCUCAAAUUCUUCCUAAAAUCCUAUUUUGUUGCUCCUUUACAAUUCCAACUCAGCAGCUUCAUUUUAAUUGCUUUACUUUAUUAAGGUCAGCAGCCCAACUCCACCGUCUCUGUAGUGUCCUACUCAAUAGUCUCAUAGCUUUGUUCUUCUUCCAUUCCCGACGGAUGGACCUGUUCCUCCAAAGGAGUUUCCGCUAUAACUAUUAUGCUAAUGUUCUAUCAUUUGUUUAUUGCUCCAGGCUAACUGCCAUAUUUCCUCCUAGUUCUAAUUCUUCUAUGCCAUAGGCCAUUUCCAUUGGGAAUAUUCCACUAAUUUUUUUUUACUAGCACAUCUAGGUUUUACUGUUUUCCCCAUUAAUCUCCUCGUUAUUGGUGUUUUUGUUCUUUCUAAUUCACACUUCUUUCCUUCCCGAGCUUUGAAAAGCUUUUUGGGUGCUAUAAUCCCUCCAUUUACAUUCAUUAGCCCACUUAUCUUGACUGGGCUUAGUGUUUUUUUACCCAUCCAAAAGCCUUGACUCCCCUGUUCUCCACUUUUCCUUGUUUCUUUCCCUUUUCUUGAGCUAUUUCCUUGCACUGUAUUCUUCCUCUUUUUCCCCUUAUUGAAGGAGAAAUUCUGUAGUGAUCCCGGUAUAUUAAUUACUUUAGUUCAUAAAAUUUCCCUGGGGGUCACUCUCUUCUUGUUGCUCCUUUUCUAUUUCUUCUGCUUAUAGAGCUUUAAAACAUGACCCCUGCCCCAGUAUCUGCUCAGCAGUUUCCAUUCCCUGAUCCUUUUUUCUGUUAUCUCUUCUCCUCUCUUUCCCACUAGUUGCCUUCAUCCAAUCUAGCAUUUGGGUAUGUUUCUUCAUUCCAGACGGGCUAGGCUUACUUUCUCUUUGUUUUUGGGCCUUUACUUUGAGCCUAGAUCUUUCGGCGUGGUUUGCUGGACCUUUUACUUCCUUUCUUGUUCUUCUUCCAUUCGCAACCAUCCACGGCCCAAAUGGCAGGCUUUUGGAUCCUUCAUCUCCAUCCACCUUCCUCUCUGAUUUCGGACUCUGGUUCUCUAUUCCUUCUGCUCUUUCAUUUCCAGCCUUUAGCCUCAGAGCUCUGUAAUGUGGCCAUAUUGCCAACAUCCAAAAUAGAUUUGGUAUAGCCCUUCGUACUCUACAACUUGAAGAUCCUAAUUUAUCCAGACAUAUGGAAUCUAGGGUUUGGUUAGAUCAGCCUCUAUGCAUAUUUUGUUAAAUUUCCCUCUCUCAGCUAUUAGAGUAUUCUCAUCCACUUUGACCAUCUUUCCUAUGUUGUUGCCUACUGUCUUAAGGAAUUUCUCGGUAUAAUCUCAACCGGCAAACCUAAUAGUCUAAUAUGGACCAUUGUCAAAGUUAUCUUUUUUGUUUUGCUAGAAAAUAUGGUCUCCAUUUUCUCACAGUAACGUAGAGCCUCUGUAUCAUCCAUGGCCCUCCAUCUAGGAUUCUGUGGUAGUCCUCCUUUAACCUGACUCUAACAAUGUAGAAUCCUUUUUCCAGAUCUGUGCUUUCAAACUCUUGGUCUAGCAACCACAUCUCCUAAAGUUUUUGCUCCAAAGUUCUAAAGCAACGUUUCUACCCAGUACUCUGAGUAUGAGUGCCUUCCUCCACGGUUUCCACAUCUCAAGUAUGUCCCCAUGGGUACCGUUGGUUUUGGGAACUUCAAUUUAAUCUUCUCUGCAAAUCUGGCUUCAUCUAUUUCUCCCUUUUCAAGCAUGGUGUUAUCCUCUCUUCCUCAGAUCCAUUAUAGAAAAGCUAUUUUUGUAGGAGUUCUUCUGUUAACACAAAUGUAAAAUAAAAUAGUUAGGCAAGAACUUGGAUGGACCCAAUCUGUGACUCACUCAUAGACGAGUGAUGUAUUAGUUUCCGCAUCAUCAACCAUCAUGUUAAUUAAUUCUAAAUGUAACACCCCAUUAGGUCUUCUAGUAACAACGGGCACUAAAUAAAUCCACUGGAUCAAAAAAAAGAUGCAAUCUAAUUCAGGACUCAAAACAAUUAUGGAAAAAUCUUUCAAAACAUCUCAUAUUUCGUUAAAUGAAUUUUUUCAUCCUUUACUUUUAAAAUGAUAAAUUUAUAUUCUUUGCCAAAAUUAUAUCAAUAAAAUUUGGUCCCAACUUUAAUUUUUUUUUACCACUUUUUACCCUGAAUUAAUCACGCUGACUCGCAUAUAAUCAAUUUUUUAGGACAAAAAGGUUAGACCUCAUUUAUGGUUAAACAAAUGACCUUAAUUUAUAUUCAUUUCUACCCUUAAACGAGUAGGAUUGCCGCCUAAAUCAUAUUCAUUUUUCUCUUAAAAAAGUGAAGAUUUGAGUCAAUUUUUGCCCAUUAAAAAAAAAGUGAAAUCUAACCUUUUUGUACAUAAAAAUGAUUGCAUAUCGAUUACAUGGUAAUUUUAUACUAAAAAAUGAUCAAAAACUUAAGUUGAAAUCAAAUUUUGCGAUAUUAAAUUUCUAAGGAACACAAAGUUAAUAUUUUAAAAGUGAAUGAUGAAAAAUUUCAUUCAACGAAAUAUGAGAAUGGUUUUGAACAAUUUUCCCAACAUUUAUUAUGUUUUUGCAAGAGCAUCAACACCUAGUCUGCUUCGCUAAAGAAGCGACUAAUAUGGCAUUCUAAAGUUUGAUUGUUUAAUGCCAAUAAGAUCCCAAGCUAACACACCGUUUGAUUUCCCAAAGUAGGUGAUCUGUGUCUCUCGAAUACGCAUUGCAAAGUAAAAUAUCCAUCUACCUUUAAAUCAAUACAAAAUACUUUGAUUGUCUAAUGCCAAUAAGAUCCCAAGCUAACACACCGUUUGAUUUCCCAAAGUAGGUUAUCUGUGUCUCUCAAAUACGCAUUGCAAAGUAAAAUAUCCAUCUACCUUUAAUCAAUACAAAAUACUCCGCCACAACAAUAUUUCCUACUGCCGAGCCAUCCAUAUUUUAACUUGACUCCUUCCUUCCCAUGCUUGAAAAUUUUCAUCUGAGUAGUGUAGGUUUUUAACUGCUUGAAAAACUUAGAAUUCCAUCUCAAAACCAAUUGAUAACAAGUGAAAUGGCCUAACAACAACUUUUAUAUAUGAUUAAAAAUCUUUAGAAUAUCAAUGUGUAAUAUUCUACUAACACUUUUAACUUGAUUCCUUCCUUCCCAUGCUUGAAAAUUUUCAUCUAAGUGGAGUAGGUUUUUAAUUGUUGAAAAACUUAGAAUUCCAUCUCAAAACCAAUUGAUAACAAGUGAAAUGGUCUAACAACAACUUUUAUAUAUGAUUGAAAAUCUUUAGAAUAUCAAUGUGAAAAAUUCUACUAACACCCCCUUACAAUCGUGACUUGACAAAUGGGCUUAAAACCAAGUCACGAGAGAAAACUAUAAACAAGAUAACUGAAUCACGAGUGAAACUACAACUCACAAGGUAACAAAUAAACUCAAAGCCCAGCUCUAAUACCAUUUAGAGAACAUGAACUGCCAUUUCAAAAUCAAUUGACAAUGAGUGAAGUGAUCUAACAACUUUUAUAUAUGGCCGAAAACCCUUGGAAUAUCAAUAUGAGAUAUCAACUAAUAGCAGCUUUUUUGAAUCUGUUGUUGAUAUUUCAUGGGCUAAGCAUGACUCACGCUUUCUGGAAAAUGCAUCGUGUGGCGCGGACGGCAGAACCCCCAAAAAGAAUGACGAAAAUCUCAACUCCGGAUGACCUGUAGACGGCAUAUUUUAGUUUUCAUGAAUAUACUUCCACCGCCGAAUAUGGUGAAUGACAUGACGAAAAUCUAGAUUCCACUUCCACUCGAGCACUAUACAAAAGGUUAGUAAUUAAAAAUUCAAAGAAUUGUUGCCGAUCCUUCUUCUUGACCAGCAUUGCCGCACACUGGCUGCCCAUCUACAAUUCCCACGGAGACCUGCUUUCCAAACCUGCACAAUUAGGACAAAUAUCAGUAUCAAUCAAAUGCAUAUGAAAUUUAAGGUUACGGGUCAUCAAUCGAUUGUGCAACUAGAGCCAGAGCAGUACACAUUGCACCUUUCUGAUCCCCUUCCUUCCCACACUCUUUUCCAACGCUAAGUUUCAUUUAGAUUCCUAUUAGAUCCAUUAAGCUGAUCAUAAGCUGAUUCGACGGUACAUGCUCCUGAUUCAGACAGGCAACAUCGAAGAAAAUCCAAAAUAUCAGGAUUCUGGAUGAGAAUAAUGGAUCUGAGCUUCAUCUUUGAUACAUGAAGGGAGUAGUCCCUGCAGCAUUAUCCAAUUCCAAUCAUUUAUUCCACCGCCCUUUUAUUGCACUGCUUCUUCUGGGAUUGAAACAUCCACUCACUGAUUGGUACAUUGAACAACACUAAUCAAUCCAAAAUCCUAUUGUCUCUCCAUUACCAAGUCUCCACCUCAUUCCUUGCCGUGUUACUACUUCAGCGUUACCUUCUAUGCUUCUCCAGGUAUAUGACCAUCAACAUACUCAAAGAGUCCCCAUCCUCCUUGCAAUAUUUUCUAAAAUGAAAGUUUCUUUCCAUACAACCCAUCCUCAAUCAAUAACUUCCAACCAACCUUAGCCAGAGUUGCUGCUGGUUUAGUUGAGAGAGAUGUCGAAUAUCUAAUCCUUCUUCCUCUUUUUUCAAACGAUCAACUUAAGAAUGGAACAUAGUCCAUGGAUAAGCGUCUUUGGUUCUCUGCCAUAGAACAUCGCAAGGGUUGUAUACUCAUCACUCCCUUUACAUUGUAUACUCCAUGUAAUACCAGCAGCUUUGCAGCUACAAAGAUUUCCAGAAAACCAGCUAUGGAGAGUGUAUUGCUGGGCAAGCCAGCAUGCUGAAUAGAGGAAAUACCUGUGGAGGCUGUAUUCAGGUGAGAUGUUUUGAACCAUGUCUUGUGGUGUUUGCCACGUGGCCCACCUAUCACUAUAACUGCCACUGAUUUCUGCCCCAAAUUACGAUGGGCAUUGGUGGAAGUUCCUUGAUCACAAUGCGGGAUGUCACCUGGUACAAAAAUUGCAGCAAUAGCAGAAAACGUGGUUCCAAUUCUAUUAAUGGUAUCAAUUAUUUGGUUUUAUUACUAACCAAUUCAAUUAACAAAUUCUUGGACUGAAUUAGUCUACACCAUAUGUCUCAGAUGCAAUGCCCAUUGUAGGUGCGAUCUUAAUCAGGGAAAAAUGUGGAGUUGACAGGAAGUUCAUACUUUGUGCAAGUCCUAAUCACCAAUGAUGGGGUGAAUGGUGAAGUCUCUGCAGGAAAAAUGAAAGGAUCAAAACAGGAUGGAUAACUAUGCUGUAGAAACUGGGUAUAGAAUCAGCGAUGCAGCAUCAGACUCAUGGGCAGCCCUUAUUACAAUUUUUCCCUGAUAAAACAGAGAUUUGGUCAGACAAAUGGUCUUGAGUUUGACAUUAUCAAACGGAGGUAAGCUAUGUUCAGAAGUCGUAUCCCACCCACUCUAAAGUGUACGUCAAGAUCAAUGUAGAGAUACAGCAAAGAAAGACCAAAAAAUGCAGUGUAUUUUAUGGCAGGAAGGGCAUAUGCAUAUCAACCUCAUGACUGUCCAUCAUGUGACCAUUGUGGGGGAGAUGGCAUAUAUUGCUCACAUAACCAUGGGUUAGCUAUUUUCUAUUAUUUUCCCAUUUCUUCUUUCUACAAUCAUUUUGAUCUGUUUGCAUCCUGAAAUUUAAAUUUUCAGGCACUUAUUGUUCAAGAUAUAGAUGCCAUGCAUCAUUUCGUGCACUUGCAACCAAUAACAAAUUAAAUUUCAUGGUUUGAAAAGCAUUCCGCAAAGCAUAACCAUUGCACUUGUCUCCAUAAGUAAAGAGUUUAAAGUCACCAGUAAAUUUGGCUCAAAUAUUUAAAUAGCUCCUAGCCGCUAAACAAAAAAAAAGUGCAAGAACUUUCCUGACAGGGUAGAAAAUGCUAAACACUUGCAAUGGGAGGUGCUAUCAGAUUGCAUCUAGCAGCUCCUGCAAGAGUAACCAAGUCAGUUUGAGCUCACAAGAAUAUCCUUCUCCCUCUCCUUCUCUUGAAAAUUUAGAGAUUGACCAAAAUAUUUCUGGGCUUCCAGUCGAAAACAAGUUGAAAGACUUGCUUCCUCAUUUGACUCUAAAACAUUGAUUAAUAUCUUGAAUGACAACUUAUCCAGGUCACAACCUAUAGAUUUCAUCAGGUAAAAGCACUCAACUGCAAGUCCAGUGAGGUUGAAAUUUGCUAAAAUCUCCAGCAAUGCAUUAAAACCGUUAAUAUCAGGCUCUAAACAAGGUUCCUUCUUCAAUUUAAUGAAAAGCAGUUCAACCUCUUCAAGCAAUCCAUUGCUUCCCAAAAGUGAGACCAAUUCAGCAUACAGUGAUAUUUGAGGCCUAUACCAAUACUCCUCCUGAAUUUCUUCGAAAACCUAAUUCAGGAAACGAAGGACACUAAUAGAUCAGACAAUAUCACUGUAGGCUAAAUGUACCAUUUUUCAGAAACAAAGGCACCCAAUACUAGUCUAAGCCCCCCACCCCCACCCCCACCCCCAAAAAAAAAAAAACCCCAGAAUCUCACACAAGAAAGGGGGGAAAAAUUACUGGUCUUCGUAAUUUUUCUUCUUUGCGCAAAUGAGCAAGAAGGUAAACCAGUUUUCACUCAAAUUUGAGCCUCAAGUUAGGCCCCUUUUUUUCGGCUGAUAAAACAGAGAGAUGAGUCAGUACAUUCUUUCUUCUUGCUUGAUCUUGUUUUGGCUGAAAAACAAUAUAUUAUGGUUGAACCAAACAAGCAGCUUAAAGAGUAAUUAAAAAUUGUGAAAUCAUAUUCAAUCGAUGAGCCUUUUCCAAAAUUGUAGGUUGCUGUUUUGCACUUGGGCAGUAAAAUUUUAUAUUAUCUCGGGCAAGCAAUAAUUAAGAGGUUCCAUGCAUAAAAUGCAAGUACUUUUGGGAUCUGAUCCAACUCGGCUACCCAAAACUUGAGUGAAUUGGAAAUAUAAGACAAGUUGAUCCCUAAAUUUUUAUCUCACGCCAUGGGAUAAAGGAUACCUCCAACCACAACAUAAUAAAUACAGUUAUUCUGGUUUCGGCCCCAGAUUAUGCUAUCUGAUCAUCUGUAUGGUGCAUCCUCUAUCAAGUAUAGCCUUGUUUAUCCACUUAGAAAAAGUAGAUAGGCACGUUUUAGUAAGGGGCAUAAACCCCUCCUCCCCCCUCCCCCCUCCCCCCCCCCCCUCCAACAACAACAACAAAAAAAAUCCAAAACAAAAUAAAAAAAGAAGGGGGAAGGGGAAAAAGGGAUAGGCAGUAAGAAGCAAACCUUAAGAGCCAAAUAACACUGGUUCUGGCGAAUGAGUUCGCGUAGAACGGCUAUCAUAUCGAGCUUGAGCAAACGCCUAAAAGUGGUCUCAAGGGCAGGCUCCAGCGGACAACUACUAGUGGCUCUGGCCCGCUUGAGUGCCUGAACCGUUUGAAUGGCUUCGAUGCUGAGAUUCCGGCCUUUCUGCAGCGGCUUCCUGUUAUUGCUUCUGUCUCUCAUGAUGGUUACAAGUGCAUUGUUUCUAUUCUUUCUACUAUUGCUAUUGUUUGCUGCUUCUCCCCCUAGUCCUAGCCCUAGCCCAUGCGUAAUUAAAUUCCAUUCCCAAUCCAAGCGGAAUUAAGCCUGCUGGCAGUGGGCGAGUGCGAUAUCUGGGUCAUACCUGAAUUCAUUGUUGUCCCACAACGCAGCACCAGCCGAGCCACAGCCCACAAGGAGGAGAAGGGGGAAAAGACCGCCUCCUCCGUCUCUGAUUCUCUUUUUACUGUACAGCUGAUUGUUGCAAGAAAAAAUAAGUGCAAUUCUGCGAUGAAGGUCCGUCUGCGGUCUGGCAAUUGAGCUUUUUACGUGUUUGUUUAAAAUUUUAGAGAGUCCAUUAAAAAUAAUACUAUAAUAUUUUAUUUUUAAAAUACUAGUUCAUUUGGAUUAGUUAUUUUUCGUAUUAUUUUUUAAAAAUUAUAUGAAAAAUUUUUACUGUAGAUGUUUUUGGAUUAUUUUUAGAGGUAUUUUUAAAACAUAUUUUUGAAUAUUUUUAUAAUUUAUAAUUUUUAUAAUUUUAUAUUUAUAUACAUUUAUGCAUUUAUAAUACAUUUAUAAAUAUUUAUAAAUAAAUAUAUUUAUAUAUAUAUAAAUAAAUAUAUUUAUAUAUUUAUAUAAAAAUAUAUUAUAAAUGUAUUAUAUUAUAUAUAAUACAUAAUAUAAAUAUAUUUAUAAAUGCAUAAAUGUAUAUUAUUAUAAAUUAUAAUAAAUAAUUUAUAUAUUUUUAUAUAAAUAUAUAUUUAUGCAUUUCUAAUACAUUUACAAAUAUUUAUAAAUAAAUAUAUUUAUAUAUUUAUAUAAAAAUAUAUAAAUGUAUUAUAUUAUAUAUAAUACUUAAUAUAAAUAUAUUUAGAAAUGUAUAAGUGUAUAUUAUUAUAAAUGUAUAAAUUAUAAAUGAAUAUUAUAUAAAUGUAUAAAUUAAAAUAUUAUAAAUAUAUAUUAAUAUUAUGUAUAAAUGUAAAAUUAAUAUUAUGUAUAAAUGUAAAAUUAAUAUUAUGUAUAAAUGUAAAAUUAAUAUUAUGUAUAUUAAUAUAAAUGUAUAAAUGUAUUAUAAAUGUAUUAUAUUAUAUAUAAUACAUAAUAUAAAUGUAUAUUAUAAAUAUACAUAAAUAUAUAUAUUAUGUUUAAAUGUACAUUUAUAUAAAUGUAUAAUAUAUAAUAUAUAAUAUUUAUAUAAAUAUAUUUUAAAUAUAUAAAAUUUAUUUUAAAUAAAAUAAAUAUUUGUAAUAUGAAUAAAUAAAUAAAUAAAUAAAUAAAUAUUUAAUAUAUAUAAUAUACAUUAAUAUUAAUUAUAAUAUUAUAAAUAUGGUGUUUAUAUAAUAUUUCAAUUUGUAAUAUUUAUUGUAUAUUUCAUUAUAUAAAUAUUUAUAUAAUAUAUCAUAUAUAAAUAUAUAAUAUAAAAUUUUCAAUUUGUAUAAUAUACAUAAUAUUGUAUAUAUAUAAUAGAAUAUACAUAAUAUACAUUUAUACCUUAAUACAUAUUUUGUAUAUUAUAUAUUAUACAUAACAUUAUUAUACAUUAUUAUACACAAUAAUGUACAUAAUAAUGAAAGUACAUUAAUAAUGUAUAUAUUAUAAUAUAAUGUACAUAAUAUAUAAUGUAUAAAUAUUUAUACAUUUAUGUAUACAAUAUUACAUAUUAUGUAUAUUAUAUUAUGUAUAUUAUAUUAUAUUAUGUAUAAUAUACAAUAUUAUGUAUAAUAUUAAUGUAUAUAAAUAUUUAUAUAAUAUAUAAUAUAUAAAUAUAUAAUUUUCAAUUUGUAUAUUUCAAUUUAUAUUAAUAUAAUAUAUAUAUAAUAUACAUAAUGGAAAUAUACAAAAUAUACAUAUUAUGUAUAUUUUGAGUUGUUUUUGAUAUAAUGUUUGGAUAUGGGUGUUUUUGGAAUUGUUUUUGAAAUACACAUUUACUUUAGCAUUUGGAACGUGAAAAACCAUUUUUCAAAGACAGAGGUAAAAACAGGAAUCCAAACCCCACAAACUAAAUACCCAAUUGCAGUUUACCCUCUAAACUAUAAUAAUAGGCAUUAUGCCCCCUUGAAUGAUAUGUUGGGACAAAUCUACCCAUUUUAUUUUAAGCAUUGUUAUUUUUCUUUUUUCCCUAUCAUUUUCUUUUUAAAUUCUUCCUUUUUUUUCUUUAAUCAUUGUUUAAAUAAGUAGACUAGAUUAGUCAAAAUUUGUUUAUUUCUUAAUUUUGUAUGUCAAUAUUUUAUUAAAAAAAAUCUAUGGAUUAUACAAGAUUUUUUGUCCAAAUGUUGAAGUCAAUAAGAAAAUUGGAAAUUGUAAUGAUGAUGUCAGCAAAUAAAAUUGGGUAAAUAAUGCUCAAUCCAAACAAACCCAAUGUCAUUUAAGAAAUUGAACUUUUCAAAUAUAUAACAACAAAAUAGAGAAAUUGAUUAAUCAAUUAUUACUAGUAUCAAUAAAAAAAAAAUUAACUACUAUUGUUGUUUAUUCUUAUUUUUUAUUUCACUACAAAUAACAAUUGCUAACUUUUUCUUUUUUAUGUGAUAUAUAAUAUGUUACUUUUAUUAUACGUAGUUGAGUAACUGUGAACUCCUAAUUAGUUUAUAGGUGCUUAAAUUGUUGAAUUACUAGAUUAAUACACUUUACAAUAUAAGCUUCAUAUAUUUUGUAAUAAUAAAGAGUUUAUGACAAAUUAUUAAGAAUGAAUUUAACAAAUAAACAAAUUUAAAAACAAUUUAAAAAAUAUUAAAAUUUUUGAUGUAAGUCUUUUCACAUCGGAGAGAGACGUUGGCUAGUUCCACGAGAGAAGGAGAAAAUAAAUAAAAGGAAAAACUGAAAAAUCUAAUAGAGAAAAAAAAAGAAGAAAGGAUUUAAGAUAGUAGGGGUAGUGUUGUCCAAACAUAUCAUUCAAGGGGGUAAAUUGCCUAUUAUUAUAGUUUAUGGGUAAACUGCAACUGGGUAUAUAGUUUGUGGGAGUUUUUUACAUUUAACCUAAAAUUGUACUAUAACUUACACUAAAAGUUGCAGGGAAAAUUUUUUAAGUUUGUAAAUUUUUGGAUAUUUUGAAGUAUAUAGUUUAAAAAUUUUGAAAAGUUUUUUGAGAUUAUUGUAGUUCAAAUUGUUAAAAAACUUGUAACAGACAAAUUUGAUAAAAAAAAUUUGCUUGCCAAACAUGUCCCAUAUAUAUAAAAAUAUUUUUUUUAUUAUGUUAGGAAUAUUAAUUUUUCAGAUAUUAAUUGUCCUGUAUUAUCAAAUACUAUAAGAGUUUACUAAUAAUUUUAGUAACAAACAAACAAAUUAAUAAAAAAUAAUGUUAUGGGAUAAAGAGCAAAACAAACUAUUUUAUAGGAAUUUGGUACAGUCAACUCUUAAGUGUAUAAUGCCUUUUUCGACAUUACCAUCCCACAAUGUUAACAAUGUUAUAGUUGAUUAAUGGUUUAGAUGAUAAAAUGAAAAUUAAAAAAUGACGGUAAGGGACAAAGUGGAAAAGAUGCAUAAUGGACCCCUAUGUGAUGGCGAUUUAGUUUCCGUCAGUUACCCGUUACUCUGUUGGGUCACCUCCCCCAUAAUUAAUUGGAAUAAGUUAGAGUAGGGAGUAGAAGUAGUUGUAGAUGACUCUUGCCAUAUAUAUAGACUCCUCUUUUGACAAGUGACAAUUUGAAUUUUUACUCCACUAUUUUCUUUGGUUAGGAAAAAGUCAUAAACUUUUCCCCUCCCAAUUUCUCCUCUUCUUUUUCUUUUUACCUCUACCUUCAACCCUCAUCUCCCUUUUUUUUCAUCUUUCUUUUUUCCCUUCCAAUUUUUUCUUUAUAAUUAAUUAUCCUAAAAUUAUUUUCUUACUAUUUUUUAGGUGAUUAUUAUUAAUCAUGGAGAGAUAUCGUAACAAUCAACUGAUUUAUAAUGCCACUUCCAGCUCCAUCAAUUUUAACUCUUUAAUUCAGUAUUUUGCUUUUUCCCUUCUUCUUUUCCUCCAUCCUAAUUUUUCUCAGCCUUUCCUCUUUCCACUCAAUCAAAUACAUCUUUUCCUUUUUCCUCUGUAUCAACUGAAUGUAUGUUUUUCUUGCCUAAGAAUAGAUAUUUCUUUUCUUCCUUUGUUCAAAAAUCAUGAUUCAUGAUCAUCUCUUUUUUUAAGAGAAAUAUAAACAAUAGAUCUUUUAUCUCCCUAACCUUGCUAUCUAGUAUGUUCCAUUUUUUCAUUCCUAUUUUUCCCCUGUUUCACACUGCCAAUUAUGGACUUAAAAUUUUUUCAUUAAUUGUAUUUAAUUUAGCCUUUAUCAUUUUUUUUUUGCCUCUUCAUUCUGUUACUAGGUGUAUUUAUUUAUUUUGAUUUGAUCUCCUUGAUAUUCAUUAAGCCUUCCAUUAUUUUGGCUCAGCAAGUCAAUUCUCCUUUUGUGAGGUUUGUCUUAAAUUUAAAUGCAAAAUUUGUAUUUUGCAAUUCUGAUGUUUUAGUUCACUUUCAAUGCAUAACUAAAUCUUGCACUUCAUUUAGUAAUUCAUUGGUACUGAAUUUUUGUGCUUUUUUUAUGCAUUGAAAAGCCUUCUAUUUCAAAUUUCUUGCAAGUUUUAUUGUGAAUUGGUAAGAUGAAAGUUUUUACAUGAUGAUGUCUUGUUUGAAAAAGAAAUAAUGGUGAUAAAUUCUAUGCAUUCGUAAUUAUAAUAGCAUGAUAUUUGAGCUUUAUGAAGCAUACAUCAUUUAUGUUAAUAUUGAAUUGAUUUUGUAUUUCUCACGUGCUUGAUUUUUCAUUUUUUUGCUAUUAUUUGUCCGUACAAUACAACAAGAUAUACCUCUACUAUGUCAAAAUAAGCAAGUUGGAGCAAACUUUUGGAACAUUACAGUAAAAGCAAACUUUAUUUUUUAGGCUCAUUUUUUGGCAAUUAUAAUUGCUCUUUAUUUGAAAGCAAAUUAUGGUAUAAUGAAUUUUAGCCAGAAUUUUAUAGGUGGGCAUAAGCGGUCGUCGUAUACUGCACAUCAAGGUUAUGCAGUAAUGAAGAAAGGUAGAGCGCGCACGGAAUACAAUCCUGUUAUUAUACUUGCCAGACAGAUGUGCACGUCAUACAGAUGGAUAGGCCUUUAAGAAUCUCAUUCAUGUGCUAAUACCGUCAUCCUCUUCAGAACGUAACGAAAGAAAAAGUUGAGGAAUCCAGAAAACAAGCCACAUAACGCGCUCAAGAGAGAUGAAUGUCUCCUAUCAGCAAAUGAAGCACAGUUUGACCGAAACUAGGCUAUAAUGCUUCAGACGUGCAGAGAGUACGAUAGCCGAGCAGACAGCACAGGCUUUCAGAACAGGCAACAGAGGCAAGAGAUGGAUGGCAAAACUAAUCGAUCAGUAGACUUUAAGGAACACCGGUAGCCGACUGCAACACAGGCUGAUCCCUUUGAAAGGACGUCCAUUCAAUCUCUCUCAGCAAAUUAAACCUUUGAUCUAAUGUCAAAAACUCAACUUGUGAUGCUACAGCACCAGACUUCCCCGCCUUGUAGAGUAAAAGGACUGUAGAUCCCAUUUCAGGUCCAUGGAGCUUCCCAGUUAGCAACACCCGGAGGGGCAUAAAAAGAGAUUUUCCCUGGCAUGGCGCAUAAAUAUUGAAAUUAAACUUUUUGGGCAACCAAAGAUACCAGUAACCAGUAAAUUCUUAUCAAGAAUGCAAUAGUAAAAACAAACCUUGCGUUUCAGUGAUUUACCAAAGCUCUUUACCCACUUCUGCCACCCUGAUUGGCCUUCUUCCAAGGCACCAAGCAGCUCACCGCCAUCAAAGGCUGCCAACAAACUAGCAGCAACAUCGGGGAGCCCAUCAUCGAUAACAGAUUUACACUCAGCACUGCAGAUGGCAAAGAGGAAAUCAAUUUUUUGUUUCCAAUGGAAAAGAAGACUAUCAAUAACACUGCUCCUGACCUGUUACUACUAAACGUAAAAUUAUUAAAGGCUCUCCAAUAUAUAACUAUAACCUUAACAUCAACACAUCUCUGCAGUUCACAUACUGUUUCCCUUUUACCUAAAGAUUAUUCUUUUUUGAAUCCAUAUAUUAGCACCAUCCAAGUUGAUAUGUUCAAAACAGAAUAUUUGCUUUCACAUGCUACAAACUAAUUUGCUUAGGACCCACUCACAAUCGCCCGGAUGAGUGUCAUAGCAUCCAUCAAAUAUCUGAGUCACACAACACUUCAUGAUAGCAAUACCUAACCUUCAGUAACUGGCUAUUCAAUUUUAUUUUUACUGAGUUGGCGAAUUGAAUUUGCAACUAAAAAACAUUUUAAUAACGAAUAGAGUUUGCCAACUUAGUACAGGAAACGUAUAAACAAUCCUCAGGAUAGUAAACACAAAGACUGGGAAGAAAAUAAGAGCAAAAGGUAAGAAAUUCAGAAUUCAUAUACUACUACAAUGUCUAGAAAGCUUCAUUACAUACAUGCAAGAAUUCAACUUACCUUGUUAAUGUUGCAUAUAGAGGAUAUGACAGCAAGCUUGAAAGAACCUUGUCUGAAUCUGUUAUCAGGUCAAUUCCAUCCUUCAGGAGGUGAAAAGCUUCCUGCUUAUACAAAUACACAUUGCAACCAUUAUGAUGCAAUCCCUAGAAAAACACAAUAGAUAUAGAGAAGCUACUUGUACUACUAAACAUGCAGUUGAUAGUAAUGCACACUUACUUUUCACUAACCAUAGCUUACAAUGAUAAUCAGAAUAAAUUCAUUUGUUUGACUACUCCAUAAUGCAAAAUUGGUAGCAACACAUUGCUGUCUUAGAAAGCUACCAGGUUGACCACAGAGUUGCUUUUAAAUUUGCACACAGGAACAAAAUUUUAGGAUAAAUAACAAAGUUACACAAUAUGAUUCACAAGAUAUAACGUUGAUCAUACCACUCCAUAGAAAUUGCACAUGACAAACACUUGAUCUGAAUCAUCAAAAAAUGCACCAGAAAGAUAGGAAGCCCUUACUUCCACAAUGAGCCCCUCUGAUUCAGUGAGGAUACCAUUACUCUUCCAACGUUCACCAAUCAGUUUGAUUACUUCCCCAGUUGGAAGAGAUCUCAAAUGCAGACCAUUCAUCCACCUUUAGAUUCCACAAAUAUUGAAUGGAAAACCAUAAAACAAUAAUCAAAACAAUUUGCAAAGCUAUAAAAUGGUGUUUAACCAGAUUAUUAUAAAUAAGACAUCCCCUGAACUAUAAUAGCACAAGUUGCUAUUUGCAUCAGUAAUCCAAAAGCAAAUAUUACCUGAGCUUGGUCACAUCAAAUAUCGCCCCACUUUUGUUAACACGCUCAAUUGUAAAUUUUUGAACUGUAAACAGCAUGAGAAGGUCCAACUCAUCAGACAUGUCUAGCUAAUAGAGUUAAGGACAGCUGGAGGAACAUUCAAUUUGCAACAUAUAAGUGUAUGACUUUCAGGAAGUAAAUGAGAUUGAUCAAGGAAGCACAAGAAGAAGUACAAAAUCCUGCCAUACAUCAGCACAAAAUGAAGCUGCCAGAUGUAUGGAAAUGACCAACUAUAGUCAAGGAGAUAUGACUCACCAAGUUGUUCAAGGGUGAAAAAUUCAUUCUCAGAGCCAUCACCCCAGCCCAACAGCGCAAGGUAAUUGACCAUUGCCUGAGGUAAGUAUCCCAUCUCCCUGAACUGCCAGAUAAAAGUACAAUUGUGACAGGGGAAUACUACACAAACACUCAAGGCCUGGUUGAAGAAUUACAAGGCAUUCAAAAACCAGAGAAAGAAGCCAAAAUGGCCAACCUGACCCACUGAAGUUGCACCAUGACGCUUGGAGAGUUUGCUCCUAUCAGGAGCAAGAAUUAAAGAAACAUGUGCAAAAUAAGGCAUUGAAAAACCCAGAGCCUACAACGGCAAACACAGCAUCCCCCAUCAGAUGUCACCAUUUGCAAAAGAACUUACUUUGAUAGAGUAAAUGAGUUCGAAACAUCAAGCGGACCAAUGGAAGGUGAAUGUACCUUGUAAAUUAGUGCUUGUCUUAAAGUAUUGGGUAAAUGUUCUUCUGCUCUGUAUUGAAAGUUUUAAUAAGAAAUCUUCCCAGAAUAAGCAAAUAAACAAGCAAGCAACUGAAGAAGAGAAAUAAGAACAGCUUUGAUUGUAGAAAAUCUCCACUAGAAUAAGCAAUGUCUCACCUAAUAACAUGAGAGAUAGCCAUAGAUGCAUCAUCAACUGUGACACAAAAAUUGUACACAGGUUGUCCAUUACUUCUCAUAAUGACAAAAUCUCCCAAUGUGUCCAAGUUCCAACUAACCUUCAUUACACUAUCAAACAAGAUUAGAAAUGAAGAAUGAUGAUGCAAAACAAAUAGACCAUCAUAGGAAAAGAGAACCAAAACAAAAAUGUAGAAGGAGAAGAAAAGGAUUAUGGUCAUUGGUCAAGUAUAGAUUUAUCAUUAAUGCUGAAUCCUUAGACACUUAAAACCAAUAUAGUCUAAAUCAAAAGGUUAAAAAUUACAAUUUGUGUGCAUUUAGUACUGAACUAGUUUCAUCUCACUCCAUGUUUCAGUUCUAAUGAAUGGGUUUAUAUAUACAUAAUGAAUUUUAGCAAGUUUCCCCACAUCUUUUAUUUUAAUCUAUGUGGUCCUCAUGUUCAUGAAAUUUUGCACUUCUAUUCGCUGUAACAUGUCAACCACAAGUUUGAUUUAUAGCUUAAGAGAUAACAUGUUGAAAUAUCAGUGUUCGGCUAGGACUAGACCAUGAAAUAGAGGACCAAAACUGCAACAUGCCCAAAUGGCCCAAUUGGGGGAAAAAAUAAAAUGCACUAUCAAGUGCUUCAGCAACAACUCCAAAGGAACUCAAAAUAAAGCCGUUGACAUGCAAAAGUAAGUUUUAUUCAUCACUUACCUCACCACGGAUAAGGUCAUUUAUUUUCAACUUUCCUUCUUUCGGCACUCGAAACCUACAUGUAUAGGGUGUCCCCUUCGACAACUCCUCUUGCACUUCCUCAUCAGUGGCAUUGGCCCACUUCCCAGUGUAAACUGGUGGCAAUUGCUUUAGCUUCGCAAUCUCCUUCAUCUUUUCUAGUUCCUAAUAAGUCAAACAAAGAGAGACAUGAAUAACAAUUCCUAUUCCUGCUUCUUCUUGGAAAAAAGUCAAGCUCAAAGAGUUAUAAUCCCUUUCAACUAACUGAUAGUUGAAAUUGAUAGAGUAUUUGUAUCCUAUUUGCUUAUACUCAACUGGUCAGUUUUCAGCUAAGUUUUUCAUAAUCUUAACAACUAAGGACAAAUUUUAAGUGAGAGGCCAUUGUCCCCUUCAGAGCCUUGCUUAUUCAACUGGGGAAUAACUGAAUAGGUAUUAGGUGUUUGAUGCUCAAAUCAUCAUUGAAAGGACUGUCGAAUAGGUUAGGGACAUGUCCGCAUGUCCAGACUCCGCCUUAAUUCCGCAUUCACUUCGAUAAUUUAUUUUCAUGAAGCAGCCUUUUGAAAAUUUACUUCAUCUAACAAAUGAUCCAAUUCUCUCAAAUCUAAAACACUAGAAAUAUAUUUUAGUUAACUACUUAAACUUGCCUAAAUUUAAAGUUUCUCAAUUUUUAUGAAGCUGAUACUUCACUAAGCAAAUCUCAGUCCUUCUGUUAACGUCUUUCCUUCAAUAGAUGAGUUCACUUUCUUUAAUACUUGCAUCCUUAGAUGCCAGUAUUAUGUUUCAUGCUUCAUAAGCAAUUUACAAUUCCUUCUUAAAAGUUUCAUUAAUGUACUAAACUUUCAAAGCCAAAGUUGCCAUCUUGUUAAACUUAUGUACUGAUGCUUUACCAUUAUAAAGUCUGUAGCAAAAAGAAAAGAAAAAAGAAUCUAAGAAAAUACCUACAGUUUGUUAUACAAAAAAUACUUGUACAAAAUGACAUUGAAAUUGAUGCUCCACUAAAUCAGUUUGGUCAUGGGAGAAGAAAGCUGCUUGUGGUUUAUAAACCAUGACAGAGAUCUAUUUUCAGGAAGAAGUCUAUAGCAGGUUUAGUCUCACACAUAUAGCUAACCUGUGUCAACAAGACCUUGCCAAAAAAAAAAAAAACCCCACCCAUUUGAAGCAAAUAUGACGAGCAUCUAUACCAUAAAAAUCUAAAAUGCUCUUUUAGCAUCAUUUAGCAUCAAAGCUUUAUCCCGUCUCUAAACAAAGGGACUGUAGAAAACUUAUGAGCGCAAUAUCAACCUCCAUGUUCAGGCUUAUCAAACCAGGACCUCAAUGGGAUUUAUAACUGCAUCUAGCAUUAGUGGUAAUGAAAUUCAACAUCAAUCAUUCCUGAUAUGGCGUACAUUUCCCUUAGACACCUAUUAAGGACCCGUGAUAUGGAGCAUCUCGUCAAAGGAUUGUAACUUGCAAGAUAAUCUUCAAUGGGUUAAUAGUGGAGGGUUUAUGUCAGAAGAUAAUGGAAUAGCUUAGGGUGACGUGGGUAAAACUCCAGCCCGUGACAGUUCAAAUAAGAAAAAAGUACAAAACCAAUUUUGUGACGAUAAAAAAGUACCUCAUUAGAACAAAAGCAGCGAUAAACAUGACCAGACUGUAAAAGCUUCUCAGCGUAGUGCUUGUAGAGAGAAUUUCUUUCAGACUGGCGAUAGGGACCAUAGUUCCCUCCAACACCAGGGCCUGCAUUGCCCACCCCCAUAUGCUAUCAGUGUUAAGUGGUAUUUGCAACCAUGAAUAAAACUUGGAAUCAGAAUUUUAGCAGAUUAACCUAUGCAUUUUACAGUACCAACGAAGAAAAUACACAGCAAACGACUAAAGUUGGUGACCAGAGGGCAGAUGACAAUUAAGAAGACGAAGAGGAAAAGGAAAAUAAACCUUCAUCCCAUCCAAGGCCAAGCCAAGAAAGAUCUCGAAGAACAGCUUCUUCAGAUUCUUUUGUGGAUCGAUCCAAGUCAGUAUCCUCAAUCCGAAUGAUAAACUUGCCGCCUUUAGACCUAGCGAACAAAUAGUUGAAGAGAGCUGUUCUGGCCCCUCCAACGUGAAGAUUUCCAGUGGGCGACGGUGCGAAACGCACACGGACUUGGGAAUCCCCGGGUGGUGACCCUGCGUGGGCAGCCGAGAUUGACAAACACCUUCUUGUUAAUCUUCCGUUUCCAGGAUAACCACAGUUCUUCUUACCAGAAGAAAUAUCUUUGUUGUAAUUAUAAAGCAAGUAGAAUGAUGACCGGAGCAUAGGAAUAGGAAGUACUGCUAUCUCUUGUAGCGGAAUCACCCUCGCUCUCAACAACGGCGUCCCUGUCCCCGCCAAACUUGCCAUUUCCUUUUACUUCCUGAGACUGUAAUGGUAGUAUGAAUUAUUUAUUCAUUUGUUUUGUUGAAGUGGAAGAACCCUAAUGCUUUUGUCGCCGGCAAGGGCCAAAGGCUUCCUGCUGUUCUGCAGUCAGCUACAUGGAUAAGGAUUAAUAACGAUGUACGCAGCUGUAAUUUUUUAGGAGAGUCGACACUUGCAAAUUUACAGUGCAACGGGGCUGGCUCAGAGGAUUAACUAGUUGAAUACCAGUAAGGCCUGGCUACUGCCCACCCUAAAGUGUUUAAGGGUAACAAAAUUUGAAUGAUUGUUUAUGAAUUGAGUGUCGCAAAUAUAUUUUAUAAAGAGUAUCUUAAUAUAUUACUGGUUAACAAAGGGAAAAAAUUCGUUGUAAUAAAAAGUAAGUAUUAAAGCAUAAAUAAAAUAAAAUUGAUAGGAAAAGUGUAUAUUAUGUUUGGUAGCAAUUCCAGUUGAUUUAUACAAGUUUUACUGGUGCUAAAUAAAAUAAGUGAAGUGACUAAUCUAAAGUAAAGUGACAGGCAAAGCAAAAAUCUUGAGUACCAAAAGUAAUGCGGCAAAAGGAAAACACAAAACUAGUAAAAGAAAGUAUAUGUUACUACUUACUACAGUAAUAUAUAAAUGCAUAGAUUUGUUGAAGUAAAAAGUAAGAAAAAUUGUAUUACCAAACGUGAAAAAACAAGAAAGUGAAGGAAGCUUUCUCUCUGCUAUGUGAGAACGAGAAGGAAAUAAAAAAGGAAAAAAAUGAAACACAAUAAAGGUUGGUAGUGUAUGUAAGGGUGUGUAGUAUACUAUUCAAGGUUAGUUUGUUGAUAAUAAUUUCAUCUAAAAAGCUAGUCUAUGAAAGUUAAAUUAAGCUAGUACUUUGUCUUCAAUAUAAUGGUUAUAAACGAUGAAAUACAAUUGAUAAUUCAUCAAAAGGUUGAUUUUCUUGUGAAGGACAACCUAACUUUGAAAAAAAAUAUAAGUACCUAAUCUGGUUAGGUAAUUGAGAAAAAAUUGAAUAGUUGAACAAUAAUUGCAUUAUUUGACUUUUGACUUAUUACAAGCAAAGCAGAGGAAAAAUAAGAGAACCAAGAAAUCUGUAAGCUGGCUCAUUGAAUAAUGUAAUAAUGCAAUAAGGUUGGAAAAAUGUUUUUCUCUCCAAAUUAAAACUUAUAAUAAAUAAGCUUUAUUGAAUAAUUUAAUAAUCUAACAACAUAGAAAAUAAGAAAAAAAUGCAAACCUAAUGAUUACCAUGAAAACAACAACAAAGAGCAUUUUAAUGAAAUAUAAUAGAGAUACACAUAUUUUUGUCAUUAAGACGUUAAUGCAUUCGUUUGAUUAAGAAAGGAAAAAAUUAAUUGUAAUACAAAAACACAUAUUAAGGUAUAAAUGAAUUAAAAUAAAAUUGAUAACAAAAUAUAUGAACAUAAAGUCAAAUGCUACCAAAUAUUUAAAUAUGAACAAAUUAAAAUAAAUUUGAAAUAGAAAAAUGCACAUUACAUUAAGUAGCGGUAAUAAUCUUUUUUUUUCUAAUAAGAUGAAAUUAGUUUUAAAUAAUCUUUUUUGUUGCAUUAACAAAAUAACAAAAUGUCAAAAAAUAUAAAAAAUUGAAGAAAUCCAUGCAAUUCGACGAAUUUUAACAAAUACAACUUAAUUUGUCAAAUAUAACUUUAAAUGAUAAUUCAUAUUGAAAUAAAUAUAAAUAUAAAUUCAAAUAAUAAUGAUAAUAACGUUGCAAUCCGAUUAAAACUUAAGUUAAUUUGUCAAAUAUAAGUUGAAAUAAUCAUGUAAAUGAUACUUCAAUUGAAUUAUAUCUCUCCAAAAUCUAGAGUUUAAAAAUCUAUUCAAAAUAUUUCAGCCUUAUAACCGUAGACAAAGGACUUACUCCCCUACUCAACCUUAUAGAGUAAUGCUAAAUCCACAAGGCAAUGUCAAGUCUAUAGAGAAAGCUCAAAAUUCACCCAUAAAUGUCACGUGUCAGCAAGAUAACAUUGGACCUUUGCUUAUAUUAUAGAAAGAUAAUAAGUUGUAUACAUGGUAAUGUAUAUAGAAUUUUGCCAAGCAACGAAAAUAAUCAAAGUAGCAAGGAAAGGUGUAUAGUUAAAAGAGUAUAACAUAAAAUAGGAAAAAAUUAGAUAAGAAAUGGUUCAGGAUAAAAGAUAAUGAAGAUAAUCAAAGCAUUUCAUCUUUAUAGGUAUCAAAAGCAAGAUACACAAAAAAAAGGGAAACAUGGCUAGUACAUUUGUUAGGAAAAUAGAAGAAAUGAAAAGAUAGGAAGCAAGCUGAAUAUCCCUAGUUUCCUAUGGUAAUUUGCAAAUGGAGCAUAUUUUGGUGCAUAGGACCUUGAUCUAGCAUCAUAAAAUACCAUACUGAUGCAUCAGGAAUGCAGGCUGAAUGUGUUGAUCAGAACUCUAACCAUCAAAAUAAACAUGAAAGGUGUAAUACCACAGAAAUAUUUUUUUCGACUCCGUUAUCUUCGAAGAUUAAAAUAGUAAAGGUUGUAUUUGAUUUGGGAAUAAAUACAAUGAUUUCAUUAUGUUGUAGUCCAUGCUCGAACUUCUCCAAUUUUUUUGAACUUUUUCCCUUUGACACCAAUUUCGAUGGCUUUGUUUCCUGUCUUGAUGAGAAGAGUUGGAGUCACAUCACCAUUGACGUAGUGAUCGACAAACCUUGGAAUUUUUUGAUAAUGAUUAAUGAAAGUUAGAUCGUAGAAGCUGAAAAACAUAGAUUCAAUCAAAAGAAAUGGAACAAUAGCAGCAAAAAAAGAUAGUGUAAAGUUAGCUUCCAAUGUUUAGGAGUAGUCGAAAAAAAUUUGAUAAAAGCAAACCGAAUUAGUUAGAUUUUGGAUUAAAUCUAGUUUCAUUGAUAUAACCUAUGAGUUGUUUGGAUACUACUGACCGCACACAAGCUGCACUCAUUCAGUAGAUAUUGUAUUAAGAAUAAGAAGAGCAAAAAUGGAUAUAUAGAGUAAAAUGAAGCACAUACCUGCCUUGCAUCUGCUCAAUACCAUCCUACAAUAGAUCUGGCAUAGAAUUGUAAAACGUAAGUAAACUUAUUUCUGAAGCUCACAAAAAAGAUUACAUCAAAGAUGAGAUUGCUACUGUGUCAAAGGAACAACAUUGUCAUGUUUUUUCAUGAUAUUUUCAUGGCAAUAUUCAUCCCAUCCAUUUGCAAAUGAAUGAUAGUGACUGUGAUAGCCAUCGGUAGGUUUCGUAUCUGAGAAUAAUUGUACUAUUGGUGUCGACUAAGCAACAGUGCAAACUUAGAAGGCAAAAUCUGAAAUUGAGGAAUAGAAAAGCAAUGUUAAAUGCAAUCGCAAGACUUAAAAUGUGAGUUUUUUGAGAUAAGAUAGCCAAAGACAAAUGACUGCAUGUAAGUACAUUAUACAUUACUACAUUAGCUGUUGAAAAGGUUAGGCUCAUCGGGUUGGACAGCAUAUAAGUACAAAUGACUGCAAACUCAUCGGCCUUUUUUUUGGGCCAGACGAGCCAAAUUCGGGUUGGACCAACCUCCAUCAACAGUCCUAAAUAGAGAUGUACUCGAAUCAAAUCGAGCUCUGACUAUAAUAAUUACUAUACUCGACUCGAGCUCGAGCUCGAUCGAGUCGGAGAAUUUGAACUUGAGCUUGACUCGAGAAAUGCUUAAAAAGCUUGAGACUCGACUCAAUAAAGCUCGAAUGAAGAUCAAGCCUUAUCAAAUCAAGUAAUCUGAUCAAUCGAGCUUCUUGACUCGGCAAACUGGAGGAAAAUAGAAAGAUAACAACCUGUUCACACAUCCCCGUUAAUAGUCAUUUCAAAUUGCAAAUAAAAGAAAAAGGCUCCAAAAUAUAAACAUACUCCACAAUACAUAAUAAGUUACAUGUCUCAUAACUAACAAGUUCCAAAUUAUGAGCUAAUAUAAGUAGAAGAAAUGAACAGUAGCAUAAAUCUUCAAAACUUUGGCAAGUCAAAUUCUUUGAUUAUCUUAGUUUCCUACAAAAGAAAAGAGAGACAAAACACAAAAAAGUUACAUAACUUCCCAAAGAAUAAAGUAACUUAUACUCAAUAACUCAAAUAUGGAAGUUUGGUAGUAAAACAAUAAAGCUGACCUUCAUCUUCUUUUUGCCCCCAUGAAGAUUCUACACCAAUCUCCUACACACAUCAACACUUUAUAUAGGUGAAGUGCUGCUCAAUACAUGUCAAUUACUCAAGUCCCAAGACUAAAUGUGACCUCCAAUGCAAACUAUAGUUAUCGGAAUGGCCAAGAUAUCGCAGGCUAUUCCAGAAAAUACUGGGGUAUGAGAUUUGAUUUAUUUUUCACACACUCCAAACAAUCAAAUUCAUCGAGGUCUUCUCCAAUCUUUUGGUGAGACUUGUCUAAAUAAUCAACCAAUUCUGACUUUAUGGGUUCGCUGGUCUCGAUUUCGUCACAAUAUUGAUCAAAAAGUCAUCCCAUCCAGUCCUUUUGGUCACAUUUGUUCCUUGCCUUUGUGAAGAGCUAGAAGCCAUUGACCCUCCAAUUGGAUCAACGCUAAAGCAACAUACUCAUCGUAUAACUCAAAGAUCACUUGCCGAAUGGUGGAAAUGUUAUGAGAAGCCUCUGAAGGUGAUACAAUUGAGGGCAGGUGAAGUCUACAACCCUCAUUUUCUAUCUUAGAUCUAAAAUGGCAGCCACAAACCACAUCAAAUUACAUUCACUCCAAUACUUGCAAACUUAGCUUUCAUCCUUCGAACCAUGACCCGAAUAAAAGGAUCUUCAUUAUUGACUUGAGCAUCUAGCCACUUUUUUUUAUCUUCACCAACUCUUGAAGGAAAAGAUUGCUGUAGGAUAAUCUGAGCCAAAAAUUAUAUGCGUGCACUCCCAAAAAUUUUUCCAAGACCGAACAAAACCCUUUCUGCUUUUCCCAAUCCUCAGCAGAUCAGCAAAAAUCGUAACUUUGCUAUCUAUCUUAGAAACGGGGAAAAAAUAUCCUUAAAUUUGAUGGCACACAUUCAACAUCUCGAAGGUGUCAUUCCAUCCUGUCUUACAAUCGUAAAGCAACUUUUCUUGGUAUCUAGAGUUGUUAAGCGAUCUCAGCAAAUAUAAGCUUGACCCUCUGAUUGAUUCACAAAUUCCAGAAUCCCUAAUGGCUUUGUUGAUGUCCAUAAUCUCAGAAAUGUUAUCUUGAACCACAAGGUUCAAAAUAUGUGCACAACAUCGAACAUGGAACAAUUUUUCAUUACAAGAAAGCUUUUGGACCUAGAGAUGUCAUCCUGUAAUAUUCUAAUAGCAACAUCAUUGUUCGAGGCAUUAUUAACUGAUAUGAGUAAAUCUUGUGCUCAAUGCCCCAUUCUUUUGUACUUUUGAAAAUUGAAUAUGCUAUCUAAACUCCGAGAUGAGGUGGUGGUAUGCGCACAAAAACUCAAGACUGUUUUUGUAGUUUCCAAUCAAAGUCAAUCCAAUGUCCGGUGAUGACCAUGUGUUAGAUCUUUUGGUUUUUUGACUUCCAAAAAUUGGUUGUAAUGCUCACUAUUUUCACAUUUUUCAACUUGCUCCUCAGCUUAAUUUUUUCAAACCUCAUAUACUUGUAUACAAUCAUUUUUUGCUAUUGCUUGAGAGAUUCUCUUCCACUCUCUGGCCACCGCUAGUUUCAUCAUAAGAUUGAAAUCCUCUUCUUCUAAUAUGGUGAACGGAUACUCGUGCAUUAGCAUCCACUAUGCAGUUGCCUCUCCAACAUUUUCUAUGUCAAACUUUCCAUUCAGGGAUGGCAAAAUUGAAAAAGAUUCAUCAGCUGUUGAAAAUUUAGUUUCGUUUGCUACUCCCCUUUCGAAUGCUUGUUUUUCGAGCUGAACAUCUAUUCCGAUGCCUCUACAGGCUACUUGUUUGUUUUGUCUUGCCCUCUUGACAUUUUUUUCUUGCAAUGCUUGCAAAUGACAUAGUACAAUCCAUUUUACUCAAUUUCAUCAAAAUCAUCCCAAGCCUCAAAUGUUUUACUUCUUUUAGGGAUGCAGAAUUCAUCUUCAACUUCAAUCACCUCCCGUGUGUCUCCUCCUAUUUGGAUAGCUGGUUCUUUUUCUUCUUCGGGUGGUACAGACCCUGUUGUUGAGAUAGGAGCAAUUGCUUGAUCUCCAGCUGUUAGUGUUGUAUCAUUACUUAUAAAAAUAGUGGUAUCCAGCAUGAAUGGAAUAGAUGAAUCUAUAGCGGAUAAUCGUGGGAUAGAAGAUACCUCGGGAGGACUAAUUACCAUACCUACAAUUUAUCCAAAAAAGUAAAUAUUUAUAUAUAUAUACUUGUGUCAGCCAUACAACCAUUAUAAACAUUCAUUAGUACUAGCAUAUCACCACCAAAAACUGCCUAAAAUCAAGUACAUUUAGCUUAACAACUCCUUUGGCAUUGCUUCUAGUCUUGAGCAACUCAUUGAAUGUCUAGUGUUGCUUUGCAUUUUCUUGAAAGUUUUCUAGGGAGUGAGUCAAAGGUUCUUCUAAAGAAUUGUCAAAGGUCUUUAAGUGUCCAAUUGGACAAAUUUUAAGUGUCAACCAGAUUGCAAUUUUUAUGCUGCAAUUACCAUUACAACUUUAACAAAACAUCCCAAGUUGAUAAUGGUCAGCCAUACAAGAAUACAAUAUUUUUUUAUCAAUUACUCAUACAACUUUAAAACUAUUCCCUAACAAGCAAUAUAUAAUCUGUGGAAUGUAUACAUACACCCACAACAUAAGCCAUCCGAAAGUACUAAGUAGAAACAUUUCAUCACUUGGACAAUUUAAGAUCCAUUAGCUUGUGAAUUUGCAGUAUAUCUACCUCUUGCCAAUUGCCAAUUUACCUAAAUUCCCUAACAUUAAAAACUAAAAUGAUCCAUGAAAGACAAAAAAAAAAAAAAAAUUCCUGUGGAUAAAAUUAACUCAUUAAUCAAGAUAAAUUCAUAUGCACUAGUGACCAAUCUCAUUGGGGUUUCGGCCAUUGACAAAAGUAAAAUUAACUCAAGAAAACUUCCACAAAACCAAUGAUCAAUCAACCAUUUACAGUAGCAUUUAGCAAAUUUCACAGAAAUUCGCGCAUUAGGGUUUUGACCCUUCAAUAAUAUUGUUUCAAAUUCCCAAUUUUCCUUUAAUUGACAAAUAUUUUCUAAGUAACAAUUAAUUUCAGAAGUUAUGUUGGCAAAUAAAAGCUUACCUUUAACUCAAAUCAGCUCUGGUGGCUAGUCUGCGAUCGGCCAAAAGUAGCUCUGAUGGCACCUUACUCUUCUUGCUUUGCUCUUUAGAUUUUAGCUGAACAGCCCUAGCGGUCAACUAGCUCUGCAACAAUGGCAAUAGAGGCUUACAGAUGUGGCGAGCAACGGCGGCGAGUGAGAGAUUGAGAGUGACGGAGAUGGGGUUUAGAAGUUUAGUUUCGGUGGUUCGAACAAAGAAGAAGAGACUAAAGCAUUUCACAAAUUUUUGAUGAAUUUUCCAUCUUUUCUUCGUUUUUUCCCGACAUUUUUUCUUUUUAGUACUUUUACAAUUAUGUUAUUACUUUUCUGCUAUUAUGAAAUUUUAUUGUAAAGAAGAGUAUCUUGUAAAUUCAGUAUAAAUUAUACCCAUAAUGGUCAUUUUAUAAUUAUAAUACAUAUAUAUUAUUUAAUUAUACUACUCGACGAGUAGCUCGUCGAGUCACAAGUUGCGUAAUCCUGACUCAAACUCGACUUGAAUGUAUAAUCGAUUUACUCGAGACUUGGUUCGAAUUCGGUCAAAUCGAGUACAAGCCAAGUCAUUGACCGAGCUUCUUGUGGUAGAAUUUAUUUUAAAUACUUAUAAGAAAAUUAUAAAAGUUAUGCAAUCUUCUUGUGCCUCUAUAAUAAAAAAAAUUAAAUUUUUAGUUCAUGUUAAAAACUAUAAACUAGAUUAGAAUUUUCCUUUCUUGUUAUCCUACAUGAUAAUCAGGAUAACUAGAUGGCAACAAUAAUACCAUUAUGGGAAUAAAUUUUGAAAGUGAAUCAUAUUGAAAAUAUUUUUUAGCAAAAGUGUUAUUUUGGCAAAAAAACUCAUGAUACUAAGGCAAAUCCAACAAAUCUCCAUCUUGACGUGUAUCCAACAUCGAUAAAUGACAAAUAUGUUUCACUUUCUCCAUAAAAGUCCCAACAAAUUUCAACAAAUCACAAAAGUCUAAAUGGAGCCCAAUGAACCACCAAUGAACAAAGAUGCAAAAAGUUCAACGGGUUUCAAUAGGUCAAAACUCAUAAACGAUUCAACAGAUUCCAACGGGUUAAACAACACGAAUAUAAUAAUCUUAUACCAUCUUUUGCAUAAAAACCCUUAACGAGUUCUAAUGGGAUAAAUUGCCCUUCUUCCCAAAACUCGAACUGACCUCCAAUGGGCUCUUUCUCCAUUUUCUAUAGUGCUAAAUCGACAUCUUAGACUAGAUAUUGAUAGUUUGUUAUCAUAAUUGUUGCCACAGAUGCUAGAGUCUGAAUCUCUAAUAUUAGUUUGUUAGGUUUGAUUUCAGGAAAUUGAUGAAGGGUUCUUGAUAACCCCAAUAGACAAAUAACAAAGUAAAAAAUAAAUACAAAAGACACAAAAUUUAUAUGGUAGAAUAAGCUCAUCGAGUAUUCGAGCAUAGCAUUCUAAUAUUCAAACUUGUCUUCUCAUUUAAGUAAUUGAGUAUGCUCGACCUCAAUUCGAACUCGAUCAAUGAUCGGCCAAAUCUAGUAAUUGAUUAAGCUAUUCACAAAUAGCUUACGAGUAGCUCAAUAGCAUUUGAGGGACGGAGAUAUAGGGAGGGAGAGAGAAAAUAGAGAAGAGAAGAGAAGAAAUGAGAGAGAAAAAAAGUGGUGUGAGAGAGAGAGAGAGAAAAGAAGAGGAUGGUAGCAAGGAAGAAGAGAGAAGAGAAAGGGAGAAAAGAGAUAGCAAAAGGUAGAAGAAAGAUGAAGUAGUAGGAAAAAAUGAGGUGUAGGAAUGGGGGCUGACGAUAGGUGGUGGUGAGUGACUGGAAAAGUACAAUGAGGAUGAUGUUUGCAAUACAACAUUAAAUAUCCCAAAAAUACAUCCAUAAUGGAAACUUUAAAUAUACAACUUUAGUAAAGUGUUUUUUAUAACCUAAUCAAUGUGGAGUAUUAUAAACAUCAUUUAUUCCUAUUUUUGAAAUAUAAAAUGAUAACCACGUAAAGAAAGGAAAAUCAAACUUUUGUUUCUCUAAUUCAUUUUUCCAUUCUAAAAUUAGUUUUUCUUUAUAUAUUGAUUCUAGUUGAAAAAACCAAAUUCUUUUUCUAUAUUUUCCUCAUCAUCAAAAUCUUCUUGUAAAUAUUUAUGAUUUAUUUUAUAUGGUCUAUUUAUAACAUUUAUUUCACCUUGCAUUUGAGAAUGUGUUGGGGAAUUUUGAUUUACAACUUCUGGAAUAGGAGUUUUAUAUUUGAAAUUUGAUGUAUUUUCCAUAGGGAAAUUAAUUUCAGUUGACUCGUAAUUUGAACGUCUAGCUGGUAACCAUGAAUAAGAUGAUUCUGGUCUUUCUCUAAUGAUGUAAAUCUUAUUAAAGUACUUCCAGCUUCUUUUUCUAUAAUAUCUUUUGCAGUCGUCUGUUCUAUGUUUCUUGCUACUUGUGGAUUUUUAAUUUCAAAUUCACUUGGUAUUGUUAUUUCGUUCCAUUUUAAUCUUUUUGGAAUAUAUGUGGUAGGUCUAUCUGCAUCUACUUGUAAUAAAGUUGUUUCAUCUUUAAGAGUUGGAGUCAUUAUAAAUUUUGGAUUUAAAUGUGAAGACAAAGGUCUGUAAUAUAUUCUGUAUAUUAUUGCAAAAUUUUUUGUAUGUUUUUCAAAUUCAUUUCCUUGUAGAUGAAUAUCUAAAAUAACUGAAUUUAGUAUAUGUGGGUCUGUUAAAUCUAUUGAAAAAUUUGGAGCACAGUUAAAAUAUAUUGGUCCAUUACAUACAUUUGUUUGAAUCAUAGAAAGUAAAGAAGUUUUAUAUCUUUUGAGUCUAGUAUCUCUUAAUGCUAAGUAUAUUGGAGCAUCUACUCCUAGAUGGAAUAAGGGCUUCACAGCAAUUUGUAUUAAUCCAAUAUGAAUAUAACGAUAUCCUUUACUUAAAUAUUUUUGAAUUGUACUAUGAUUUAAUAGUUGUAUGGUUUGAUAUUCUUCUUGAAUAGAUAUUGUUUCUUCAUGAGUUUUAACUGAUAAAGCUGUUUUGAAAUCUAAAGGGCCAAUUCUGUAAAUGUGUUCAAUUUUUCUUCUGGGAUUGUCCAAUCUGAAUUGUUUAUAGGCAUAUGAUAUUCAUGACUUUGUACUACAUUAUCUUGUUUUGAAUUAGAUCCUAUUUUUAAUUGUCUAAGAAAUGCAGCCAUGUUUAAUAUUUAAUUAAAUCUUACUUAGACGGGAACAACCGAGCCUAUGCCUGGAACAUCCUAUCCUGGACUUACCAACGGUCUAACAAAGCAUCAAGUCUUACCAACGUUUUCAGUAAAGUUUAAUAAAAUAUGUAACAUAAAUGCAUGAAAUAGCCAAGUCAAAAUAGAAACGUAAUUCAAAUAAAGUAAAUGUAAAUGCAAAGUUUAAAUAUGCGUAUGAAAUAUAAACAACGGUGUGGCUCUGAUACCACUUCUACCCAGGACUUUGCAAUUAAUCAUGUACGUUAACUAAAAGCAAAUAUUGUAGGGACUUAGAAUGUAAUUAAUGAAACUUACUUGACUUUUGAGAGUGCACAAUCGGAAGCUUGAAUUCAACAAUGGAAACUUGCCAAACUUGUUUGACAAAAUGAUACAAGAGGUUUGAAUAUUUAAUACAAGGCUUUGACUAUGUAUGGAAAUAUGUGGGAGUGGUUAUUACAAUGAGUUUUUCUAACUUUGCUCUGAUGGUUUUUUCGCCGAUGCCUGUCUUCUGAAUCUUGAAUCUAUUUAUAGAGGCUCGGUUCUGCAUUUCAUCUUCAUUUGAAUUUCAAUUUUGCUUUCAUUUGUUGUGGCCGACAUUCUUUUUCAAAGUCGUUUGGAUUUUGUCCACCGAUGGGAUCAUCAAAAGGAUCAAAAGUAGAUUCAGAUGAUCCUGCUGGCUCCUCUAUUUUGUCUUCUUCUUUUGGCUUUUGUAAAUAAUUCAGAUAUUCUUUCAGCAUCUCGGGAUUCUGCAUGAUUUGCUUUAUUAAAAAGUUACUGGCUGUUUCUUCGGAUGCCAUUUCCGUCACUUUUUCUUUGCCUCUUUUUGGAGUGAGUGGAGUUGGUGUAGUGGUUGGAAUGAUUGUUGACUGUCUUGUCUCCUUUUGAGAAGUGGUAGUAGCUGUCCACUUUAAUUUGUCUCCAGUGGUCAGGAAUCUGAUCACAUUAGUUUGAUCGCCAAAUUCUUGAUUGAAUCCAGUCCACCAUUUUAUUUUGAAUUCUCUUACCAAUGACAUUGGCAGAGGUUUUUCUAGUUCUUGAUGAAUUUUGAAACUCCAACAAAAUAUCCAUGGCACUUUGAAUUCCAUGUGGAAUAAAAUUGGUCUUGUAUACUCUUCCCCCUUUGCUCUUUUUAGAUAUGUUUGAAAUCCCAUGAGAACAUUUGGAGGUAGAAUUUCUGGUUGGGGUCCAAACCAUUUCCACCAGUGAUUAAACCAAAUUGGGAAUUCUUUACUGCAACUGUCUUUGAAUGUUAACAAACCAGGAAUGGUUAACGUAUAUAUUUUGGAGUGCAAUUGCAAUUUUCUUCACUUUCUGAACUAGAAAUAUCAUUGUAAUAAUCAUCUUCUGUACUUUGUUCUUUUUCAUUUAUUAAUAAGUUUAAUAGUUUAUUUUUAAUUUCUUCUUCAUUAGAGCAAAUUUCUGUAAUUUUUUCUUUUAAUCUACAUUUGUUUGCUUUAUGUCCUAUUUUUCCACAUUUAUAACAAACUAUUUUCUUUUUAAUAAAUCUUCUCUUUUUAGUUGGUUCAUUUUCCUUAGGUUUUAUAUACCUUGGUUUCUUAGAAUAUUUUUUAAUUUUCUUUUUGUAUGCUGAUGGUGAUUUGAUUCUUUUAAUUCCAAGCAUCACAGAAUGAUCCUACUUCUUUUGUUUUAGAUCCAUAUUUUCCACAAAUAAAUGUUCAAACUAAUUUAUAUAAAAAAUGGAAAUUAAAAGACGAUCAAAUCUUAACAUCAAUACAUCCAUUACAAGAAGUUUAAUAUAGGACAUGGAGAAGUAAUUGCCUCACCUUUUAAGGGGUAGGGAAGCUGAAUCAAGUACAAAUAAUUCAAUAAAUCUAGAAGAUCUUAAAAAAGUUUAUCAACAAAAUAAUUAUACAAAUCAGAUUCUUCAUACAAUAUCUCAACAUAUGGAAGUAUUAAAUACAAAAAUUGAUACAUUAAAGAAACCAGAUUUAAAAUUCCCAAUGAUAUAUCAGCACCUCAUUUUCAACCUAGAAGUUUGACAAGAGAAAAAGAACAAGAUUUAGUACAAAGUAUUAGUAAUCAAAAGAUAAGUAAUACAGAUAAUUUAUUAAAUAAAAUAUCUAAUGCAUUACAAAAUCUAACUACAGAUUCAAAACCAUCAACACCUAAAAUAAAUACUCUAGAUCAAAUAUAGAAGAAAAUUCAAUGAAGAAUUAGAAGAAUUCAAGAAGAAUCAAUAAAUUCAGAUAUAGAAGAAAAUAUACUUUUACCAAUAGAAAAUCAAUUUGAAGAAGAAAAUAAUCAAAUAAGAAUAAAAAGAAUAAAAAGAAAAACUAUAAUAAUAAAUAAUUGGAAAAUGUAAGUUCAAAAAUUAUUAUCCAAGACCAAGUCCUCCUGACAUUCAAUAUGAAGAAAGAUCAAAAUUUAGAACAACUAAAUAUGAUGGAGAUUCAAUAUAUGAAUGGAAUAUAGAUGGCAAAGCCGAAUAUGAAGUAUUAAAUAAUUUGCAAGAAAUGGGAAUGGCAAGAUUAGCUUAUAAAAUAAAAAAUAUUCAAGAAAGAAAUAUUGCAACAUUAUUAGUUUCAGGAUUUACUGGACAAUUAAAGAAUUGGUGGGAUAAUGCUUUAACAUUACAAGAUAAAUUAUCAAUAUUAGAUCAUACACAAGAAUUAGAAGAUGAUCAAGGAAAUAUUCAAAUACAAUCAGAUGCUGCAGAAUUUCUAAUUGUAACAAUAGUUAUGUAUUUCAUAGGAAAUCCAAAAGAAGAAUUAAAUUCUAAUAAAACAUUUUUAACAAAUUUAAGAUGUCCAACAUUAUCAGAUUUUAGAUGGUACAAAGAUAUGUUUUUAACAAAUGUAUUAAGAAGACCAGACUGUAAUGCUUCAUUUUGGAAAGAAAGAUUCAUAACUGGAUUACCAAGUUUAUUUUCACAAAGAAUAAUGGAUAAUUUACAAAAAGAAAUGGGAACAGAUGUAAUUUCAUUUGAAAAUAUUACUUUUGGACAAUUAUUUGCUUUUGUGAAAAAAGAAGGAUUAAUAUUAUGUUCAGAAUUAAGAUUACAAAUAAAAUAUGGAUCUAAAACAAAAGAAGUAGGAUCAUUCUGUGAUGCAUUUGGAAUUAAAAGAAUCAAAUCACCAUCAGCAUACAAAAAAAAAUUAAAAAAUAUUCUAAGAAACCAAGGUAUAUAAAACCUAAGGAAAAUGAACCAACUAAAAAGAGAAGAUUUAUUAAAAAGAAAAUAGUUUGUUAUAAAUGUGGAAAAAUAGGACAUAAAGCAAACAAAUGUAGAUUAAAAGAAAAAAUUACAGAAAUUUGCUCUAAUGAAGAAGAAAUUAAAAAUAAACUAUUAAACUUAUUAAUAAAUGAAAAAGAACAAAGUACAGAAGAUGAUUAUUACAAUGAUAUUUCUAGUUCAGAAAGUGAAGAAAAUUGCAAUUGCACUCCAAAAUAUAUAAAUGUAAUAACUAAAAAAGAAGAUAAAGAAUUUUUAUUAGAUAUAAUAGAAAAAAUUGAUGAUCCAAUAGCCAAAAAAGAAUAUUUAGAAAGACUAAAAAGUUUAAUUAUUCAAGAAGAUAAAAUGCCAAAAAUAAUAGAACCUUUUAGUAUAUCAAAAUUAAUAGAUAAAUAUCCAAAUAUUAAUAUAAUGAAAAAAGAAACUACUAAAGAUCUUCAAUCAGAAAUUAAUAAUCUCAAAAUACAAGUAAAACAAUUACAACAAGAAAUUAUAGAAUUAAAAUUAAAAGAUUUAGAAAUAGAAUCAAAAUUAGAAUUAAUAAAUAAUCAGCCCUCAACUUCUAAUUCUAAAACAGAAGAAAUAUUAAUAUCAGAAAAAUUAGUAGAAGAAUCUCAAUAUUUAAAUACUAUUGAAAGAAUAACAUUUCAAAAAUGGUUCGCUUUAGUAACAAUUACAGUAGAAGAUUUCAAAGAAACAUUUGUAGCUCUAAUAGAUAGUGGAGCUGAUACUAGUUGUAUUAAAGAAGGAAUAAUUCUACUAAAUAUUGUGAAAGAACAAAUGAAAAAUUAAUGGCAGCAAAUGGCGAAGAUUUAAAAGUAACUUAUAAAUUUACAAAAGGAUCAAUAUGUAACAAUGAAUAUUGUAUUAGACAUAAUUUCAUAAUUGUAAAGAAUAUACAUCAUGAUGUAAUAUUAGGAACACCCUUUUUAAUUCAAAUAUAUCCAUUUUUAGUAAGUAAUGAAGGAAUUUCAGUAAAUAUAAUGGGAAAAAUUGUUAUCUUUAAAUUCUUAACUCCAAUAAAACAAAAGGAAUUACAUACAUUACAAACAUCUUCGAUAUAUAAAACAAUAAACAGUAUUACCAAAGUACAACAACAAAUAAGCUAUAUUAAAGAAGAAAAAUCUUAUCUAAAAAUUGAAGAACAAUUAAAUGAUAUCAAAAUACAAAAAAGAAUAUCCGAAUUAGAAAAAUUAUUACAAAAAGAAAUUUGUGCAGAUAUUCCUAAUGCUUUUUGGGAUAGAAAACAACAUAUGAUAGAAUUACCCUAUGAAAAAGACUUUGAUGAAAAGAAUAUUCCAACAAAAGCUAGACCAAUACAAAUGAAUUCUGAAUUAUUAGAAUUUUGUAAAAAGGAAAUAAAAAUAUUACUAGAUAAAGGAUUAAUAACUCCUUCAAAAUCACCUUGGAGCUGUGCUGCAUUUUAUGUAAUGAAUCAAGCUGAAAAAGAACGAGGAGUUCCAAGAUUAGUAAUAAAUUAUAAACCUUUAAAAAGUUUUACAAUGGAUUAGAUAUCCUAUUCCAAAUAAAAAAGAUUUGCUUAAUAGAUUAUUUAAUGCAAAAAUAUUCUCAAAAUUUGAUAUGAAAUCAGGAUAUUGGCAAAUAAUAAUAGACCCAAAAGAUAGAUACAAAACAGCAUUUACAACACCUUUUGGACAUUAUGAAUGGAAAGUUAUGCCAUUUGGAUUAAAAAAUGCACCAUCAGAAUUUCAAAAUAUAAUGAAUGAUAUUUUCAAUCCUUACAGUUCAUUCAGUAUAGUCUAUAUAGAUGAUGUAUUAAUAUUUUCAGAAUCAAUAGAACAACAUUUUAAACAUUUAAGUAUAUUUUUAAGAUAGUCAAGAAAAAUGGAUUAGUUGUUUCUGCUCCAAAAAUGAAAUUAUUUCAAACAAAAAUAAUUUUUAGGACAUAAUAUAUAUCAAGGAACAAUAAAACCAAUUAAUAGAGCUUUAGAAUUUGCUACUAAAUUCCCAAAUGAAAUAAAAGAUAAAAAUCAAUUACAAAGAUUUUUAGGAUGUUUAAAUUACAUAGCAGAUUUCUUUCCUAAAUUAAGACAAGAAUGUUCCAUAUUAUUUAAUAGAUUAAAGAAAAAUCCAAAACCUUGGACAGAAGAACAUACUCAAAAAAUAAAAUAUUUAAAAACAAAAAUAGAAUCAUUACCAUGUUUAUGUCUACUCAUCCUAAAGCAUUCAUGAUAGUUGAAACAGAUGCAUCAGAAUUAGGAUACGGUGGAAUAUUAAAACAAAAAUAGAUAAUUCAAAAGAAGAAUUAGUUAGAUUUCAUUCAGGAACAUGGUCUGAUCCUCAAAAGAAUUAUUCAACUAUUAAAAAAGAAAUUUUAUCCAUAGUUUUGUGUAUAUCCAAAUUUCAAGAUGAUUUGUAUAACAAGAAAUUUUUAAUUAGAAUAGAUUGUAAAUCUGCAAAAGAGAUUCUACAAAAAGAUGUUCAAAAUAUAGUUUCAAAACAAAUAUUUGCAAGAUGGCAAGCUAUUUUAUCUGUAUUUGAUUUUGAGAUUGAAUUUAUCAAAGGAGAAAAUAAUUCUUUACCAGAUUUUCUAACCAGAGAAUUCCUACAAGGACAUGGAUCCAGCAACGAUGGCAAAUGCUCGUGAAUAUGCAAAUUAUUUGAGAACUCAACGAGAUUCUCUCAGCCUUCAAAAUAAAGAAAAAUCGAUUCAAUCCAGAGGAUAUGUCUAUUCCAUUCAGACUCCAAAUGGAAGACAAUUUAUUCCCUCUUACCAAAUUCCUAAAUACGAUGAAAUUUAUAUUCACAAAAGUCCCUAUGCAACCAUUACUCCAAAAGAAAGAGCCUUUCUUAUACAAAGACAAAUUCAGAAAAACACUAUCAGACUUCUUACCCAUCAGAGAUUAAGCAGAAGUGGAGAUUUUCUUCACAACGAAUUUAUUCAACAUUACCAAAAACAGAACAGAGAAUUAUCUGAUCAACUUAAAGAUGUUGUUUAUUAAUUUUGCAGGAAAAUGGAUUCAAAAGCAGGAAGUUCCAGGCCAAAGACUCCUCAGGAUUAUGAGAUGAGUCUUACCCCUGUAACUCAAAAUAGAUUUCAACUUUUAUCAGAUUUCCCAGCAUUGACUUAUAGUCAGGCUGCUACUCCAAUUAUUUCUCCAAUUAGACCCAUUCAACAACUAGCAAAAUCCCCAGAAAAAUCUCAAGGAAAUACUUAUUUCACAAAGCCAUUUACUCAACAUAUUACUUUAACCAGAUUCCAAGAAAUACCCAUAUACUCUACUCUUCAUCAAGUUACUCAAAGGAUCUUUCCUCCAAAAUGCUAUUGGCAACCAGAUGACCCUUCAAAAAAUCUAGAUUAUUAUGAAUUAAUCCUUACAGAUACUCAAUCUGUAGAGAUUUACCCAUUCCAGAUAAAAAGAAUCCAACAUUAUUAGCCAUUCUAAGUGUAUUAUAAAGAAAGUUUGUUCUCCUAAUGAAUGACUUCUCUUUAUUCCAAAAAAUCCUUUUCAGUGAACUUUAUUCCAGAUGGAUUUACAUAUCAAGAUUACAAAAUGGCAUGGUAUCGUGCUUCCUUUUUAGACCAUUCAACCAUUCCUGGUUCUUCACAUUCAAAGACAGUUGCAGUAAAGAAUUCCCAAUUUGGUUCAAUCACUGGUGGAAAUGGUUUGGACCCCAACCAGAAAUUCUACCUCCAAAUGUUCUCAUGGGAUUUCAAACAUAUCUAAAAAGAGCAAAGGGGGAAGAGUAUACAAGACCAAUUUUAUUCCACAUGGAAUUCAAAGUGCCAUGGAUAUUUUGCUGGAGUUUCAAAAUUCAUCAAGAACUGGAAAAACCUCUGCCAAUGUCAUUGGUAAGAGAAUUCAAAAUAAAAUGGUGGACUGGAUUCAAUCAAGAAUUUGGCGAUCAAACUAAUGUGAUCAGAUUCCUGACCAUGGAGACAAAUUAAAGUGGACAGCUACUACCACUACUCAAAAGGAGACAAGACAGUCAACAAUCAUUCCAACCACUACACCAACUCCACUCACUCCAAAAAGAGACAAAGAAAAAGUGACGGAAAUGGCAUCCGAAGAAACAGCCAGUAACUUUUUAAUAAAGCAAAUCAUGCAGAAUCCCGAGAUGCUGAAAGAAUAUCUGAAUUAUUUACAAAAGCCAAAAGAAGAAGACAAAAUAGAGGAGCCAGCAGGAUCAUCUGAAUCUACUUUUGAUCCUUUUGAUGAUCCCAUCGGUGGACAAAAUCCAAACGACUUUUGAAAAAGAAUGUCGGCCACAACAAAUGAAAGCAAAAUUGAAAUUCAAAUGAAGAUGAAAUGCAGAACCGAGCCUCUAUAAAUAGAUUCAAGAUUCAGAAGACAGGCAUCGGCGAAAAAACCAUCAGAGCAAAGUUAGAAAAACUCAUUGUAAUAACCACUCCCACAUAUUUCCAUACAUAGUCAAAGCCUUGUAUUAAAUAUUCAAACCUCUUGUAUCAUUUUGUCAAACAAGUUUGGCAAGUUUCCAUUGUUGAAUUCAAGCUUCCGAUUGUGCACUCUCAAAAGUCAAGUAAGUUUCAUUAAUUACAUUCUAAGUCCCUACAAUAUUUAAAAAAUGAAUACAAAAGAGACACAAAAUUUAUAUGGUAGAAUAAGCUCAUCGAGUAUUCGAGCAUAGCAUUCUAAUAUUCAAACUUGUCUUCUCAUUUAAGUAAUUGAGUAUGCUCGACCUCAAUUCGAACUCGAUCAAUGAUCGGCCAAAUCUAGUAAUUGAUUAAGCUAUUCACAAAUAGCUUACGAGUAGCUCAAUAGCAUUUGAGGGACGGAGAUAUAGGGAGGGAGAGAGAAAAUAGAGAAGAGAAGAGAAGAAAUGAGAGAGAAAAAAAGUGGUGUGAGAGAGAGAGAGAGAAAAGAAGAGGAUGGUAGCAAGGAAGAAGAGAGAAGAGAAAGGGAGAAAAGAGAUAGCAAAAGGUAGAAGAAAGAUGAAGUAGUAGGAAAAAAUGAGGUGUAGGAAUGGGGGCUGACGAUAGGUGGUGGUGAGUGACUGGAAAAGUACAAUGAGGAUGAUGUUUGCAAUACAACAUUAAAUAUCCCAAAAAUACAUCCAUAAUGGAAACUUUUAAAUAUACAACUUUAGUAAAGUGUUUUUUAUAACCUAAUCAAUAUGAGAAAAAAGAGGAGAGGAGGAAAGAUAGGGUAACUGAAAAAGAGAAAAGAAAAGUGGUGGAGGAAGUAAGAAUGAAAAGGGAGAAGUGGUAGCUAUGUGAACGUGGCAAAUUUGAUACUAGCGAGUGACAGAGGUGGUAGUGAUGGUGACAAUGGUGGAGAAAAAAGAGAGAGGAGAAGGGGCGGUGGUGAUUACUAGUGGUUAAUGCGAUGAGUGGUGGGUGAAGAGCCAUAUAGUUUUGCAACCAUCAACAAUAUAUUUUAAAUACUAAAUAUCUCCUAAAUAAUAUAAAUAAUUAUAGGAAUUUGAAAGAAUUUCAAAUUUUUGCCAAAUCCCUCAUUUCAAAUACUGGCCUAAGGUUUCCAAGCACUCUGAGUAAUAUAUAUAUCCUUUAUAUAUAUAAGAAGCACUUGGCCUUUUACUGUUGCUGGGAUUUCGAGUGCAUCUCCGUGCUUGAGGAUGUUGUACAUUGGAGUGCACUUUUUGAUGGUUUGUUUUUUGUACGUUGCUUUUGUGGUUCUCAUUGUGGUUCAGGCUGAGAUUUCUGCCUUUUCCUUGUGGCUCGUGGACCCCACAUUCAUUGCAUGUAUAGUUCAGGCUGAUAAUGGAUGUUCCAACUUAUUCAAUUAAAAAAUAUUAAUUUUUUUAAAGAAUUAAACUCCAAUUGAACUCUUGAAUGAAAAUUAAAAUUAAACUUUUGGGAAAAAUUAGAAAAACUUCAACUAAAUUAUUGAAUUGUAUGAUGAUAUACCUAACAAUCAUGAAAAAAAAAUGAAGAGUUAUGAUAGGCAUAAUAAAAGAUGGAUUUAGAAAUAUUAAAAUUCAACUCCAAUUCAAGAUAGAUAAUUAAACUCCAAUUAAACUUCUGAAUUAAAAUUAAAAUUAAAUUUUGGGAAAAAUUAAAAAUAAAAUUCAACUAAAUUAUUCAACUAUAUGAUGAUAAACCUAAAAAUUCAAGAAUUAUUUCGAAGUCAUAUAUAAUAAUUGAUGAUAUUCUUGGAUAGGUUUUGGGAUGAAGAUAAAGAUCAGAUAGAUUUUACUCUUAAUUAUGAUAGACCUGGUUAUUAUGAAAAAAAUUCAAGAAUUAUGGUCCUUUUAUAUAUAUAAGACACUUGACCCUUUUACUGUUGCUGGGAUUUUGACUGCACCUCGGUCCUUGAGGAUGCGUUGCACGCUUGGUUUAUUGCUUUUGGAAUGUGGACCUCAUUUUACCAUCACACUGGAACGUUGUGUUUCUCAUUGUGCUUCAGGCUAGGAUUUUUGCUUCCUUCCUUCUGGACCGUGGAGCCCACAUUGAUUGUAUGUAUAGUUCAGGCUGAUAAUGGAUAUUCCCAAAUUAUUCAAUUAAAAAAUAUAAAAUUUUUUGAAGAAUUAAACUCCAAUUAAAUUCUUGAAUGAAAAUUAAAAUUAAACUUUUGGCUAAAAUUAAAAUAAACUUCAAGUAAAUUAUCAUACACAUAAUAAUCGCAACUCAUAGAUUUAGAAAUAUUAGAUUUCUGAAUUAAAAUUAAAAUUCAACUCCAAUCAAAAGAUGGAUUAAAACUCCAAUUAAACUCCAAUUCUAAAUUAAAGAUGGACAAUUAAACUCCAAUUAAACUUCUGAAUUAAAAUCAAAAUUAAACUUUUGGGAAAAAUUUAAAAUAAACUUCAACUAAAUUAUUGAACUAUAUGAUCAUAGACCUCACAAUCAUGGAAAAAAUUCAGAAUUAUGAUCAACAUAAUAAUUUGGAAGUCAUAGAUUUAGAAAUGUUAAAUUUAUGAUAUAUAUAAUAAUAAUAUAUAUAAUAAGUGAUGAUAUUUUUAGAUAGAUUUUGGGAUGAAGAUAAAAAUCACAUAGAUUUUACUCUUAAAUAUGAUAGACCUAACAAUCAUGAAAAAAAUUCAAGAAUUAUUGUAAACAUAAUAAUUUGGAAGUCAUAGAUUUAGAAAUGUUAGAUUUAUGUGAUAUAUAUAUAAUACACAAAGAUGUAUAUAUAUAUAUAUAAAUAAUAGUAAUAAUAAUAUACACAAUAAGUAAUGAUAUUUGUAGACAAAUGUGAUAUAUAUAUAAUAUACAUAAAGAUAUAUAUAUAAUAAUAUAUAUAUACAAUAAGUGAUGAUAUUUUUAGAUAAAUCUUGGGAUCAAGAUAAAGAUCACAUAGAUUUUACUCUUGAAUUUUGACCAAGGAGUUAAAUCAUCUAGCUGGAAGGUUAAAUCAAUUGUCUGCCACUACCUUUUGUUUUUUACUCUUUUGGUCAUUUAGAUGCUUAUUUUCUGGCCUUCUGUGCUUCCAAGCUUGGCUAUUUUUGUCAUUUUGACUUCCCUUGUCUCGGUUUUCCAUAUUUCUUAUUUUUUACUGAUGGAGCUACAAUACAGAGGGAGGACAGAUUCAUGCAAAUAGUUUGCUACAUGCACAUAACCAGUUUACAUGCAAAUUCCCCUGCAUUGACUACUUGCUUGACAUCAGGUAUUCUUUUAUCCUCAACCAAAUUUACUUAGGAUUAGCUGUUCAUUUCUUGAUAGUACUAUGUAUUUGUUUGAUGUGAAUCUUUGCUCAGGUGUUUCAGCUAAAUCUUUCAUCAAGUGUUUCAGAUCAGCAGUGAUUUCCUGUCUUCAUGGAGGUCUUGUACUCUUUUUGCUUGCUUUAGUUGCUUUCUACUUAUGUAUUCGUUAGCUUCCUGUUUUUUACGUAGAUAGUUUGUUCCUUACGCAUCAAUAUAUAUAGUUGUUUACAUCCUACAAAGAAUACAUAUCUGUGUAUACGCCUACAUUUUUCUUCCUCUGUCUUUGCCUGGUUGGUCUCUGUGUAUAAGAAACAUGAGCUGCUCUAAGCUGUUCGUAAGGGAUGAUCCUGAUAAACUUCGUGAGAAAAAGGAUAGCCGAAAUUGUAAAAAGAGGGAAAAAUUUGCUGCCCUUUCGGCUGAAGAAAAAGAAGCUUGUCGAUAAAGAAUAGAGAGGCUUAUUAUAGAAAAAAAUUGGAAAAAAUGCUUUCCAAGUCCUUGCCAGAGCAAUUUCAACAGGCUUGCAAAUCACCAACUUCUGUAUCUGUUAUGCAUACCCUUGCUGCUGAAUAAUGUUCUCACGGUACAUGCUAAUUCCAACACUCUUAUUAUAUUUUCAUCAUCCGUCUGUUCACCAUUCACUAUUUCCCUUACGUGGUUUAUGUUUACAUUUGAAUGAUAAAGUUAGCAAAGUAACUGAUUCUCAAAAUGUCAAAGACAAAGAGAACGUUCAUCGAAUUAUUGAUUGUAAUCAAGGUUAGCCAUACUAUUUAUUGUUCUGUAAGCAACAUAUUUACCUAUACUAAAUUCACAUUUUUUGUAAAUCAUUCGUAACUGUUUCCCCUAAUCAAUUGUUAUACUCUCAUUUUACAGGACACUGCAGAGGUACUAUUUCUACAUAAGCUACUAUAUUAUGAUCACUUACACUUUUGAUUGUUUCUUAUGCUGAUCAUUAAUUUUAAUAAGUGCUGUAAAAUGUGGUAUUCAAAUUUCUGAGUCUGCAAACAAUAGUGUUGAACUAUCUCAUACUCAGUCGAGUAAAAAGUCAAAGCAACAGAUUUCUUCAUUCUCAACGUAUGAGAAAGGUAGAUUAGAUAGUUCAUUUCCAAUGUAUUGUUUAUACUCAGAUUAUAAGCAUUAUUCUAUUGAUACAAUGAUUUAUUUUCAAUUUUUAAACGCAGGAUCUACAUCUAACUCUGAGACAAAACAUACGUGCCUAGCUUUUACACAUAGUGCAGGUCAUUUAGGCUUCAAAAGUCAUUAUUGAUUGGUGUUCAUUAUAUAUAACCAUGAACAUUACGAUUAACACUCAUAUUAGUUAGCUUUUUUGGUUAUCAGAUGAAUCAUUUAUAUGUAUGAACUGCUACAAAUUUUUGACAGAAAUUGCUGAAGAGGCUUCAGGUGAUAAAUGUUUUUCCAACUUUUUAACAAAAGUUCUGAUAUCAUUAUUUGUAACAAUUUGAUGAACUUUAUCUUUAAUAGAUUUGUCAGCUAUCCUCCCAACAUACCAAGUGUAUCAGCUUCCCGAUAGUGGCUCUGCUAGAAGAAGGACAACUGGAGGUUACUACCUUGAAUCUUAUACUCAUUGUAUCUAUUAGCUUUAAUGUCUCAUCCAAAUACAUUAAACUCUUUAAUUGCUUUUGCUAUCCCUGAAAAUACUUCACUUCAAUGGUCCAAAUGAUAUUUAUGAUUACCACUCACAUACAUUCAAUGCUAUUACAACUCAUUUCUUCUGGUAGCCUUCCAAAGCCUCAAUAUCAGCAUAUCUCACUCAUUCACAACAUCACUUUCACAUGCAUAACUAAUAGUUGAAAUCACUUCUGAUUAUACAUAAUUGAAUUAUUCAGGUAGAACACAUUCAUCAAUGAAACAAAUGAAAGCCAUAAGUAGUAGAAAGAAAAAAAAAAGAGGUAUACAUUACAGACCAUUACUUGUUGCUUUUCUACAUAAUUAUUUUGACUCUCAACCUUUAGUUUCACUCAAGUAAUUGAUAAUUUUACAGCUAAUCAAGUUGUUGAUGGAGUUCAUGCACUGCAGUUUAUUAAUGAGAAUGCAGAUAGAUUACCUACUAAACCUGAUUGUCAAUACUGUGGAGCAAAAAGGAUGCACUCGGAGACACCUAAUUUCUGUUGCUCUGACGGACAAGUAGUUCUACAUGAAAAUAGGCUUCCAGAUAUUCUUGUAGAAUUAUUUACUGGUCACUCUAAUGAAGCUUUAUCCUUCCGCACAUAUGUCAGAACAUAUAACAAUAUGUUUGCUUUUACUUCUUUUGGUGUACACUAUGAUAAAUCGCUUUGCAAGAGAACAAAUGGUAUUUAUACAUUCAAAGUUCAAGGACAGACCUAUCACUUCAUCAAAGACCUUAUUCCGCAUGGAGGAUGUGGAUUAUAUCUACAGCUUUAUUUCCAUGAUACAGACCAUGACUUCAAAAUAGAAUGGCAGUUUCCGAAAGAUUAACAGAAAGUAUAGUAAUGAGAAUCAUGGAACUGAUGAAAUCUAAUCCAUACGCAUGCUUUCUGCGAAGCCUCAGAAAUGUUCCAAAUUUAUAUUCAUAUCAAAUAGUGCUCAAAUCACAUUCAGAAAAUGAUCAACGAGUGCUCAAUCAUCCAACAGCCUCUCAAGUUGCAGCUCUUUGGACAGAAGGACAAAACUCAGAAUCAAGUUAUGCUAGACACAUCCAAAUUUAUACAAAAGAAGGGAGGGAUCACCUGGUGCAAUACUAUUAUGGUUGUUACGAUCUUCUAUAGUAUCCACUAUUAUUUGGACUUGGUGAAACAGGCUGGCAUCCUGGCAUCAGAAGAGUGACCAGAGAGAAUCCAAAAAGAGAAAAAGAUGUAUUCGGAAAACCAAAUGUACUGCUGUUCUGGCCAAUUACAAAUCUGCUGAAGAAAUGAUAUUUGCCGAACAACAAGGUACUUCCUCCUUAAUCUGACCCACAGUUUCGGGUGGCGAGAAAGCCAAUAAAAUUCUCCGGCAUGCCUUGCUACUCUCCUCACAGUUACUACUGCUACUGCUUGGUACGGCGGAGCAUCACAGAAAACAUCACGAAAGAAAAUAUCAUGAAAGAAAAUAUCAUGAAAUCGCACUCUACUAGUACCAUAUAUUUUGCCUCUUUAUACAUACAUCUACCUGUGAUUAAUAACAGAAAAAGGAUCCCCAGCAGCUAAACCACCAAAAAAAAAAAAAAAAAAAUCAAUAAUCCCAUCUUCAUCUUUGUAACCCACCGUCAUUUCGCAAUUCAUGAUAGUCGCCAGUGUUGAAUGAUAAUGGAACUCCCCGGCAGGCAGGAAGGCGGCGGGCAAAUCAAGAAAGAAUGAAUGUAGACACUACCAGACUGACUUAAAAAGAAUAGUACGCCAAAAAACUGUAGCAAAGUGCUACUGACUGCUACUGCAGUUGUAGUAGUAAUGUCUACUACAACUCUACAUAGGAUAGGAGCGAGUACAAUUGCAGAGGAGAGGAGAAGACGGGACUCGCCUCUCCGGGACUCCUAGUCCAACGCAUUCGGACCGGCACAGGCCUUCAAAACAGGACUCCAGAUCCACUGCACCAAAAACUUCCUACCCCUCCUCCCCUUCACGUUGUACGUCCUUCCCUCUCUGUCCCUCAUCACCUGCCCGAUGUACCCACCCCCGCCCCCCGUCCCGUACAGCCCCUCGCACAGGUCCCCGAUCUCCGUCGGCGCCGUGGGGUCCUCCCCCGCGUACCACGCGUUCACCAGCGGGUUCGAUGCCAGCUCCGCCAGCUCGUGCCCGAUCACGCUUAUCAUCCCGUCCACCCCCACGUCCGCAUUCGGAGGGGCCAGCGCUCCCGGCCCGCCUCCCCCCAUGUACCCGGGCACGGCGAACGGGUACGCGCACACCUCCGGGCACUGCUUCCCGGAGUUGCCCACCCAGGCGUACGGCAGCGUGUAGCCCACCACGGACGGGAAGGUGAAGUAGUGGAAGCCGCAUACGGCCCGGCAGAAGUCCUGGACGGUGACGUCCCCGGAGGUGAGGAUGAGAUAGAUGCCGUUCUUGUGGUCGACGGGGAAGGGCUUGGAUCGGACCGCUGCAGCGAUGACCUGCUGCAUGGAGAGGCGGGUGAGGUGGGUGCCUUGGGAGCAGCGGGUGUCGGAGUACUCGCCUGCGACGAGGACGGAGCUGGAGAUGUUGGCGCCGGUCUGGUCGGUGUAGAGGGAGACGGUGCGCCACCACUGGGAGACGGAGGGGGAGGGAGCGGCGCGGCGAUCGGAGGUGGAGAUGGAGAGGAGGAAGUCCUUGAUGAGGAGCUGGUGGGAGGCGGCCCAGCGGCCGUACCAGAUGAGGUAGAUGUUGAUCGGGGAGGAGAGGACGGGGCCCAUGUGGUAGCGAAGGUCGACCAAGUCGGAGGAGCCCUCAAAUUUCUUGGAGGCGGAGAGGGACUUGGGGGGAAGCUUUGGGUUGAAGUAGGAGUCCGAUUGUGUUUGGAGAGUCUGCUGCUUAGCCGAGGAAUUGGAG
RNAcentral lists this long non-coding RNA (128759 nucleotides) under Coffea arabica (coffee). RNAcentral describes it as "long non-coding RNA (CARA_LNC006662)". The record is from RNAcentral. Lineage: Eukaryota; Viridiplantae; Streptophyta; Magnoliopsida; Gentianales; Rubiaceae.